AAGUGUCAUUUUAAUCAUUAACUCGAACGCUCGUUGACUGGUAAAAAAGGGUAAAAAGAAGGACCCUCAUGUAAACAAGUUCAGUUGUACACUAAAUUUGUUUCAACAUGAAGACACAACACACAAAACAUAACAAACACGACGCACGCUGUAUACAGAAAAGUGUCCCUGACACAGACGAGAUCAGAGACAAGUUUUCGUUCUGCUUCAUCUUAUUAUUAUUGAACAAAAAGAUCACGUGGAACUAGAAGGCAUUGACGCGUGUAGCUAUGCAAAGGAAGCGGCCAGCCGGAGCCGUCGGCUCAGUGCUGUCCCGGCAGCUUCUCCUUAAUCUUGUCCAUGAUCCCCUUCUUCUCGCCGGUGCCAGUGCCGGCGCCGGCCAUUCCUGCGUGGCCUUGCUGCCCGUAGGCUCCACCAGUUCCAGUCCCCGGCCCGUAGGCUCCUCCAGUCCCUGUACCAGUCGCCAUGUGCUGCUGGUUGUCCUUGUGGCCGCCGGGGAGCUUCUCCUUGAUCUUCUCUUUCAUGCCCUUCUUCCUCCUCCCGCCCAUGCCGUCGUCCUCGGAAGACUGCACAGCAGCCACGGAAAUGAACAUCUAAACAUACAGAAGCAGAUGAAUGUGUACAUGUGUGUGUCGACAAAGUAUCAUACCGAGGUGGAGCUGGAGCUGCCGGAGCGAUGCAGGAUCCCACCGGUCUUGUGCUCUCCCCUGCGGGCCUGUAACUGCCCGCCGGUGCCAGGAGCGGCGUGUCCUCCCCCCACGCCGCCGGCCAGCGGGAACGGGUUGCCGUACUCGUCGACGCGGUUGGCGGGGUUGUCGUGCUGCCCUUGGAACUCCAUCUCUGCCUCUUCCUAAACUGGACUUGGUUGUGGCUUUAGCUUUUGCUCUUUGGCUUACAGAAAGGUCGUGAGUCGUUGUGUCCAGAGAAGUGGAUUGCCGGGUUGAUAUUUAUGCCGUAGCGACAGGCCGGGGUCUGGCAGGCCAGGUGGCUACCGCAGGGGGUACGUGUGCACUGCACGCAUGUGAGUCGGGACUCGGGAGGCCCAAAGUGGUCGCCGCGGACACAGGGAUAGCCUGGGCGUGUGCACGCGUCGCACUGCUGAUUUGCCGAACGUGUCGGUGGCGCCACGUACGCAUUCGACUGUUCUGGAAAGGUGACUUGACAGAUUAGCUCGUCGUUCUAUUUUGAUGUUACAGUUUAUAUUAUUACAGGACGGUGAGUUUCAAGAUGAACAAAAAAGUUACAGGACGGUGCGCUUUGUUUCGCUGCUCCAUUAGUUCUUCUUGAGGAAAACACAAGUCAGAGUGAGUGCAGCUAAUCUGCACCCGGGCUCAUCUGCAUCAUUUUUAGAAAAAAAUUCAAAACAAAUACUAGAAAAAUUUAAAAAAAUUUAAUUUUUUUUGUGGUGGUAGAUAAUUUGACGCGCGAGGUGCGCCCCAAAAAUCAGCUUAUUUGAGCAUCUGAGCAGCUCUCGGCAAAAAAGACAAAAUCAGGGUCUGUAAAAAUGUUUACUGUUCACGCACUGUUUUGAUCCGAUUUGUCUUUUUUGCCGAGAGCUGUUCAGAUGUCCAAAUGAGUUGAAUUUUAGGGCGCACCUCACGCGUCAAAUUAUCUACCACCACAAGAAAAAUUAGAAUUUUUUGAAUUUUUUAGUUGUUUUUUCAAUUUUUUGCUGAGAGGGAGCAGAUUCUUCAUACGAUUUCGUUUUGAGUUUUUUCAAUUUUUUAGUUGUUUUUUCAAUUUUUUUUGUUUUGAGUUUUCCAGUCAGGGUGUCAAAUUCUUCAUACGAUUUCAGGGAAGGAUUUUUGCUUUUCACGACUUCGCUACUCUGUUGGUCAUUACAGCGAGAGUAUUAAUGCACUCAGCAAGGUGCAUCAAAGGUAAAAAAAACAUUUUUUUUGCGACAUGCAUCAAAGGUAAUUUCACCAACUGUAGUUCACGUCUAUCUCUCUAUAGUGAGACACAAACGGCGAAUAAAAAACAAUGCUUAUUAUGAGAAUCACCAAGUGCCAAAUGGGUUGCGCAACUCUCGAGCCGCCUCCUAACCCUAAGACGCCACCACCACCACUGCCACAACUCCUGCCACUGCCUCGGUCCCCCUCCUCUUCCCCGUUUGGGGGCCUCAUCGCGGCAAGAGGAGUGGGGACCCGUCCAUCUUGUUAUGUUUUUCUUAGGUUUUGUUUCUCCGGCGAUAUCGACGAGGUGAUGGCGACGAUGGCGUGUUGGAAUAAAGUCUUUUCAGCCUCUCCCUGCCUCAACGACGUCCGAUCCGGCGCCGGCGAAGGGCCUGUGAGAAUUUGUGUCCCCAGAUUGGUUGGCUUUCUUUCAGAUCUUGGCAUUUCGUGUGUCUUUCAAGGAGCGCUUUUGGCUGGCGUUUGGUGCGGCGACUACGACAUCUUCUUCUGUGUUGUUCUGUGGCUUAACCUGGUUUCUCCAACCCUCUGAAACUGGUGGUGGUGGAUUGCAAGUCUGUUUUGCUCGGGGUGAUGUUCCAACCGAUGCUGCUUCAACAAUUUUUAGAUCUCGUCUCAAGGGGCGAGUAGCUUUUGCAGUCUUCAAAGCCUAGUAUGGCGAGGGCGUUUGCAGUUGUCGCUCUUUUUUGCUAUUAGUUCAGUGUAAUUUUCAAUCUCCGGCGGGCGACGCUCAAUCAAAGGAAGAAGACUAGUAUGCUUUUUAAUGUAAAUUUAUUUUUUACUGGUCGUUCCGCGUCCAGUUGUCUAUGCAUUGUACUCAUCUUUGUUUUCCUUGAUGAUAAUCAGAUCUAAGAUGCCCUUUGGCUGUUUUUAUUAAAAAAAUAUUAUGGAAACAUCGUGAAUAAAAGUAGAAGAUAAUAAAAUGAAAGAUGCUAAAGUUUUUAUCAAAAGAAGAGGAUAUCCCUCGGAUUUCAUCAACGCAACAAACCAACUAUUGCCGUAAACAAAAACCCAACUUUUCUAUUAUAACUAUUUCCCUAUACAAACAAUGAUUGAAAAAAUCAAGUUUUACAUAAGUUGCAACUUUCAAGUAACACAAGUCUCACCGAUCGCCACCACCCCAACAUCUGUGAUCAGGCAAAAGAAAACAUCUGAGAUUAGGCAACUCAAAACACAACACACACCCAGCUACUAUGAUGCAUAGUUCAGAGAAAAUGAAAGGGGGUCUAUGAUGAUGGAGAAUUGAUUCCUUGAUUGCCCUCCACUCGAUGGUGUCUAUCUAACUACUCACAUCUCCUUGAUUGCCCGUCCAUGUGAUGACAUCUAUCCUGCUACUCGCAUCUCCAAUUGCCUAUGAAACUAUGAAAGCUCAAGCUUUUGCUUGUCUGCUUUCUCUCGAUCGGACAAACACUCGGGACAUGUUGUUGCCCCCUACGAAACUAUCUCCAGGGAUGCUUUAACCAUUCUGACAAUGAUAGUAUAGAAACUGUAACAGAUAAUAUGUCAUAAAGCUAUUGUUCUGUAUGCUUAAAUUAUAGAGUAAAUCCCACAUAAUCACAACUUUGGAGGACUCGUGUAAAAAAAUGCAACUUUUUGAGUUGGUGCCACAAAAGCACAACUUCUAUGCCACAAGAGCCCCAAAACACAUUUGGUCCCAAAAUCACUAAAGUACUUAUAGUUUUCUGGGGGUUUCAUAUAUUUUGAGUAUUUCAAUAUUUGAGUAAACGUUUGGAUUAAAAAACUAGGAACUAUGUUUCUCUCAAGGUGCUCAUCCAAAUUUACUUUUAACUUUUCUAGAAUGGUCAGACUAUUUAUGAUUCUCAUCUAAUUUUCUGGAAAAAACCAAAUUUUAAUCAAAACUCUAUCAGUUCGGACGGAGACAUUCAGAACAAUGCUUGUAAUAUGUCAUGUUUGUUGUCUUCUGACGCUCCACAGCUUGUUUGGUCUAAACAAGGGGUAUGACUCCUAUGUAUUGUGUCUUUUUCUUCUUCUAAAAGGAUCAUACCUGCUAUAAAAGUUCAUCAAAAGUAUAAAACAUCUCGGACAUAAUAAAAAUUAUAUCGAGAUUCCAAGAUCACAGAACGACCACUAUCGUACUCUACGUGUAAAGAAACACAACCUUAUACUACUAUUGACAGAGACACAAAACGAUAAAUCUAUUGAUCUCGCAAAAGUUCUACUAGUAUUACUGAAAAAUCCGAGGGCUACCUCAGCUCUGAGAUGAACCGUAGAAACCUGUCCUGUGGUGGCCCUAAUACUCACACUCUUGAGUACCUUCACAUGCUUGGGAUAUCACACUCUUGUGAUGGGGUAACUCGUCCCUUUAAUAUUCACUACCAUAGAUUUGGUACAACUUUUAUUUGUGUCUACCUCUAACUACUCUGACAUCUCUAUCACUCUCACUUGAUAGUUCUUACUUCAUAGCUAGCUUGCUUGCUUACAUGAGAGGGGUGGCACACCUAUUUAUAGGAUUACAGCACCAUUAGAUCAUUGCCAAGUGUCAACCAUUCAAGCCCUACAACACAAUUCUAGAGAACUCCAUACAAAUAUCUUAUUUCUAUAUUUCUCUACUAUAUGUCAAACCAUGUCUAAUGUUUAUUCUAGAGUGUCCAUGGGAAGUAUCUAGUUUCUAGAUAUUUCCUAAUACACCAAAAUAUCUUACUCUAGAACUUCCAUACUUCUAGAGUUAUAUCUAAAUCUUUCCAUCAUGGUUAUUCAUGUAGCUUCUAGAACCUUCUCCUAAAUAUCCUCCUUUCUCAUGAAAUACUCCAUAAUAUUCUAGAAGCUUCUUGAAAUCUUCAUCAUAUUUCUAGAACCUUCCAAGUAUGCAUUGCAUUUCUCAACACUCCCCCUUAUUGCAUACUUGCUUGGUGGAUCAUAUCCUUGUUGAUGUCCAUGGAUCUUAUGCGCUCUUCCAUUCAUGAAUUUCUUCUUUUCCUCAUGCCAUGGAGAUUUCUCUCCCUUCAACACAUUCUCUACUAAUCCAAGAUUGUUAUCUACUUGGCUGCAACCUUCAAACUCAUUUAUCUUAUUGGACCUUCUUCGUACUUGCCCCCUUGUAGCCUCCUUAUAUGUUGGUAAAUUAACUUAAGCAGGUUCAACAUUGAUCUCCAAAAUUCCUCCUUACCUUCCAUAUCAUCCACAUUGAUCGGAUGAAGCUCCUUGAGUAUAAGAAGAUAGAUACCUUGUACGUCCUCUUUCUUCUCCUCAGAUUGCAUUGGUGUAUCUCCAUGAUUAAUCAAUGCUCCAUCUAUAGGUCUAUCAUGCUCUACCUCUUGUGACUUCUUACCAUCAGAGUACAUGCUCUAUCUCCUCUAAGUAGGCAUCCCUUUUUCCAUAGGUGAGUUCCUCACAGUCAUUGUCAAAUCCAUGUAUUGUGAAUUCACCAAUGAGAUCUCUAUUGCUCACCUCCAUGUAGAAGCCACCUGAUGUUUCCGACUAAUCCCACUCUUCCUCUCAUCCUCCAUGCAGAUUGAUGCCUCGACAUCCCACUCUUCCUCUCGGAAAUUCCUUCACGGUGACAUUCGCCAUAGUAGCCACAUCCCCUUCUGAGUGCUUCUUUGGACUCUAGCAGUCCCUAACAAGAUGAACUUUCUUGCCACAAUUGAAGCACUCACCUUUCUUUCUUAUUUCUUCCAUUAGCUCAUGUUAAUAUUCUUCUCUUCUUCUUUGAGCUCCCGCGGAGUAGUAGCUCUCCUUUGGGCACCACCUUUUACCUCUUAUCCAAUUCUCCUUCACAUCUUCUCAGUCUCUUAGUGGACUCUUCUUUCUUUUGAUAAAGAGUGCUUCCUCUUCAACCGUCUCUUUUAAUGUGAUACUUCCCAUCUCCUUAGCUAACGCCUCCUGAUUAGCCAACAAAUUCUCUAGUUCAACCAAAAGCCGGUUGUGUAGGCCAUCCUCUCACCGCGGCCAUAAAUCCAUUGUACUUUGGUAUUAGGCCAUGGAUAAUGAUCCUUAUCAUCCUCGCCUCAUCUUCUCUUCAGGAUCAAGCUGGGAUACCUCAGGACAAAUAUUCUUUACUUUUGUAAAGUACUGGCUGAUGCUGGGAGUGCCUUAUGAGAUACCAGCAAGCUCAUUUUCUAAGAGCUGGAGUCACAUCUCAUUCUUUCUUGAGAACAAAGUUGCCAAACUCUUUGAAUCUGCCUUCGGUGUCUUUGCAUCUUGAAUAUGCUCCCCUAGGUCCUCCUCAAUGGUGGUCUCAAUGCGAACAUAGCCUUGCAUGCCUUUAUUGACCACUUCCGCAAGGCUUCUGCACUCUCUGGAGGAGUAGUCUAUUGUUGGAAAUAUGCCCUAGAAGCAAUAAUAUUGUAUUAUUAUAUUUUCGUUAUUCAUAAUUAAGAGUUUUUAUUUCAUGCUAUAACUGCUAUGAUCCUGGAAUAUGCGAUUUCGUGGAAAACUCAUAUGCACGUGUGAAAUGAUAAACGGUAAACAAUAGGUUCUCGUCUCGCCUCUAAAACCAGCUCAAGUUUUGUUGGUGAUCACGUUUUCCGGAUCUUAGGAUAUUUUUAAGUGUAAGGUAGUCAAAACAACAUUGAGGGUGUGACAUUAGAAGAACGAUCAUAUUGAAUCGGCCCAAUACUUGUCUAUUAUACUAUGUGAUUAAAUCGUCUGAAAUCAUCUGUUAGACUACAGAGUGUUAGUAUGUGUUUUAGUUCCUUAGACCAUGAGAGUGUCUCAGGUUACUUCGUACCGGACGAUGGGCUUUGGGGUUUCUCAAACAUCAUAUGUAACAAGGUGAUCAUAAUGACAACUUUCAGGCACACCGAAAAGUUUGACAAGUGACCGGACAGCUCAAGAGUGGAAUUUUCUCCUCCGAUGAUGGAGACAUAUUAUUAGGGCCCUCUCAAUGUGCAGGCAUCGAUCAUCGUCUGGCCAUACAUAGGUGACUACUUUACGGGGAUGCCAGAACACGUCAACGAGAAAGAAGAGCAAAACCGGUAACAGGACUAAUGGUAUAGUGAGCAUGGUGAUGACUCAGGAGGAUACCGAUGCACACCGGGUUUUGUAAAGUAUCACGAAGCAAAGGGAACAUCACACGAUAACUAAAGGUUCACUCGAAUAUCAUUCAUGUAAUCAUAGGGACCAAUAUGGAUGUCCACGGUUCCGCUAUCGGUCAUUGAACGAAGGGGUUUCGUUCAUGUCUAUGUUUUUCCGAACCUAUGGGGUCACAAGCUGGUAAUCACGAUCUGCUGAGUGUUAGUGGGACGGGAGUGAUGAGAAUAUAUUUGUGGAAUUGUUUCAUUAAUAUCCGGAAUAAUUCCGAGAGGUUCCGGAAGCGUUUCGGGGUCACCAGAAGGGUUUCAGGAAUAUCGGGUAAUACCGGAUACUACUGAUUAAUUAUAUAUAGGUGGAAAAUGUUUCCGGGGUUGUUAAAUUAAAUAUAUAAUUCUCUGAAAAUAUUCGGAACAUUUUAUAUUUAAUUUAAAUAUCAAUAGGCCUUAAAAGGCCAAGAGGUGGAAGGCAACUUGGGCCACAAGGGCCCAAGUAGGAAGAGAGUCCUACUCCCUCUCCCUAGGCCGGCACCCCAAGGGGGACUUUCCCCCCUUGGUGGCUGCCCUCUCCCUCCCCUCUAACCUAUAUAUACUAGAUGAUUUACACCGUAUGGAUAUACAUGUUUUGGUGCCUCCUCUAGUUGAUCUAGUUCUAGUUCUUGUUGGUCCUAGUUGGCUAAUUAGAGCUAGCUCUAGCCACCUCUAAUCCUAAUAAUUAGAAGCCCCUUGUGGUUCUAAUCUCCUCCUUCUAAUUCUUCGGUGACAAUUAGCUCUAGACGGCAAAGCGCUGUCGGGUCGUGAAGACCGUACACUUGCAAUCAAGUAGAGAGGUUGUGCUUUCGGUCUUCCAUUUGAGGGAUUGUUCAAGGGCGGUUUCUGGGAGCGUCAUUGACGUUUGCGGGACUCCAAGUACGAUCUACACCGACUCGUCUACUUCCGCUGCGCUCCCAGAGUCAGUAACGAUCCUUGAUAUGAAGGAAAUAUGCCGUAGAGGCAAUAAUAAAGUUGUUAUUUUAUAUUUCCUUAUUUCAUGAUAAAUGUUUAUUAUUCAUGCUAGAAUUGUAUUAACUAGAAACUUGAUACAUGUGUGGAUACAUAGACAAAAUAUCGUGUCCCUAGUAAGCCUCUACUAGACUAGCUCGUUGGUCAAAGAUGGUUAAGUUUCCUAACUAUAGACAUGUGUUGUCAUUUGAUAAACUGAUCACAUCAUUAGGAGAAUGAUGUGAUGGACAAGACCCAUUCAUUAGCUUAGCAUUAUAAUCGUUCAAUUUUAUUGUUAUUGCUUUCUUCAUGUCAAAUACAUACCCCUCCGACUAUGAGAUUAUGUAACUCCCGGAUACCAGAGGAAUGCCUUGUGUGCUAUUAGACGUCACAACAUAACAGGGUGAUUGUCAUGGAAUUGUCACGUCAGAUGUCCUCGUGAAAGGACUUAGUCGUGGAGCCAUCGCAACUAGGAAGCUUAAAGGGGUUAAUCGGGACAAAGGACACGAGGUUUAUAUACAGAGGUCGGAUUAUGUCUCGAUAACCAGGGAGCGAAUCCGCUUUACCUGAACCGCCGCCGGGUCAGCCCUUUAUAUACAGAGGUCGACGCCCAGUGGCUUACAGAGUCCCGGCCGGCUCAUAAACAGUGUCUGGCUCGGUCUCUUAACUAUUCUUGCCUUACAAUACAAGUAACGUACAUAUGGGGGUUUAUCUCUAUAAGCCUUAAGUCGCCUCUGGGCUUUGGGCCCUUAACUGAACCGCCAUCUUCAAGCUUGGUCUUGGGCUUCAAAGUACUCGUAGGUAUAACCCGACCCCUCUUGGGCGGGUCAUACCUAAUAGUUAUAUCUCCAACAUUAGGCCCCAGAUUGAUUUGAACUGGUUCAUGUCAAUCUUCGACAUUUAAGAUAAAAUCUUGUGCUCCUUGCUUAUGAAAUUUCUGUAACCUGCCAUGAUGUCAUCCUUUGGAUUUGUGGCAACCCGCCAUGAAGUCAUGUGCCAUUAAUGCAUGUUUUGUCCGAUAUAUUUCAACGGAUCUUUUAUCUUUUAAUGACCAUCCCGAAAAUCAAGGCGUCUUUGUAGUUGGAUAACCAUGUCUUCAGCCUCCUCGUUUUUCGCGCCCACUUAUUAGCCUUCCCUUAUAAAUAGGCAUGACUAGGUCUCUUCUCAUUCUCCCCUUUCCUCAUCUUCUUCCUCUCGCACCCUACUGCUGCUCAAGCUCCGCCGCCGCCGCCGCGCACCUCGUCUUCGUCGACCUUCACCGCUGCAUCGACCUAAAUCCGUCCAGAGAACGGCGGCGAGCCUCCGAAGUAGCCCUGCAGCCGAAAGUCUUCUUCUUCCCAUGCUUCAGAUCUGCAUUAUGGUUUGUAAGUUCUUUAUGUGUUCUUCGUUGUUCAUCUCGGUUUCUUUGUAGCUUCACCACUCUAGCCUCCUUUGAUCCAAAAAGAGUAUAAAAGUUAUGCGGUAGCUGUUUUGCACCCAUUUUUGAUACUAGCAGAUCCCUUUAUCUUGCAAAGAGGCCUCAUUAGGACUGAUGAAGUCAUAUGUACUUGCUUUUUAGGUCUAGAAUAUUUUCUUUUCCUGAACAUCAUUUGAUCCAAAAUUAUUGUCGCGGCUUGUGAAACUUUUUUGUGCAAUACUUCGUAAAAAAACCUGCACUUGUUAGAUCCAGAUAGCCAUGGCGGUUGAAACCACCAGACCAGAUUGCAAUGCUCAAUAGAUAAUGUCAAAUACUCAUGGAGGCUUAAAUAACCUGUUUACCCACAGCGGUUUAAAGAACCUGUCGUAGUUAGUCAUAUACCAUUAGGCCCCUUUGUAAGCAGCCGUCUUCAAUAAGUAUUGUAAUGUUUCCCUCCGGUUCUAAAUUUGAAUUGGAAAUCUUUACUUUUUCUUAGGCUUUCAUCACAAUGCCUCCUAAGCCGCCCACUUUGUGCAAUUGGGUCAAAUCCAUCGUCAUAGACAGCUCACUUGAUGACUUUGUGAAGACUGGCUAUCUUCCCAAGAAGGAAGUUAUGUCUUAUCGUGCUCCCGAUCCAACAGAGGAAAAGCCUCAGCCCAAAGCGGGGGAAGUUAUCGUCUUUACUGAUCAUAUGAACCGGGGUUUCUCACCACCCGACUCAAAAUUGUUUAGGGAUGUCUUGCACUUCUUUGAUCUCCGUCCUCAAGACAUCGGACCCAAUUCCGUGUCUAUCAUUUGCAAUUUCCAAGUGUUCAGUGAGGUAUAUCUUGGAUAAGAACCCAAUUUGUUACUCUUUAGAGAGUUAUUCUAUUUGAACCGCCAAAAUGAAUGUGCCAAUGGACAAAGCUUGGAACUUGGUGGUGUCUCAAUCCAGCGUCGGAGAGACGUCACUUUUCCCUAUGCCAAUCCACCAAGUCAUCCAAAAGACUGGAACCAAACAUGGUUCUACUACCAAGACACUUAUCCAGCUGAUGAGAAUCCUGCCCGGGUUUUGACUCUUCGUCUUGAUUCCAAUCAUCCACUUCCUGACAAAAUAAUAGCCGCCAAACGCAAGACGCUCGCCCCCAUCCUGGCUAAGAUCAAGGCUCUUCUAGGGAACGGGCUAAAUGGCAAUGACUUAGUCCGAGUUUGGCUCGCUUGGCAGAUCAUUCCAUUAAGCCGCCGCCCCAGUUUAAUGUGCACCUAUUCAGGCAAGAGAGAUGAUUCUCUGCAACACAGUUCUGAUGACUUACCUGAAGAUCUCAUCAAUGACAUGACCAAGUCGCUCUUAAACGAGAGCCUAGCAGAUUGUGGCAAGAUAGGCCUAAGCCCUUUCUGCGAAGCUAACCCGGCUCCAGCGGUAAGUCGCCAAGCUGAAUAAAUCAUCUCCAUCAUUAAUGUUUUCAUCUGUACUCAACUCCUUUGCCGACUUUCACAGGCUGAUGAUAAAUUCUGGAAGGCGAAAUAUGAUCAUGAAGCUGCAAAGAAGGCCAGGAAGGCCAAGAGAGCCGCCAGGAAAGCUGCUGUAAAGAAAAGGGGAAAGAAACCCAGCGCUUCCGAGUUACUUCAAUUGGAGGACUCUUCUGAGUCGGAGGUAGCCCUUGACUCUCUUGGCUCAUUUUUUAAUCACCUUAUUGAUAUUGAUUAUGAUCAGGAGGACAUGGGCACGAGUCACGGGGUGCAUGAAGAGGUAACUAUUAUUUUCCUCCGACGCAGAGCCUUUGCCGAGACAAAAACUCCGACGGGUAACCCGUAAAGUAAGAUUUUCACAUCCCUUAGCUUAUCAAGAUCCUCAAUUUAUUUUGAAGCAACAGAUUCAUUAGAGUCGGAGGCAGACCCGGACCAACAAAGAUGCUGAACUCUCCUUCGGCUUACCGAACACACCACAUAAGCGCCGAAACGAGGUCACCUCUGACUUAAAUUCUUCUUAUCCUUUGGUGGGUCUCACUCGUCAACCACUGAAUCCUUUUGACUCGAAUUAUCAGAAAACUUCACCUUCCUCCGGUGACUCAAUGCAGUCUAACUUGCCGGCUUUCAAAACUGCUCCAGGGUAAUGAUAACCUGCUUAUCCUGUGUUUAUUUCAAUUCCUUGUACUUGCACUAACCUUUUAAUCUUAUGCAGUGCAAAAGCAAAACCCAGCAAGAAGGCGAAGAAAGAUAAGUCGGCCGAUGAGCAUGUCUUCAAAGAACCGGAGCUUGGAACAACCGCCCCUGAAGCCUCUACUCAUGAGCCGCCACCUGAGCCAGCUUAUGACACGCCCACGCCAAUUGCCGACCCACCUGCUGAGCGAGCCGCCGAUGGCUUUGAAAACCCGGAAAUCCCUAGCCCGGCCAGGACAGAUGAUCCUCAAGACCCUGAUGUCGAUAUCACCAAGACCGGUUAUGUUGAACCGGGGAGGCCAACCAUACUGGCCAAAUGUUCCUCCGAGGAGCUUCUGGAACGCCGUCGGGUCAAGCUUGAUGUUGCUGAUUAUACUCAUAUGACUAUUGGGGAGGUUUUCUCUGGCUAUCUAAGCCAAGUACAUAGCAGUUGUGAUGUUGAAAUUAAUAUGGUGAAGCAGAUGCACCAGAAGUUUGAGGUACAAUCCUUUCUCUGUACUGAUUUACCCUUGUUAUGCCAGCCCCCAAGUCUAUUGCUUAUGAUGAAUAUGCUAUAGACUUAGAAACAAGCUUAAUAAAAUUAGUAAUAUAUAGGGACAAAAUAUGUAAGAAUUCCGGCUUACUAUGUAGCCCCCAAGGGCUGGCUUAAGCAGUAUUGUUGAGCCGGUCCUUAACAUGCUUGAAUAGAAUAAGAUACUUGCAAAAUAUUCAAUAGCAAUAUGCAUUAGCCCCCACAUGCCAAGUGCUUUUGCUUGCAAAGUACUUGGGACUUACUCUCAUGAACCGCCACGUAGAGAAAAUUCUUCGGUAGACAUUAGCCCCCAAGUGCCAAGUGUUGUUGCUUGCAAAAGGCUUGGGACUUGUAAUAUUAGAUGCUAAUAGUUAUGAUUUUCAAACCGGUAUUUGUACAAGCCACCACCAGUCAACUUGAAUCAGAAGUAUCUGACCUGAAGAACCGCCUGGAAGCACAAGAGACGGAAACCCAAAGAGCCAACUCCAAGUUUGAAUUCAGUGUAUCUGAACAAGAAAAACUGAAAAAAGACUUUGAAGUGGAGAAAAAGGCCUGGGCUAAUGAAAAGAUUGCCUUGACCAAUCGAGCCCAGAAGGCAGAGGCGGCUCUUGAAGAAGCAACAGUCGAAUUAUCCGGCUUAAAACGCCAUAUAUCUUAGAUGGUCUCAGCGAUCUUUGGUAAGUCGCCCUGCAAGCGUUAAAUACUUGAAACUUUCCAAUGAUCAUAUAAAUUGUUUCUAACGCACCUGGCAUUGUUAUGCAGGCCCCAGGAGCUCCAAUCUUAAUCAGGAUAUGUUGAUAAAGCUGAAAGCAGUGUAUACAUUGGUAGAACAACUCUAUACUGGGUCUAACCAUGCCUUAGCCAUAGUGGCCUUGUCCAAUGAAGUGCCCACACUCCUGGUGGAUUUGCUAAAGAAACUUUCUGUGCUCCCCCAGCGACUCGCGUUCGUCUGCCAAAGCCAGAGUGGUGAAUUCUUUAAGCCGGGCCAAAGCUUGGCUACCGGAGUUAGACCCGGCCGACAUCGCCAUUGGUUAUCCGAGCCUUAAGGAGGAUGGCACUCCCUUUGAACAGGAAGACUUUGGCACUUGUGUGAAGGAGGUACGGCCCGUGGCCACCCACAUAGCUGAUGAAGUAAAUCUCACCAAGUACCAACCGGGUUAUGACACAGAGAACCGGAGAAUUCCAAAGCCACAUUACAAAGUGACCAGCCUGAUCCCCCCAAUCCGUAAGCAUACCUUCGCCCCUGAAGUUGACCCCGCUGGACUAAUUGAUGAUGAAGCUGAAUUUGAAGCUUUGAAUGACAUUGACUGGUCAUCAUCAACCUUCCAGGAAAGGGAACAGGGCAAAGAAGCGGAGAGGGCUGACCCGGACGCUUCAGGCCAACAAGAGAGUUGAUCCGCCAACAUCUUAUAUUUGUAACCUGCUGAAAAACAAUUUAAUCCUUUGGACUCGAGGAGUCAUGUAAUAGGAUAGGAAAGACUUUGCUUGUCGUGCCAUCAGGCACAUUUUGAUGUCUUAACACUGUUUAAGCCGCCAUCUUAUAUUUGCUCCUUUUUAUCAUCUGUAUUCCUUGUGCAUAAGAAGCCGUUAAACUGUCAUGCACACAAAGACUCUUGGCGGCUUACCGCAAGGUUGGUCAUAUAACUUUCAUCAUGAAGAUAAGAAUCACAGAUAAACCUGUUAUGAAUUAUAGUUGUUUGAAACAUACUAUUAAUAUCAUACCUGUGACUUGAAAUUUGAACUGCCGGUUUAUAUGACCCGCACAGUAAGAGUGAUAACUCAAUCCUCAGAAGCCACUUACUUCCAAGUAUAUGAUGUUUGUCACAUGUUGGUGACUUAUCGUUCAAAACUAAGCCGGUUUAAAGCUAAACCGCACUUAUAUUUAAAUCUAAACAAGAAAAGUCUCAAGAUAAACUAAAGAUCGUUUCCAAAACACUUAAGUCAAAUAGAGAUAAAAUAAAGCAAAGGCUUCUGAUAUGAAUACGAUUAGUAAACCGUUCCAAAGGGGUUAAGCUAUGAUUCGAAUAUGAUCAUGUAGCCCCCAGUGGCUUUGGCGUUGCAUCGAUCAAGAGGGUACCGACAACUAUGUUCUCUUGGGUUCGAAUAUGACCCAUGUGUGAACAGGAAGCCCCCAAAUGACCUUGAGAGUUUUUUAACGACUCUGAUUCGAAUACGAUCAAAGUCGGACCCAAAGAGGUUAAGCUAUGAUUCGAAUACGAUCAAGAAGCCCUCUAGUGAGCUUGGCAUUGUGCCGAUCAAAAGGGUACCGACAACGAUGUACCGAGAGGGAUCAAGCGAUCCCAUGGUAUGGUAAGCUUUGUCAAUCAUGCUUUGUGUACUAACCCAUGAUCUUCGUGAGAGUUCAGUGUGGGGUUAGGUUGUGGUGUUCAAGUUCAAGUGAAGCAUCACGAAGAGAUCAAAUGCUUGAAGCUUGCCAUCCAUUAUGGUGACAAUGGACUUAUGAAGAUGUGCGGAAGAGUGGCUCACCCAUAGUGGAGUAUGGGGGAGCAAUCAACUAGUCUUCAUCGAGCCAACGCAAUCAAGAAAGGUGGUCCAACUUGAGGGAGUCAAGAUCAUCAUCAUAUAGCUCAAGUGGACCAUGUGCAAGGCAAAGGUUUGCCCUUGAUAGGUUUUCCUUUUUACCAGUCUCAUGAUGGUUGUUGGGAGACCGGGUUUUAGGUUCGAUUGCCGUUCUAUCAAGGGGGGCUCUCGAUGAGUAACUUGAUCGUAUCAUUCAUAGAGAGCUCAAACCUUUGCAUCCUUGCAUCAUCUUUCUUGGUUCCUAUUUGGUUCUCUUUGUGAGUUUUGGAGCUUAUGGCCAUCUUGAUGACAAGCUUGAGUUCAUCGAAAACGGAGUUCACAUGCUUCUUCUAUGAUGUUUUCGAUGUUGGAGGUUCUGCCGGUUCUUCUCUGUUGGAGGUUUCUCUCCUCUUUUUGUUAGGCAUACCUCCCCUGUCGCUGUUUUUAUGCUACUCGUUGUCUUGUAUCCAACAAGCUUGAGUUUGCUCAAUUCGAUGUUCAUUUGCAGAAGUUAUGGCAGUUCUAGUUUUCCUUGGAGCGUACUUGUUUUCGUGGCUUUGGCAUUAGGUUGGUGCCAGCGGUAGUACCGCUGGACAAGAGCGGCAGUACCGCGUAUCACCACAAGCGGUAGUACCGUUGUCCCACAGCGGUAGUACCACCCAUGGCCAUAAGCAGUAGUACGGCGCCAGUUCCGCGCUGGUACCGCCUCGACUCGAGACAUGGUUGUCUCGUGUCGGGUUCAGUGGCAGUAGUAGCAUCAGUAGGAGCGGUAGUACUGCUCGUGUGCAGUAGUACCGCGGCUACCACCGCCCCUAGUUCCACUGGGCCAAGCAGCAGUACCGCUAGCUCCAGCGGUAGUGCCGCUCGUUCGGCUCUGCCUCGCCCUCUGUUUUUGCUAUGUUCUCUGUGUUCUACCGCCCGGGCGGUAGUACCGCUCCCCUAAGCGGUAGUACCGCUCGUGCGUGGACUGACCACAUAACGGUUGGAUUCGGGAGCUCCUAUAAAAGGGGCCCUUCUUCCCCAUUCAACCUUAUCAUUUGAGCUCAUGUUCUUCCCCCAUUGUUGACCUUCUUUGAGCUUACUAACUCUCAAUCCCUCCGCGGAUUCUUGCUAGUUUUUGAGGGAAAAGAGAGAGGAGAUCUAAAUCCACAUUUCCACCAAUCACUUUCUCCUCUAUGUGAGGGGAACCCAUUGGAUCUAGAUCUUGGAGUUCUUGGUGUUCUACUUAUUGUUCUUCCUCUCAUCUUCCUCCCUAGCAUUAGUUGCUUUGGUGGGAUUUGAGAGAGAAGGACUUGGGCACUCCGUGUGCCCUUGACAUUGCAUUUGGUGCAUCAGUUUGAGUUCUCCACGUGAUACGUGGAAGUUACAAGUUGAGAAGCUUAUCACUCUUGGGUGCUAGGUACCCUUGAGCUUGUUACUCUUGGGUGUUUGGACACCCUAGAGCUUGUUCCUCUUGGGUGCCUUGGCGCCCUAGAUGGUUGGUGUUGUUCGGAGCUCAAUCAUUGUGGUGUAAAGUUCCGGGCAAGAUCGGGGUCUCCAAUUAGGUUGUGGAGAUCGCCCCGAGCAAUUUGACGGGUACCCGUGACCGCCCCCUAGGGUUGCCAAAGUGUACGGGUUCGGUGACCGCCCCAAGGGUCGCCAUUUGUACGGGUUUGGUGACUGCUGAGGGAGUCCCGGACUAGGGGGUGUCCGGAUAGCCGAACUAUCAUGGUCGGCCGGACUCCAAGACUAUGAAGAUACAAGAUUGAAGACUUCGUCCCGUGUCCGGAUGGGACUUUCCUUGGCGUGGAAGGCAAGCUUGGCGAUACGGAUAUGUAGAUCUCCUACCAUUGUAACCGACUUUGUGUAACCCUAGCCCUCUCCGGUGUCUAUAUAAACCGGAUGGCUUUAGUCCAUAGGACGAACAACAAUCAUACCAUAGGCUAGCUUCUAGGGUUUAGCCUCCUUGAUCUCGUGGUAGAUCCACUCUUGUAACACACAUCAUCAAUAUUAAUCAGGCAGGACAUAGGGUUUUACCUCCAUCAAAGAGGGCCCGAACCUGGGUAAAACAUCGUGUCCCUUGUCUCCUGUUACCAUCCGCCUAGACGCACAGUUCGGGACCCCCUACGCGAGAUCCGCCGGUUUUGACACCGACAUUGGUGCUUUCAUUGAGAGUUCCUCUGUGCCGUCACCAUCAGGAAGGAUGCCUUUUCCCGUCUUUAAAGACGGCACCGUCGUCAAGGGAGCUUUGGCUGCCGGCCAGACUAUCCGGCUAGGUGGUUUUCUCAUGACCGCCUGUUCGGCCACCGCUCCGACAAUGACCUCUCAGGUCAUUAAAAGCGAUCUUCACGUCAGCUCGGAAUUCGCCGAGCAGCUAGAUCCGAUCGAGCUCUCCUUCGUAAACGAGCUCUUGGAUCGCAUCGCCGCCCUAGGAGUCGCUACCGACUACGAUCAGAUUGGGCUUAAAACCGAUCUGAGAGAAAUUAACUCUCCCCAGGUUACCCACCACAUUGUUGUGGUAGAGGAACAAUGCGGCGACUCUUCUUCUAUGUUAAAAACCAACUAUGUCCAGAUUCCCGAUCCCUCCAUGCCGGAUUUCCGCGGAGGGACGGACGCUAAUCAAAUACUGAACCUAAAGUUAGGCAUCGGACCGGAUUUGUUGGAAAGCGUUCAGCAAACCAAGCUUCCGAAUCCGGAAGCUUCUUGGCCUUUGAGCCUCAGAUCGGGCGGGGUUCCAAACUUAAUUCCACCCGCCCACCCAAACAUAAGCGAUCUAUCUCAAAUACGGCAAGAGCCCGAUGAAACAGUACAUCAUCACUGGGCCAGAUUCCUCCUAGUUAUGAACAGGAUAAAGGACUGCCGUGAAGAGAGCAGGAUUUCAAUCUUCUGCAACAAUUGCACGGACAAGGGAAUCAUAAACGCCAUCAGUCGUCGCGAAGUUACACGCUUCGCUGACCUAGCGACCAUUGUACAAAAAUACUGCGCGAUGGAGAGUGCCUGGAAAACCGAAACUAGGUUUUGGGACAAUCCGGCCCUGAAUACAACCCCAGUCCGAAAUAAAAGGGUGCGCCAUAUACAAGCACCUGGGUUAAAAACCAAAAAGCAAAAACCCCCUAAAGGGUACGGAACCGUACUGGAGGGAUGGCUCAACGGACCCUGCAAAAUCCACAGUAUGGAGGGCGCCACUCCAACACAUAGCCUUCGAGCAUGUUGGAUACUGCGGCAGGUGGCCAAAAGUGGCGAAGGCUUUUUAGCCCUGGGCAACCAACCCAGCAGUACCAGUACGGUAUUAACAGUCUUCGAGACUUUCGCAUCAAAUAACAUGCGGAAACGAACAAUCCGCAGCCUCGCCGAAGUCUACCAAGUAGCAACAACAAAUCGAUGGAGCGACACGGCUAUCACCUUCAAUGCCAGCGACGAACCUAAAUUCCGAACAGCUAGAGCACCAGCCGCAUUGGUCCUCAGUCGGAUAGUGGACGGUUUCCGUCUUACUAAGGUACUCAUGGAAGGCGGCAGCGGAUUAGACCUCAUCUACGAGGAAACCCUUCAAAAAAUGGAAAUUGACUGGAGCCGCAUUGAGCGAAGCAGCACAACCUUCAGGGGAAUAAUCCCUAGUCGAGAAGUACGCUGCACAGGAAAAAUCACACUAGAUGUAGUGUUCGGCUCACCGGACAAUUACAGGUCCGAAGAGGUCACGUUCCAAGUGGCCCCAUUCGGCAGCGGAUAUCACGCUUUGUUAGGGCGAGAGGCAUUCACAAUCUUCCAAGCUAUACCCCAUUAUGGGUACAUGAAGCUCAAAAUGCUUGGACCCAAUGGAAUAAUCACUCUCGCAAGCGAUCCAGAUACAGCACUCCGCGCUGAAAAUAAGACAGCCGCACUGGCCCUAGAGGCAUUGUCCGAAGCCCUAGCGGCAGAGGAACUAACUGCGCUGUGCUCCACGGUGGAUAGGGACGAUGUGAUACUCGAUAAGAGGUCCAAGUCCACCUCUUUUAAACCAGCAGACGAAAUAGUCAAAUUUCAGGUCCAUCCAACGGACCCCACAAAGAUGGCCUCCAUUGGGGCACAAUUAAGUCCUGAUGUUGAGGCCGCACUACGAGAAUUCCUUAGGGAAAAUUGGGACAUUUUUGCCUGGCACCCUUCAGACAUGCCAGGAAUCCCACGCAGGCUGGCAGAGCACAGCCUAAAUAUCCUAAAAGGAUUCAAGCCAGUCAAACAAGCUCUUCGAUGAUUUUCCGAACCCAAAAGACAGGCAAUGGGAGAGGAGCUAGCCAAACUCUUAGAAGCCGGAUUCAUCAGAGAUAUAAAACACCCGGACUGGCUAGCCAAUCUAGUAAUGGUACCAAAAAAGGACAAAUCCUAGCGCCUCUGCGUCGAUUUUAAAGACCUUAACAAGGCCUGUCCAAAGGACCCUUUCCCUCUCCCUCGCAUCGACCAAAUCAUCGAUGCUACUGCAGGGCACGAUUCGUUGUGCUUCCUCGACGCAUACUCCGGAUACCAUCAAAUCAAGAUGGCGGAGAAAGACCAGGCCGCAACGGCAUUCAUUACUCCAUACGGGCCAUUCUGCUUCAACACAAUGCCCUUCGGACUCAAAAACGCCGGCGCAACAUAUCAGCGCAUGAUUCAGACAUGUCUGGCUACCCAGAUAGGCAAAACAGUAGAGGCAUACGUAGACGAUGUGGUCGUCAAGACCAAACACGUCGAAACUCUAGUACAAGACUUGAGGGUGACAUUCGACAACCUCCGAGCAUAUGACAUUAAGCUCAACCCAGAAAAAUGCGUCUUCGGAGUACCAGCCGGAAAGCUCUUGGGCUUCAUUGUAUCCGGUAGAGGAAUUGAAGCAAACCCAGCCAAGAUCCGAGCUCUGUCACAAUUGGAUAUUCCAAAAGACCUCAAGCAAAUACAAAAACUAACCGGAUGCGUAGCGGCUUUAAGUCGCUUCAUCUCCCGUUUGGGAGAAAAGGCUCUGCCCCUCUAUCGCCUCCUUCGGCGCACCGAACAUUUCGAAUGCACGGAUGCUACCACAGCCGGACUCGAAGAAAUAAAGGCCAUACUGGCAACAAAUCCGGUCCUGGCUGCGCCCAACCUGGGCGAACCUAUGUUAUAUAUAUCGCAGCAACACAUCAAGUUGUCAGCGCGAUACUCGUCAUCGAACGAGAAACAGAAGGGCACAAAUUCCCUCUCCAAAAACCAGUGUACUACUUAUCCACUGUCCUAACUCCAUGCAAGUCCCGGUACCCACAUUAUCAAAAGAUAGCGUAUGCGGUGUUCAUGGCAUCCCGGAAGCUGCGACACUACUUUCAAGAGUGUUCCAUAACGGUGGCCUCCGAAGUACCUCUCAACGAUAUUAUAAACAAUCGCGACGCAAUGGGCAGGAUUGCAAAAUGGGCCAUUGAGCUCUUACCAUUUGACAUAACCUACAAACCAUGGCGAGCUAUAAAAUCGCAAGUUCUGGCUGACUUCAUCGCCGAAUGGACCGAAGCCGAACUCCCUAAAGAGUACGGCGCGUACUCCAAUUGGAUCAUCCAUUUCAACAGAUCCAAAAUGUUGGCUGGCUUGGGGGCUGGCAUCGUCUUGACGUCCCCAACUGGAGACACAGUCCAAUAUGUACUUCAAAUAAUGUACAUGGACUCCAACAACGCAGCCGAAUACGAGGCCCUUCUACACGGCCUCCGGAUGGCAAUCUCCAUGGGCAUUCAACGCCUAGAGGUGCGCGGGGAUUCAAACCUCGCAAUAUCCCAAGUAAACAGAGACUUUGACGCCAAAGAUCCGAAAAUGGCAGCUUACCGCAACGCCGUCCUAAAAAUGUCAGCUCGGUUCGAAGGACUCGAAUUCCACCAUGUAGCCCGGGAUAACAACCAGGCACCAGACGUGUUGGCACGCAUCGGCGCAAAACGCGACGCCGUCCCUUCAAACAUCUUCCUGGAACGGCUCUUUAAGCCGUCCGUAUUAUGGGAAGAGGAGUCCGGAAAUAACAAUCCGGAACUAGCUGCAGCACCUAACGCAGACAAUUCUGACACAAUCGGCGGCUCAGCCAAUGAAAUAACACCUUCAGCCCACGAAAUAAUGGCAGUAAUUGCCCUAUGGACGGAACCAUUCUUAGCCUACCUAAUCAGGCAGGAACUUCCCGAAGUCCAAAAGGAGGCCCGCUGCAUAGUUCGGCAAUCUAAAGCCUACAAGGUCCAUCAGGGAGAACUUUAUAAGAAAAGCACAACCGGAGUCCUUCAAAGGUGUAUCUCCGAAGAGGAAGGGCGAAAUCUCCUGGCUGAAAUUCAUGCCGGACUCGGCGGGCACCACGCUGCAGCCCGGGCCCUUGUAGGCAAGGCCUUCCGUAUAGGAUUUUAUUGGCCAACAGCCAGGGCAGAUGCUCAGGACUUAGUCCAACGAUGCGUCGGUUGCCAGCUCUUUGCUAACGAGAGCCACAUGCCACCCACCACCCUCAAAACUAUACCCAUCACCUGGCCGUUCGCGGUCUGGGGGCUUGACAUGGUUGGACCCCUUAAAGGAGGAACCCACAAGCACAAAUACUUAUUGGUCAUGGUGGACAAAUUCACCAAAUGGAUUGAGGCCAAGCCAGUUAAAACGGCAGAAUCCGGACCGGUGAUAGACUUCAUAUCCGGGGUAGUACACCAUUUUGGCGUCCCCCACAGCAUCAUCACUGAUAACGGCACGAAUUUCAUGGCCGACGAGGUUAAACUCUGGUGCAAAAACAUGGGCAUCAAGCUCGACUACGCUUCAGUCUAUCACCCCCAAACUAACGGUCAAGUCGAGCGAGCAAAUGGUCUAAUCAUGAGCGGCAUCAAACCCAGACUAGUGCGGUCCCUCAAGGAAUCUAACAUGCACUGGGUAGAGGAGCUCGACUCCGUACUCUGGGGGCUGCGGACCACGCCAAACCGAACUACCGGAUUCACACCAUUUUUCAUGGUAUACGGCGCAGAGGCAGUUCUGCCCUGCGAUAUAAUUCAUGACUCACCUCGCGUGCGCAUGUAUGAAGAAAGAGAAGCCGAGUUGGAUCGGCAGGACAAUUUGGACGCCUUAGAGGAGGAGCGGGACGUGGCAAAAGCUCGUUCCGCAUUUUAUCAGUAGCAGGCUCGAAGAUAUCAAAGCAGAGAAGUACGGGCCAAAACUUACAAUGUUGGCGAACUUGUUCUACGCCCGCCGGACAAGAAAAAGGACAAACUUAAGCCCAAGUGGGAAGGUCCCUUCAUCAUCGACCAAGUCCUGACCGGCGGAGCAUACCGUCUACGUAACGCAUCUGACAACCGACUCGAGCCGAACCCAUGGAACGCAGCCCGUCUCCGAAGAUUCUACGCCUAACGCCGGACUCAGAGUUCGUCUCACUCCUCCGUCCACAUUUUUACAUUUUCACUGUCUCUUGUCCCCCUCCUUCUUCCCACUUUUUUUCAACUACCUUUUAUAGGCUGAUUUGCACAUUGUUCGCACACACUUGAUGUGCUCCUAGCACUCAUUAUACCUGGGGGCUUCUUUAACAGAAGCUUAUUUAUACGGGCUUCAUGCCCAACACAUGUGUCAUACUUCCGCAUGUACCUUUUAUUCACCAUUAUAUGCAUCGAUAUGACUUAAGUUUUGCCAAGCUGGGUUGCCUGGCUCCUGUGCUUACCCCUACGUUCCCGAUUGUUCGGCUAGGAGGUAAAGAGAGCACCUCUGCGAUUGUUACUGCCGGGUCAGCCGGAUGUGUACCUCAGACUGGGUGAAGCCAAAAGCUAGCAUUCUUAAGAGAAUAUUCGGUCGGUGACUUGAAAGAUGAUUUAUUACUUACUUAUUUAUCUGCCCCCAGAUGCUUUUUCUGUUAUUUUCGCAGUACGGACAUGCACUUUAGGGCAUGCCUCCCAGGGAAAGGAACCCUUAACGGAACUAUUCUCCCUGGAAGAUGUUUCUUACUAACCAUGUAAUAUAACAUAGCUAGUUGGGCACUUGUCUGAUAAAGCAAUUAUGACCCCGACGCCUUGUCUCCACGCAUGCCCCGGUUCUUCUAUAACCGUAAGGGUAUUCGGACACACUCCGGACUGUUGGGUCCCGAGGUUGAAGUGAAAAGGUCCGCAAAGAAAAACGAUCUACAAUCCGGCUAGAAGGCAUUUUACAUGUCAUUUCAAAUUACAUCGUCAAACUGACUGAUUGUAUUCUUCUUCAAUCCCAUCUAACAGACUGUCUAAUUUACAGUCCUGUCGGGAAUAUUUCGCGGCCAGUUCUACUUGGCCGUACAUCAAGCUCACAGGGAUCUCCUUCCCAUCAGGCCCCGCAGGUCCGACCUCAGCCAUGUGGUUUGGGUCAGCCUUCGGGUACCGCGUCUUCACCAUGGCCCAGGCCUCCCUGGCGCCUUGACGGCAGGCCGAUAUCUUCCACAGACGGAGGCGUCGCCGUGCUCCCUGAAGCUUCUCAGCAAGCCCUCCAAGGCCCUCGGGUAGGGAGACGGAAGGCCAUAAAGCCUGAACGACGCCACUCAUCGCCUGCCGAACACGUUCGAGCAGUUGCACCAGCUCGGGAAGUUGGUCACCCGUUGAACUGGGCAUUUCCUCCGCAUGGUGACCUGUGAGCACACCUAAAGACACAUUUCUGUCAAUCGACUUCCUCGCCAAAUUCUUCUUUUCAAAGGAAUUUUCUCAAGCACUUACUAUAAAUGCCGCGACGAAGCCGCUGAUUCUCCUUCACGGAGCCAGACAGCUGGGCCCGAACAUCUUUCAGCUCUUCUCCUAGCUGGAUGUGGGCAUCUUGGAGCUUGUUCCUCUCCUGCUGCACCUUCAUAAGCACCAUCUCGCCAGACUUUAGCUGACGCAGUAGCUGCUGCUUGUCCGGAUCUAGUCCGGCGCCCUCUGCAAUCUUAUUGUCAGAUUUAUGCACACGCCGCACUUUGUUCAUUACUUAUCUUUUCGAAGUACGUCUUACUAGCGGGGGUCUCUGUGGCUCCCCCUGUGGCGGCCAGUGCGGCCUCAAGUUGGGCCUUGCACUCUUGGAGUUCCUGGGACAGGUGGGUAUUCUUCUUCGUAAGAUCCUGCAUAAUAAAUGAUCCUUAAAUCAGUUAUUUUAACUAUUUUAAGUCUCGGGGGCUACUGGCAUAUAUAACUAUUAAAAUUACUUACCCGUAUGUCUUUCACAUACUGCUCCGUGGCUCUGGUUAACCCAUCUUGAGCGGCAUGGAGGUGCGCGUUUCCCGCAUCAAAGGCAUUUAACGCCUCCAGGGAGAAACACGCGUCACGAAGAACUGUCCGGCGACGCCUGUGAUUCAUGGCGCUCUCCACCUCAGACCGGGUGGCGGACAGCCUGUCGGCAUCCUCCGUCAGAGGAGCGUCCGGCUCAUGCCUUGUAUUCGCCUCCCCUUCCGGGCCAUGCGUUGGAGCAUGGCUGGCGGAGGCUUGAUUGGCAACCUCUCCGGACACUGUCCGGCGAGCGCUCUUUCUGGAAAAAGUUAUGAGCAUUAAUAUACCUCCUAGGGAUCCUUCCCUUAAAAAUAGCGGUGCUCCGUACCGUUGCGGCGACGUUUCGGUUCGCGUCGCAGUCCUCUUCCGCCUGCUGGGCCGAACUGACCCUUGUUGGUCAGCCGCCGCGGGUUCGGCUUCCCGCCUUAAAGGCACCUCCUGUGAUGCACCGUCAGUAUAGGAUGGUUAGAAUUGAGCGCGGAUCAAAUGAUAGUGUCAAGACCUCGGUCGGAGGCCGGAAACAAACCAGGGUAGUCAGCUGUAAUGGCGACUAGGGCAUUGUCCAUGCUAAGUUGGUGGAACACCCCGUCAAUAUGCUCCACCUUUAUGUCCGGAUCCUCUUCGGAGGUCGGAUCAAGGGAUCAUUCCGUAUCCUCGGGCUGUGGAGUUAGGAUUCGUAUGCCCUCCAUGUCCCGGCGCAGCUCCUGCAUCGAAAUCACAGAGUAAGAUACUUGACUUUGAAAGUAUGGAUCGGGUAGAUGAACAUCCGCUUACCCAGCUCCGAGGGUUAUUCAUAGAGAAUACAUUCAAUGGAUUCGUGCGGAGGAAGUCCUCCUCCUCCCCCUUGUACAAGCCAUACAGGAUCUUUGCCAGAUCGGCUGCCGAGCCUGGCCCUCUGCGGCCAUGACGGGUGGCGUCAUCUUCCCCGUUUAAAUCCCACAUAGGGUGGCCCCUAUAUUGGAGUGGCUGCACCCCUCACAUAAUGCACAUGGCCAUGAUUCCAAUCAUGGUCAAUCCGGAGUGGGCCAGUAACCUAAUCCGGCCCAUCAGAUAAUGGACGCUCCCAUCAUGUUCCCGUUGAGGGCUCCGCGGGCGCCAACUCAGGCGUUUCUUCAAGGGAGCAUAGCUGAACUCCGGGAGGCCGAUCCGAACUGGAUCCAGCAGAGGGGCGUCCUCCAUGUAGAACCAUUCCGAAGGCCAGUCUUCAGACGCCUUCUUCGGGGUUCCGGAUAGAUAUCUGGUCCUGGCGAUGCGCCAUAUUUCGGCUCCGCCCACUUGAUAUAUCGACCCCUCGUGAGAACAGGGUACGAGGCAAAACAAUCUCUUCCACAGUGCGAAAUGGGGCUCGAUACCCAAGAACAUCUCACAAAGAGCUACGAAGCCCGCGAUGUGCAAAAUGGAGGCAGGCGUGAGGUGGUGAAGCUGGAGUCCGUAGAACUCCAGGAGCCCCCGGAGAAACGGAUGUAUGGGAAAUCCGAGUCCCCUUAUUAGAUAAUGGACAAAGCAUACCCGCUCUCCUUUGUAAGGGUUGGGGACGCUCUCCGCCUGCUUUCCACCCCUAAAGGUGGCCAGUCCGGCUCGAACCGGAACCAUGAAAGCUGGGGGAAGAUAUCCCUCGAUUUGGAGUGCCACUAGCUCGCUGUGUGGAACUGAGCAUCUCCCCCAAUCUCCUGGCUUAGGGCUGGGAGCGCGAGAGGAGGAGCCGCGUCGACUAUCCAUGAUAGAAUGGAUUUUUGUCAGAGGCGCUUCGAUGAGAACUUGCGGAUGGAGGAUGGUGUGAGCUGGAUCUAGAUCCUCGCCUCUCUUAUAGGCGGCUCGUUCACAUGGCUAGGGGGUAAAAUGUAAGAAUACCCCAGCCUUUCGCAUUCAUACGACACGUGGAAGAAGGCCAUUAUUGGGUGUAGAAGCCAAGGAGCGCAACAUUUAUAAGGAAGCCGGACACUAUUCGACAGGAACAUGAAGUUUGAAGGAGAACCCGCCUUGCAACGCCGAAGACAAUAUACGCGCCGGACUCAUCGUCGCUGAAGCCCGGUUCGGGGGCUACUGAGGGAGUCCCGGACUAGGGGGUGUCCGGAUAGCCGAACUAUCAUGGUCGGCCGGACUCCAAGACUAUGAAGAUACAAGAUUGAAGACUUCGUCCCGUGUCCGGAUGGGACUUUCCUUGGCGUGGAAGGCAAGCUUGGCGAUACGGAUAUGUAGAUCUCCUACCAUUGUAACCGACUUUGUGUAACCCUAGCCCUCUCUGGUGUCUAUAUAAACCGGAUGGCUUUAGUCCAUAGGACGAACAACAAUCAUACCAUAGGCUAGCUUCUAGGGUUUAGCCUCCUUGAUCUCGUGGUAGAUCCACUCUUGUAACACACAUCAUCAAUAUUAAUCAAGCAGGACGUAGGGUUUUACCUCCAUCAAGAGGGCCCUAACCUGGGUAAAACAUCGUGUCCCUUGUCUCCUGUUACCAUCCGCCUAGACGCACAGUUCGGGACCCCCUACCCGAGAUCUGCCGGUUUUGACACCGACAACCACCCUCAAGGGUCCCUUAGUGGAAUCACGACAUCUUGCAUUGUGCGAGGGCGUGAGGAGAUUACGGUGGCCCUAGUGGCUUCUUGGGGAGCAUUGUGCCUCCACACCGCUCCAAACGGAGAUUAGCAUCCGCAAGUUUGUGAACUUCGGGAUACAUCGUCGUCUCCACGUGCCUCGGUUAUCUCUUACCCAAGCCCUGUACUUAUGCACUUUACUUUGUGAUAGCCAUAUUGUUCUUUGUCAUAUAUCUUGCUAUCACAUAGUUGCUUAUCUUGCUUAGCAUAAGUUGUUGGUGAUCAUAGGUGAGCCUAGUUGUUUUAGGUUUUGUGCUUGACAAUUUAACCGCUAGGUUUAUUCCGCACUUGUUCAAGCCUAACCGUAAUUAUUUUAAAUCACCUAUUCACCCCCCUACUCUAGGCGACAUCCUCGAUCUUUCAGAGCUGCUGCCAAGUCACGAUUUUCAUCUAACAGGUCAAGUGCAUCCUGACCGUCUUGUUCAUUAUCAGCUUCAACAUAAGCCACCACACGGGGCGAGUCAUGACGGAUGUCACUUGGUAGAACUGCCUCUGCUCCAUAAACCAUGAAGAAAGGUGUAUAACCCGUAGACCUGUUGGGGUGGUAUUGAUGCUCCAUAUCACAGAAGGUAACUCCUCCACCCAACAACCCAGCAUCCAUUGCAAAGGAACCAUAAGCUGGGGUUUGAUGCCUUUCAAGAUUUCCUGAUUGGCUCCUUCAACUUGACCAUUGGAUUGGGGGUGAGCUCACGUUGACAGAACUCCUCCAUGGCACCCUUGGACAGAUUAGUACCAUUGUCAGUUAUAAUGUUGUGCGGAAAGCCAAAGCGAAAUAUCACCUUUUUCAUGAAUUGAACCGCCGUAGCUGCAUCACACUUGCUAACUGGCUCUGCCUCAACCCAUUUUGUGAAAUUGUCAACUUCCACCAAAAGGUGGGUCUUCUUAUCUUUGGACCUUUUGAAAGGCCCAACCAUGUCAAGCCCCCAGACUGCAAACGGCCAAGUAAUUGGAAUCAUCCUCAACUCUUGAGCCGGCAUGUGAGCUCAUCGUGAGAACUUUUGACAACCGUCACAUUUACUGACUAGAUCCUCUGCAUUUGAGUCAGCUGUCAGCGAUUAAAACCCAUGACAAAAGGCUUUAGCCACCAGGGAUAUUUAGCCGGCAUGGUGAUCACAAUCUCCUUCAUGAAUCUCACGAAGAAUUUCUUGACCUUCCUCAGGAGAGACACAAUGUUGAAACGCCCCAGUGACACUGCGAUGAUGCAAUUCGCCAUUGGCAAUUGUCAUUGACUUGGACCGCUGGGUUAUCUGCCUGGCCAAUGUUUCAUCCUCAUGCAACUCGCCCUGGGACAUGUAAGCCAAAUAUGGCACUGUCCAAUCUGGGAUGACGUGAAGAGCCGCCACCAACUGAGCUUCCGGGUCAAGGACAGGCAAGUCUUCCUCUGUAGGCAACUUAACAUAAGGGUUAUGCAGAAUGUCCAAGAAGGUAUUAGGCGGCACCCGCUUACGUUGAGACUCUAGCCAGCUUAGGGCAUCAGCCGCCUCAUUCUUCAUGCGAUCAAUGUGUUCCACCUGGUAACCCUUCAAGUGUCCAGCAACAGCAUCAACUUCACGGCAUAAGCCGCCAUGAGGGGGUCUUUAGAAUCCCACUUGCCUGAGACUUGUUGAGCCACCAAAUCUGAGUCGCCAAAGCACCUUACCUGGCUUAAACUCAUCUCCUUCGCCAUCCGAAGACCAUGAAGCAAGGACUCGUACUCAGCUGCAUUGUUAGUACAGGGAAACAUCAACCUUAGCACAUAACAGAACUUGUCACCUCGAGGGGAAGCUAAAACAACUCCAGCCCCCGAGCCCUCCAAUUUCCUGGAUCCAUCAAAGUGAAUAGUCCAAUAUGUGUUGUCUGGCUUUUCUUCAGGCAUCUGCAGCUCCGUCCAAUCAUUGAUGAAGUCCACCAGUGCUUGAGACUUGAUGGCAGUGUGUGGCACAUACUUUAAACCAUGAGGCCCAAGUUCAAUAGCCCAUUUGGCGACUCGUCUUGUGGCUUCUCUGAUUUGGAUGAUAUCCCCUAAUGGAGCAGAACUGACCAUGGUGAUGGGAUGACCCAGAAAAUAUUGCUUAAGUUUUCGGCUUGCCAUAAACACCCCAUAAACAAGCUUCUGCGAAUGUGGAUAACUUUGCUUGGACUCAAUAAGCACCUCACUGAUGUAGUAAACCGCCCGUUGAUACGGAGAGAGAGAGUUGCAGACCAAUUGGGCUAGGAACGGUUACUCCUUACCCGCCUCCUUGCGCUCCAGCACAAUGGCUACACUGACAACACGUGUGUUAGCAGCCACAUAUAACAAUAGCGGCUCCUUAUCAAUGGGAGUAUCAAGGACUGGUGGCUCAGCUAGCUGUUGAUACGUUUCCAACGUAUCUAUAAUUUAUGAAGCACUCAUGCUAUAUUACUAUCUGUUUUGAAUGAUUAUGGGCUUUAUUAUACACUUUUAUAUUACUUUUGGGACUAACCUAUUAACCGGAGGCCCAGCCCAUAUUGCUGUUUUGUUGCCUGUUUCAGUAUUUCAAAGAAAAGGAAUAUCAAACAGAGUCCAAACAGAAUGAAACCUUCGGCAGCGUGAUGUUUUGGAAGAAUAUGAUCGUGGAGACUUGGAGUCCACGUCAGAAGAUCCUCGAGGAGGCCACGAGAUAGGAGGCCACGCCCCCCCUUACAGGGUGGCGGCCCCCUGUCUCGUGGACCCCUCGAGCACCCCCCGACCGACUUCUUUCGCCUAUAUAUGCCUACGUACCCUAAAACCAUCGAAUAUCAAGAUAGAUCGUGAGUUCCACCGCCGCAAGCCUCUGUAGCCACCAAAAACCUCUCGGGAGCCCUUCCUGGCACCCUACCGGAGGGGGGAUCCUUCACCGGUGGCCAUCUUCAUCAUCUCAGCGCUCUCCAUGACGAGGAGGGAGUAGUUCACCCUCGGGGCUGAGGGUAUGUACCAGUAGCUAUGUGUUUGAUCUCUCUCUCUCUCUCUCUUUCUCUCUCGUGUUCUCUCUCAUGUUCCAUCUAAGGCACGAUCUUGAUGUAUCCCGAGCUUUGCUAUUGUAGUUGGAUCUUAUGAUGUUUCUCCCCCUCUACUCUCUUGUGAUGAAUUGAGUUUCUCCUUUGAAGUUAUCUUAUCGGAUUGAGUCUUUUAUGAGAACACUUGAUGUAUGUCUUGUUGUGCUUAUCUGUGGUGACAAUGGGAUAUCAUGUGCCUCUUGAUGUAUGUUUUGGUGACCAACUUGCGGGUUCCACCCAUGAACCUAUGCAUAGGGGUUGGCACUCGUUCUUGACUCUCCGGUAGAAACUUUGGGGCACUCUUUGAAGUACUUUGUGUUGGUUGGAUGAAUCUGAGAUUGUGUGAUGCAUAUCGUAUAAUCAUGCCCACAGAUACUUGAGGUGACAAUGGAGUAUCUAGGUGACAUUAGGGUUUUGGUUGAUUUGUGUCUUAAGGUGUUAUUCUAGUACAAACUCUUUUAUAGAUCGAUCCAAAAUAAUAUCUUUGAGGUGGUUUCGUACCCUACCAUAAUCUCUACGUUUGUUCUCCGCAAUUAGUGGCUUUGGAGUGACUCUUUGUUGCAUGUUGAGGGAUUGUUAUAUGAUCUAUCUAUGUUAUUAUUGUUGAGAGAACUUGCACUAGUGAAAGUAUGAACCCUAGGCCUUGUUUCCUAUCAUUGCAAUACCGUUUACGUUCACUUUUAUUGCUCGUUACCUUGCUGUUUUUAUUAUUUGAUUACAAUUACCUUUAUCUACUAUCUAUUUUGCACUUGUAUCACCAUGUCUUCGCCGAACUAGUGCACCUAUACAAUUUUCCAUUGUAUUGGGUGUGUUGGGGACACAAGAGACUUUUUGUUAUUUGGUUGCAGGGUUCCUUGAGAGAGACCAUCUUCAUCCUACGCCUCCUACGGAUUGAUAAACCUUAGCUCAUCCACUUGAGGGAAAUUUGCUACUGUCCUACAAACCUAUGCACUUGCAGACCCAGCAACGUCUACAAGAAAAAGGUUGUGUAGUAGACAUCAAGCUCUUUUCUAGCGCCGUUGCCGGGGAGGUUAGCGCUUGAAGGUAUAUCUUUAGAACUUGCAAUCAAAUCUUUUUGUUUCUUGUUUUAUCACUAGUUUAGUUUAUAAAAGAAAACUACAAAAAAUGGAGUUGAGUUUGUCUCAUACGCUUCGUCUUUUUAAUAUCUUUCAUGAGUAUGAUGGAAGGGAAAAUUGUGCUCAAGUGCUAGAAGAAGAAUGCAUUAGAAUGUUUGGUACUAUAUCUUUGUAUGAUGAGCAUGAUUGCAAUGUUGUUAGUAUGAAUUCCUUGAAUAUCCAUGAUGCUAAUGAUAUGCAAAGCCACAAGCUUGGGGAAGCUAUGUUUGAUGAAGAUGAUAUUUUUAGUCCCCCAAGUUUUGAUGAGAAUAUUUAUUAUGAUGAAAGCAUGCCUCCUAUUUAUGAUCAUUAUAUUGAUGAAAGUGGGUUUGGAAGAGUGUCAACUUUAGGAAGUAGUGAUCCCACUAUUUUGGAGGAUGUUGAAUCUUAUUGUGAUGAACAUGAAAGUGGAUUUGGAAGAGUGUCAACUUUAUUUAGUGAUGGUUCCACUAUUUCGGAAGAGGUUCCAAUUGAUUAUGAGAACAAAUUUGCUAUCUAUGAUGAUUAUUCUGAUGACUUGUAUGCUAUAAAUAAUAAUGAUAACCAUGAAACUUGUCAUCAUGAUUUUAGUUUUCAAUUGGAUUAUGCCUCACAUGAUAUUUAUUUUGUUGAGUUUGCUCCAACUACUAUUGAUGAGAAUAAAUUUUCUUAUGUGGAGAGGAGUAAAUUUUCUAUGCUUGUAGAUCAUGAAAAGAAUACUUUAGGUGCUGGUUAUAUUGUUAAAUUCAUUCAUUAUGCUACUGAAAAUUAUUAUGAGGGAGGAACAUAUGCUUGUAGGAAUUGCAAUAAUGUCAAGUUUCCUCUCUAUGUGUUGAAAGUUUUGAAGCUAUGCUUGUUUUACCUUCCUUUGCUAGUUGAUUAUUGUUCCCAUAAGUUGUUUUCUCACAAAAUCCCUAUGCAUAGGAAGUGGGUUAGACUUAAAUGUGCUAGUCAUAUGCUUCAUGAUGCUCCCGUUAUGUUUCAAUUCUUAUCUUUUAUGUGAGCAUCAUUGCCAUCAUCAUGCCUAGCUAAAAAGGCAUUAAAGAAAAGCGCGUGUUGGGAGACAACCCAAUAUUUAUCAUUACUUUUUUUGUGUGUCCACAUGAUUAUGCUACUGUUGUAAUCAUGUUUUAUAGCUUUUGUUUCAAUAAAGUGCCAAGUAGAACCUUUGGGAAGACUUGGGUGAAGUUUAUGUGAUCUUGCUGUAAAAAACAGAAACUUUUGCGCUCACGAGAAUAGCUGCCAUUUUUUACUGGAGAGUGAUUUUAGGUUGAUUCUUUUUGAAGAUGAUUAAUAGACAAAUUACUCAGGUCCAGAAAUUUAUAUCAUAAUUUUUUGGGUUCCAGAAGUAUACGUUUGAUGCAGAUUACUACAGACUGUUCUGUUUUUGACAGAUUCUGUUUUCUAUCUGUUGUUUUCUUAUUUUGAUCAAUCUAUGGCUAGUAUUAAGUGGUAUGAACCAUAGACAAGUUAGAAUACAGUAGAUAUUACACCAAUAUGAAUAAAGAAUGAGUUCAUUACAGUACCUAAGUGGUGGUUUUAUUUUCUUAUACUAACGGAGCUUACGAGUUUUGUUUUGAGUUUUGUGUGGUUGAAGUUUUCAAGUUUUGGGUAAAGAUUCGAUGGACUAUGGAAUAAGGAGUGGAAAGAUCCUAAGCUUGGGGAUGCACAAGGAACCCCAGGGUAAUAUUCAAGGACAACCAAGAGCCUAAUCUUGGGGAUGCCCCGGAAGGCAUCCCCUCUUUCGUCUUCGUUCAUUGGUAACUUUACUUGGAGCUAUAUUUUUAUUCACCACAUGAUAUGUGUUUUGCUUGGAGCGUCAUUUUAUUUUGUUAGUUUUUGCUUGUUGUUAGUUAGGAUAAUGUUUUUCAUCUUUAGUUUCAAUAAAAAUGUCAAGGACAGCCUUUGCCAUGCCUAUUUUGCUAGUAUACAUGUUGCUGUCUGAAAACAGAAAGUUUACCGCUGUUGCAAAAAUUCCCUAGAAAAGUCCGAGAAUGGUAUAACAUUGAAUCUUUUUGAAUAUUAAGCUCUGAUAAAUUUAUUACAGUGGCAAUUUUAGUUCAUAAUUUUUGGAGUCAGGUAAGUAUUGUUACUCUUGCAUUCUUUACAGACUGUACUGUUUUGACUGAUUGCUGUUAUGGUUGCAUUGUUUGCAUAUGUUUGCUUUUUUAAUGAUUCUAUUUGAGGAUAUGAGUAUUAAAUAUGCAGGGGCAUUUAGUAUGCAAUGUUGAAUAAUAAUUUUAGUGAUUUGUUACAGUAGAAAAUGAUAAGGUUUUGCAUUGGUUUAUACUAACCGAUCUCACGAGUUCUUGUUGAGUUUGUUGUGAAUGAAGCUUUUGAUAAAAAGAAGAGCAACCAUGAUAUGAAAGGAAUUAAGGAGACACGAAAGCUCAAUCUUGGGGAUUCCCAAGGCACCCCAAGAUAUUAUUUCAAGAAGUCUCAAGCAUCUAAGCUUGGGGAUGCCCCGGUAGGCAUCCCACCUUUCUUCUUCAACAACUAUCGGUUAGUAUCGGUUGAGCCUAAGUUUUUGCUUCUUCACAUGAGUUGUGCUAUCCUUGCAAUGCCAUUUUAUUUUGUUUUUCUUGCUGCUUGAAUACAAUACCAAGAUCUGAAAUUCUUAAAUGAGAGAGAGUCUUCACAUAGUUGCACAAUUAUUUAGCUACUCAUUGAUCUUCACUUAUAUCUUUUUGGAGUAGUUUGUCAUUUAUUUGUGUGCUUCACUUAUAUCCUAUGAGUAAAUGGUUGAAUGAGUUGAAUGUCAUAAAUCUGAAAUUAUAUAUGUUUCAUUUGCUUAUCCCAUGGGGAAUAAUGACUUCACAUCUAAGAAGUAGAGGUUGUAAAUUUAUUGACGGUUAGCAAGCAUUGUGUUAGUCAUUUGAACAAUUCUUGAAAGAAUAUUGAGGGAAGAGAGAUUUCACAUAUAAAUAUAUUAUCAUAGACAUCUUUUAUAAUUGUGAGCACUCAUUAAGUAUGACAUGCUAAAUAGUUGAUGUUGGACAAGGAAGACAACCUAAUGGGUUAUGUUUUCUCGCAUCUCAGUUAAAGUAUAUUGUCAUGGAUCAUUCAAACAUGUUGAGCUUGCCUUUCCCCCUCAUGCUAGCCAAAAAUUCCCAGCACCAAGUAGAGAUACUACUUGUGCUUCCAAAUAUCCUUAAACCCAGUUUUGCCAUGAGAGUCCACCAUAUCUACCUAUGGAUUGAGUAAGAUCCUUCAAGUAAGUUGUCAUCGGUGCAAGCAAUAAAAAUUGCUCUCUAAAUAUGCAUGACUUAUUAGUGUGGAGAAAAUAAGCUUUGUACGAACUUGUUAUGGAAGCAAUAAAAGCGACGGACUGCAUAAUAAAGGUCCAUAUACAAGGGGCAAUAUAAAGUGACGUUCUUUCGCAUUUAGAUUUUGUGUAUCCAACACUAAAAGCGCAUGACAACCUCUGCUUCCCUCUGCGAAGGGCCUAUCUUUUACUUUAUGUCUUUUACUUUAUGCAAGAGUCAAGGUGAUCUUCACCUUUCCCUUUUUCAUUUUAUCCUUUGGCAAGCACUUUGUGUUAGGGUGAUCCUGAUAUAUAUAUAUAUAUCCAAUUGGAUGUACGUUAGCAUGAACUAUUAUUGUUGACAUCACCCAAAGGUGAAUACGUUUGGAGGCAACAUUAUAAGCCCCAAUCUUUCUCUGUGUCUGAUUAAAACUUCAUAACCACAAGUAUUGCGUGAGUGUUAGCAAUUGUAGUAGACUAUAUGAUAGUUGAGUAUGUGAAGUUUGCUAAACCAAAGCUUUGACAUAGACUCUUCCUGAAAGUAAGAUGAAUUGCAAUUGUUUGAUGACUAAGAAUGAAGUUUGCUAGUUUUCAAGAAAGUUUAUGGUCUAUGCUUUGACAUGUGAAUUACUUGUUACUUUAUCGUGAGAAGUUUUAUGAGAUGAACUACUGUUAUGACAUAUUAUCAUGCUAGAAAAGGUGAUUGAAAUUAUCAUUGAUUAAACUUGUGCACCUCUAGCAUUCAUACUUCAUAAAUUCUUUCUUUUAUCAUUUAUCUACUCGAGGACGAGUAGGAAUUAAGCUUGGGGAUGCUGAUACGUCUCCAACGUAUCUAUAAUUUAUGAAGCUUUCAUGCUAUAUUACUAUCUGUUUUGAAUGAUUAUGGGCUUUAUCAUACACUUUUAUAUUACUUUUGGGACUAACCUAUUAACCGGAACCCAUAUUGCUGUUUUGUUGCUUGUUUCAGUAUUUCGAAGAAAAGGAAUAUCAAACGGAGUCCAAACAGAAUGAAACCUUCGGUAGCGUGAUUUUUGGAAGAAUAUGAUCCUGGAGACUUGGAGUCCACGUCAGCAGAUCCUCGAGGAGGCCACGAGAUAGGCCCCCCUUACAGGGUGGCGGCCCCCUGUCUCGUGGACCCCUCGAGCACCCCGAGACCGACUUCUUUCGCCUAUAUAUGCCUACGUACCCUAAAACCAUCAAAUAUCAAGAUAGAUUAGGAGUUCCGCCGCCGCAAGCCUCUGUAGCCACCAAAAACCUCUCGGGAGCCCUUCCCGGCACCCUGCCGGAGGGGGGAUCCUUCACCGGUGGCCAUCUUCAUCAUCCCGGCGCUCUCGAUGACGAGGAGGGAGUAGUUCACCAUCGGGGCUGAGGGUAUGUACCAGUAGCUAUGUGUUUGAUCUCUCUCUCUCUCUCGUGUUCUCUCUCGUGUUCCCUUUAAGGCACGAUCUUGAUGUAUACCGAGCUUUGCUAUUGUAGUUGGAUCUUAUGAUGUUUCUCCCCCUCUACUCUCUUGUGAUGAAUUGAGUUUACCCUUUGAAGUUAUCUUAUCGGAUUGAGUCUUUUAUGAGAACACUUGAUGUAUAUCUUGCCGUGCUUAUCUGUGGUGAAAAAUGGGAUAUCAUGUGCCUCUUGAUGUAUGUUUUGGUGAACAACUUGCGGGUUCCACCCAUGAACCUAUGCAUAGGGGUUGGCACACAUUCUUGACUCUCCGGUAGAAACUUUGGGGCACUCUUUGAAGUACUUUGUGUUGGUUGGAUGAAUCUGAGAUUGUGUGAUGCAUAUCGUAUAAUCAUGCCCACGGAUACUUGAGGUGACAAUGGAGUAUCUAGGUGACAUUAGGGUUUUGGUUGAUUUGUGUCUUAAGGUGUUAUUCUAGUACGAACUCUUUUAUAGAUCGAUCCGAAAGAAUAACUUUGAGGUGGUUUUGAACCCUACCAUAAUCUCUACGUUUGUUCUCCACUAUUAGUGGCUUUGGAGUGACUCUUUGUUGCAUGUUGAGGGAUUGUUAUAUGAUCUAUCUAUGUUAUUAUUGUUGAGAGAACUUGCACUAGUGAAAAUAUGAACCCUAGGCCUUGUUUCCUAUCAUUGCAAUACCGUUUACGCUCACUUUUAUCGCUCGUUACCUUGCUGUUUUUUUAUUUCAGAUUACAAUUACCUUUAUCUACUAUCUAUUUUGCACUUGUAUCACCAUCUCUUCGCCGAACUAGUGCACCUAUACAAUUUGCCAUUGUAUUGGGUGUGUUGGGGACACAAGAGACUCUUUGUUAUUUGGUUGCAGGGUUGCUUGAGAGAGACCAUCUUCAUCCUACGCCUCCUACGGAUUGAUAAACCUUAGGUCAUCCACUUGAGGGAAAUUUGCUACUGUCCUACAAACAUGUGCACUUGCAGGCCCAACAACGUCUACAAGAAGAAGGUUGUGUAGUAGACAUCAGCUGUCUCUUCAAAUCUUCAAAGGUAGCGUUAGCCGCGUCACUCCAGACAAAGUCGUUUGUCUUCUUCAUUAUCUGAUACAACGGUAUGGCCUUCUCACCUAACAGGCUUACGAACCGGCUUAAGGCAGCAAUACGACCCGCCAAAUGCUGAACAUCAUUGAUACAAUUGGGUUUUGCCAAAGAGGUAAUAGCCUUGAUCUUCUCCGGGUUAGCCUCAAUGCCUCUGUUAGAAAGAAGAAACCCCAAAAGCUUGCCUGCGGGCACACCGAAGACACAUUUGGCCGGGUUAAGCAUCAUCUUGUAGACCCGGAGAUUGUCGAAGGUCUGUUUUAGAUCAUCUAUCAGUGUUUCCUUCUCUCUGGACUUCACCACAAUAUCGUCCACAUAAGCAUGAACAUUGCGCCCAAUCUGAUUAUGAAGGCAAUUCUGCACACAACGUUGAUAAGUCGCCUGGGCACUCUUGAGCCCAAAAGGCAUAGAAACAUAGCAGAAGGCUCCAAAGGGAGUAAUUAAAGUUGUGUUCUCCUAGUCCUUAACCGCCAUCUUGAUCUGUUGAUAACCUGAGUAAGCGUCCAAAAAGCUCAAACGCUCACAACCCGCCGUAGCAUCAAUAAUUUGAUCAAUACGAGGGAGAGCAAAGGGAUCAAUCGGACAAGCUUUGUUUAAGUUCGUGUAAUCCACGCACAUAUGCCAAGUGUCGUUCUUCUUGAGUACUAGCACCGGGUUAGCCAACAACUCAGGAUGAAACACUUCAAUAAUAAACCCGCUGCUAAGAGCCGGGCCACUUUCUCACCGAUGGCCUUACGCCUCUCUUCGUUUAACCGCCGAAGGAACUGCUUGACCGGCUUAAAUUUCGGAUCAAUAUUGAGAGUGUGCUCAACGAGUUCUCUCGGUACACCCGGCAUGUCAGAAGGUUUCCAUGCAAAGAUGUCCCGAUUCUCACGGAUGAACUCGAUGAGCACGCUUUCCUAUUUGGGAUCCAGAUUGGCACUGAUGCUGAACUGCUUAGAUGAAUCGCCAAGAACAAAAUCAACCAGCUUAGUGUCAUCAGCCGAUUUAAACUUCAUCUCCGGUUCAUGCUCUGUGGUGGGCUUCUUUAAGGAUGUCAUGUCUGCCAGGUUAACAUUGUCUUUAUAAAACUUUAACUCUUCUACGACACAGACUGACUCAGCAUAAGCCGUGUCGCCUUCCUCGCACUCCAAAGCCACCUUUCGAUUGCCAUGAACCGUAAUGGUCCCUUUAUGAACCGGCAUCUUUAGCUGUAGAUAAACAUAACACGGCCGCGCCAUGAACUUGGCAUAAGCCGGCCACGCAAACAGAGCAUGAUAUGGGCUCCUAAUCUUGACCACCUCAAAUGUUAACUUCUCCGCCCUGGAGUCAUAUUCAUCUCCAAAGGCUACCUCCAACUCGAUCUUACCAACUGGAUAUGCCGACUUACCAGGCGCCACGCCAUGGAAAACAGUAUUGGACUUCUUAAGAUUCUUAUCAGUUACCCCUAUACAACGGAAGGUUUCAUAAUAGAGGAUAUUAAUGCUGCUGCCUCCAUCCAUGAGCACUUUAGUAAACUUAUAACCCCUGACUUGAGGUUCCACCACCAAAGCUAGGUGACCCGGGUUAUCAACCCAGGGCGGGUGAGCCACUCGACUCCACAUAAUGGGCUGCUCAAAUCAUCGCAAGUACUGGGGAACGACUGGCUCAACGGCAUUCACUGCCCUCUUGUGAAGCUUCUGGUCCCAUUUGCACAAACUUGUGGUGAAAACAUGAUAUUGCCCACUGUUCAACUGCUUCGGAUGACUUUGAUACCCGGAUUGCUGCUGCUGCUGGCCUCCUUGGCCAGAUUGCGGGUUGCCUUGACUAUAUCCCUGGUUGUUUUGGAGGCCCUGAAAGCCGCCACCUGAGCCGCCACCACCAUAACCCGGGCCCUGAAAGCCGGAACCUAAGCCAUCACCUGGCCCAUGGUUGCUGUCGAACAUGUUGGAAUUCUUGAAGGCCUUCAUGAUCGUACAAUCCUUCCAUAGGUGAGUGGCCGGCUUCUGCUGAGCUCCGUGUCUUGGAUAGGGCUCAUUCAGCAACUGCUCCAGAGUGGGACCUGGCCCGCCGGACCGAGGAGGUGGCCUCCCCUUAUGUCGUUGAUUGUUGCCUUGUGCAUUGGUGUUAGCCACAAACUCCAAGCUACCAUAAGCCUUACGUUUAUUAUUGCCUCCUUGAUUCGCCGGGUUAUGCUGUGGACCCUUGGUGUUUCCGUUCUUUUUUCCCUUCCCUGCCUUGUCUUCGUCAGACUCGAGAUCCUUGGUACUAUCAGAAUCAGCAUAUUUGACUAGAGCCGCAUCAGCUGGCCCAUGUCAUUACACUCAUGCUUGAGCCGCCCUAGCUUCAUCUUCACAGGUGCAGAACAACAAUUUUUCUCCAACAUUAAGACUGUGGAGCCGACAUCCAUCUUAUCAGACGAAUGUAUUAUGGCCUUAACCCGGCGCACCCAAUGGGUCGUCGACUCGCCCUCCUCCUUCUUGUAGUUAGUCAAGUCCACAAUUGACAUAGGCUGCUUGCAUGUAUCCUUGAAGUUCUAAAUAAACCGGGCCUUUAACUCUACCCAUGAGCUGAUGGAAUUAGGCGGCAGCCCCUUCAACCAAGUGUGGGCCGUUCCAUCCAACAUCAUGGUAAAGUACUUGGCUAUCACAGCAUCACUGACCUCCAGUAGUUCGACGACCAUCUAGUAGCUCUCAAUCCAUGCCCCUGGCUGUAAGUCGGCCGUAUAAUUAGGCACCUUUCGAGGCCCUUUAGAAUCCUUGGGCAAACGUUCAUUGCACAGAGCCGGUACCAGACAAAGGACACCUCCGGUCUUAGUGGUCACUCAUGCCUCAAUAGACGUCAUCGGGUAAACGACUAGUAAGCCGCUUGCUGAGCCGCCUGCUGAGCCGGCCGCAGUCUCCUGACGUAUCCUGUUCUGACCAAUGAAAGUGGGAGCUCCGUCACACGCCAGGUCAUGCCCGCGUGGCUGGUGACGGCAUCGGUCGUUGCUUGAAACAGCCGCCGAAUCCAUGUGCCUACAGUAACUCGGACUAUAGCUUGGGCGAGGGGUCGAGUGAAUCCGGUCUCGACUGUAAGAAUAUGCCUCCUGUCAUGCCAAAGCCGUCUGAAGAAGUUCCCUGACCCUCCGAGUUUCCACUGCCGUCGGUGAGUCACCGUCCACUGGGAGAGCCGCCAGUCAUGCUGCCGCCGUGAUCAUGUUCUCCAACGGGUUAGGAUAAUGACCCAAUGGUGUCGACACAUAAUGAGGCGGAGCAGUGUUCUGACAUGGGGGCUCCAUCACUCGUGGCUGAACCGGCGUGCCCCCGGGUGCUGCAACCCAGUUUACCUCCGGCGGGUUACUAGGGCCCGUGUCGGGUGUGUGAAAAAGGUUUCUAGGGUCAUAAACCGGAGGCAGACAAGACUGAGCCUUCUGGUACCUUCUCCUCAUAACCUCAUUUGAGGCGUUCUGAUCCAUUGUGAGCUGAAAAGCCUGCACCUGAACCUGCUGAGCUCGAGCGUCCAGAGGCGCCCGCUCUACGGUCAUCUUGAUGUCUUCUGCCGCCAGGUCUUCUUUAGCUUGCACUAUAUCCAGCUUUAACUAUGCCACUUCCGCAUCAUGUUGAGCUUGAUCCGUCGGGUUGACCAUGGCGGUUAACAGGGUUGUCAUCUUGUCCAUGAGAUUGAUAUGUCUCCAACGUAUCUAUAAUUUUUGAUUGUUCCAUGCUAUUAUAUUACCUGUUUUGGAUGUUUAUGGGCUUUAUUUUACACAUUUAUAUCAUUUUUGGGACUAACCUACCCUCCUGAGGCCCAAACCGUAUUGUUGUUUUUUUGCCUAUUUCAGUAUUUUGAAGAAAAGGAAUAUCAAACGGAGUCCAAACGGAAUGAAACCUUCGGGAGCGUGAUUUUCGGAACAAACGUGAUCCAGAGGACUUGGAGUGCAAGUCAAGAAGCUCCCGAGGCGGCCACGAGGGUGGAGGGCGCGCCCCCCUACAGGGCGCGCCCCCCCUAUCUAGUGGGCCCCUCGAGCAUCCACCGACGUACUUCUUCCUCCUAUAUAUACCUACGUACCCCGAAAACAUCCAGGGAGCCAUCGAAGAAAUAUUUCCGCCACCGUAACCUUCUGUAUCCGCGAGAUCCCAUCUUGGAGCCGUCGCCGGCAUUCUUCCGGAGGGGGAAUCCACCAUGGAGGGCCUCUACAUCAACCCAAGGCCUCUCCGAUGAAUUGUGAGUAGUUUACCACAGACCUUCGGGUCCAUAGUUAUUAGCUAGAUGGCUUCUUCUCUCUUUUUGGAUCUCAAUACCAUGUUCUCCCCCUCUCUUGUGGAGUUCUAUUCGAUGUAACUCUUUUUUGCGGUGUGUUUGUCGAGAUCCAAUGAAUUGUGGGUUUAUGAUCAUGUUUAUUUAUGAGAAAUAUUUGAAUCUUCUCUAAAUUCUUUUAUGUAUGAUUGAGUUAUCUUUGAAGUCUCUUCGAAUUAUCGGUUUGGUUUGGCCUACUAGAUUGAUCUUUCUUGCCAUGGGAGAAGUGCUUAGCUUUCGGUUCAAUCUUGCGGUGUCCUUUCCCAGUGACAGCAGGGGCAGCAAGGCACGUAUUGUAUUGUUUCCAUCGAGGAUAAAAAUAUGGGGUUUAUAUCAUAUUGCAUGAGUUUAUCCCUCUACAUCAUGUCAUCUUUCUUAAUGCGUUACUCUGUUCUUAUGAACUUAAUACUCUAGAUGCAUGCUGGAUAGCGGUCGAUGUGUGGAGUAAUAGUAAUAGAUGCAGGCAGGAGUCGGUCUACUUAUCACGAACGUGAUGCCUAUAUACAUGAUCAUGCCUAGAUAAUCUCAUAAGUAUUCGCUUUUCUAUCAAUUGCUCGACAGUAAUUUGUUCACCCACCGUAAUACUUAUGCUAUCUUGAGAGAAGCCUCUAGUGAAACCUAUGGCCCCCGGGUCUAUCUUUCAUCAUAUAAGCUUUCGAUCUACUUUUAUUUGCAUAUUUACUUUUCCAAUCUAUAUCAUAAAAUACCAAAAAUAUAUUUAUCUUAUCAUACUAUCUCUAUCAGAUCUCACUUUCGCAGGUGGCCAUGAAGGGAUUGACAACCCCUUUAUCGCGUUGGUUGCGAGUUCUUUGUUUGUUUGUUUAGGUGCAUGGGACUUUUGAGGAGCCUCCUACUGGAUUGAUACCUUGGUUCUCGAAAACUGAGGGAAAUACUUACACUACUAUGCUGCAUCACCCUUUCCUCUUCAAGGAAAACCAACGCAAGCUCAAGACGUAUCAAGAAGGAUUUCUGGCACCGUUGCCGGAGAGGUCUUCGCUCAAGUCAAGACAUACCAAGGACCCAUCACAAACUCACCUCCCUCGCAUUUACAUUAUUUUCCAUUUGCCUCUCGUUUUCCUCUCCCCCACUUCACCCUUGCCGUUUUAUUCGCCCUCUCUUUCCCAAUGUCCUCUCUUUUCCGCUUGCCUUCUUCUUCCUCUCUCUUUCGCUUGCCUUUUUCUAUUUGCUUUUGUGUUGGAUUACUUGUCGCCAUGGCACAAGAUAAUACCAAAUUGUGUGAUUUCUCCAAUACCAAUAAUAAUGAUUUCUCCUCUUAAUGAUGUUGAGUCUUGUGAAAUCAAUGCUGCUUUGCUGAAUCUUGUUAUGAAAGAUCAAUUCUCUGACCUUCCUAGUGAAGAUGCCGCUACCCAUCUAAACAACUUUGUUGAUUUGUGUGAGAUGCAAAAGAAAAAAGAUACGGAUAAUGAUAUUGAUAAAUUGAAGUUAUUUCCGUUUUCACUUAGAGAUCAUGCUAAAGUUUGGUUUUCAUCUUUGCCUAAAAAUAGUAUUGAUUCUUGGAACAAGUGCAAAGAUGCUUUUAUCUCUAAGUAUUUCCCUCCCGCUAAGAUCAUCUCUCUUAGGAACAAUAUUAUGAAUUUUAAACAACUUGAUCAUGAGCAUGUUGUGCAAUCUUGGGAAAUAAUGAAAUUAAUGAUUCGCAAUUGCGCUACUCAUGGUUUGAAUUUAUGGAUGAUCAUACAAAACUUUUAUGCCGAUUUGAAUUUUGCUUCUAGAAAUCUUUUAGAUUCGGCCGCCGGAGGCACGUUCAUGGAAAUCACCCUAGGAGAAGCUACAAAACUCCUUGAUAAUAUUAUGGCUAAUUAUUCUCAAUGGCACACCGAACGAUCUACUAGUAAAAAAGUGCAUGCUAUAGAAGAAAUUAAUGUUUUAAGUGGAAAGAUGGAUGAACUUAUGAGAUUGUUUGCUACUAAGAGUGCUUCUAUUGAUCCCAAUGAUAUGCCUUUGUCUACCUUGAUUGAGAAUAAUAAUGAAUCUAUGGAUGUAAAUUUUGUUGGUAGGAAUAAUUUUGGAAAUAAUGCUUAUAGAGGAAACUUUAAUCCUAGACCGUUCCCUAGUAAUUCCUCUAAUAAUUAUGGAAAUUCCUACAAUGAUUCUUAUUGUAAUUUUAAUAAAUUUCCCUCUGAUUUUGAGAAUAGUGCGAAUGAAUUUAUGAUCUCUCAAAAGAAUUUUAAUGCUUUGCUUGAAGAAAAAUUGCUCAAAGUUGAUGAUUUGGCUAGGAACGUUGAUAGACUUUCGCUUGAUGUUGAUUCUCUUAAACUUAGAUCUACUUCGACUAAGCAUGAUAUCAAUGAGUCUCUCAAAGCAAUGAGAGUGUCCAUUGACGAGUGCAAAGAAAGAACCGCUAGAUUGCGUGCUAAGAAAGAUUGCUUUGUAAAAGCAUGUUCUUCUAGUUUCCAUGAAAAUAAUGAUGAAGAUCUUAAAGUUAUUGAUGUGUCCCCUAUUAGAUCUUUGUUUUGCAAUAUGAAUCUUGAUAAUAAUGGGACUGGAGAUGAGUCAACUUUAGUUAAAAGGCGUCCCAAUAAUUUGGAGUUUUUAGAUCUUGAUGCUAAAUUUGGUAAAAGUGGGAUUGGAGAGGUCAUGACUUUAAAUAGCAUUGAACCCACUAACUUUGAUUUCAAGGAAUUUGAUUAUGAUAAUUGUUAUUUAGAGAGUUGUAUUUCCUUGUUGCAAUCCGUUGUGAAUUCUCCUCAUGCUUAUAGUCAAAAUAAAACUUUUACCAAACAUAUUGUUGAUGCCUUGGUGCAAUCUUUUGAUGAAAAACUUAAUUUGGAAGUUUCUAUACCUAGAAAACUUAAUGAUGAGUGGGAACCUACUAUAAAGAUUAAAAUCAAAGGUCAUGAGUGUUUUGCUUUAUGUGAUUUGGGUGCUAGUGUUUCCACAAUUCCUAAAACUUUAUGUGAUAUUCUAGGUUUCCAUGAUCUCGGUGAUUGCUCUUUAAAUUUGCACCUUGCGGAUUCCACCAUUAAAAAGCCAAUGGGAAGAAUCAAUGAUGUCCUUAUUGUUGCAAAUAGAAAUUUGGUUCCCGUUGAUUUUAUUGUUCUUGAUAUAGAUUGCAAUCUUUCUUGCCCUAUUAUUCUUGGUAGACCUUUCCUUAGAAUGAUUGGCGCGAUUAUUGAUAUGAAGGAAGGGAAUAUUAGAUUCAAAUUUCCAUUAAGGAAAGGCAUGGAGCACUUUCCAAGAAACAAGAUUAAAUUACCUUAUGAAUCUAUCAUGCGAGCUACUUAUGAAUUAAGUGCCAAAGAUGGCACUACUUAGAUCUAUCUUCGCUUUUAUGCUUAGCUAGGGGCGUUAAACGAUAGCACUAGUUGGGAGGUGUCGGUGUACUAGAGUAGGGGUACCCUAGUACCCCGAACUUGUGCAUGGGCAGUUGCAGCACCCCGCGGCAAGGCUUGCCGGGAGAACGCCAAGAUCCUCCGUGGUUCCCUUGGAGCCAUUUAAGAACAAAGUAUUUAAGCUCAGGAGACAAGGCCCCGGCAAGAGGAGCUUGCCGGGAAGGCCAACCAAGGCACGCCAAGGAAGUUGCCGCGACGCGCCACGCGCUCCGGCAAGGCAACAAGGCCCCGGCAAGAGGAGCUUGCCGGGAAGACCAACCAAGGUACCUCGAGGCCCGGUGAGCGACAAGCUUCCAGACCCGACAAGAUAACAACAACGGCAAGGCGCUUGCUGCGGCAGGCGGCCACUUUGUGCCCACGCUCCAGCGCAUCCACCAACGUGUCGCUCUGGGGGCCUCUCCAGGCGCGCGUGGCGGGAGGCUGUGCAGCCCGCGGUGCGCAGUGGCAUGCGAAGCUGACAAGAUCGCCAUCGUGGCGAAUGGUGGCGCCCCUAACGGUCCUUUUCUGCACUGUUUGGGCGACUCAGACGGGCAUUUAAUGCCCUUGUCCCCUGCCGUCAGGGUUAGGUAGGGUGCACUGUACAAGUAACUGUACCAACCACCUCGCUUUUUACAUUUGUACCCUUCUCUGCGUUGCCACCUGUCGGUGACCCCUUUAGCGUAUAAAAGGAGGCCCAUGCGCAACGUAGAGGGGGUUCGGUUCGAUUCACUCGGGAACCUAGAAAAAUACUAUGCUCUCUCUCUAGAGCAAGAACACAAGAUAAUCAAACAAGCAGCAGUAGGAGUGUUAUCUCUCCGGAGAGCUCCGAAGCUGGGUAAACUGCUCGUGUGCUUCGCCCCGGUCUGCUCUUCGUGCGAUCUCCGCCCCCCCGCCGAACCGAAAGGGGCCCGGUCCGCCGGCCCCAUAGGUGUUCGUGGAUCAGUUUCCCCCGACAUCUUUGGCGCACCAGGUAGGGGACGUCGGGAUUGUGUGAACCUGAUCCGGUGUUCACACGAGCUAGAUCUUCAUUCCCUUCAUCAACAUGCCACCGAAGAAGAAGACUUCGGCAGCAGCCGCUCCGUCCACGUCACUUCCGCCACCAUUGGAGCAAACGGGUGGUGGAAUGGACGCCGGCGGAAGAAUGGACGUCGACGAGGAAGCUCAUGAUGCUGCCAGGUCCAAGAACAAGGCUGCACAAACCUCGGCGACUGUACAUGUUCCACACCACUCUCAGGAGGCGCAAGACCAACAGCGUCAUGGCACUUGCAGUGCCAUACGCAUGAUCGGCCAAGACCAAGCUUGUGGAUCUCGGGGCGCUCAAGACCAGCAUGCACGCUAGCAUGCUGGCACGAGCGGGGCACGGUCGCCUGGACGGGAUACUGCUCCUUCUAACAUAGUUAGAAGUUCGAGCACGUCCCGCUCCUCGCGCCGUCCGCCACUGCCACCCACCACUCCAGCAGAAGCUUUGGCACGAGCUCAACUUCUCCUAGAUUACCCUCCGACGUCGGACAAGAUCGACGAAUGGAGGGCCACCAUUCAGAGUCUCAUCGGUUACGCCAACGGAGACACUCCACGGCGGCCGAGCGCGUCGCCGCCGCGGCAGGGUUGCCGGGCGCGAGCCGGUGGCGACGAAAUGGGUGGAGGUGCAACUACCAUGCAAUCACCACCCCGAAGGCCAAGAUCGCCGACUCGCCGGAUCCACCUCGACAGCAACUCCACCGCAUUUUCGAAUCCACGAGCUCGUCGCGAUCAGCGUCAAGUUCUUCAUGAUCGACAACAAGAAGACGCUCGAACCCGCAUCGAGCGCCGAAGAGAAGCGCGACGUCAAUCCGACAAGCGCGCUGGACCCUCUGUUGACAUGCAUGCGCCAGGGGAACCAGGCGAUCUGCCGUACGCGGUAGGUUGCCCUGCGUUCACUCGUGAGCUGCGGCAAGCCCAGUGGCCCAGCACGAAGAACUUCAAGCCAGAUGUACCGGAGAAGUACGACGGCAAGACGCAUUCAUUAGAGUUCCUCAGCAUUUACACCAUUGCGGUGCAGGCUGCUGGGGGACGGGAUGACAAGAUCCUUGCCAACUACUUCCCGCUGGUACUCAAGCCCAACGUCAGGUCCUAGCUCAUGCACUUGCUGGACAACUCCAUAUCCUCUUGGGCUGAUCUGUGCCAUCAGUUUGUCAGCGCCUUCACAGGAGGACACAAGCCUCAUGGCCAGGAGAGGGAUCUUCAUCUGCUCGCCCAGAAGGAAGGAGAGCCCCUGCGCAAGUACAUUCAGAGAUUCAGCAGUGUGCAGCACAACAUCCCAGACGUCCACCCUGCCGCGGUGAUCAGCGUGUUACAUCAGAACGUGCGAAACCGCAGGAUGCGAGAGGAAAUGGCGAUGUGCAAGAUCAGGGACGUCAGUGAGUUAUAUGCACUAGCCGACAAGUGUGCACGUGCUGAGGAAGGGAGGAGACUCCCCGGAGAGAAUGUAGGAGCGGGAGGAUCUGACAGUGAAGAUGCUGCCCCGGCAAGGAAAAACCGGCGGCGGAACAACAGAAGGAGGAAAGGCAAAGAGGUGCUAGUUGUUGAGCAGUCCGGCAACGGUGGUGGCGCCAACAAAGCCAAAGCUGGUGACUCCGGCAAGGAGGUUGCCGCGGAGGUGGCGGUCGCUGACAAGUAGGACGGCACCAACAAGCAGUAUUGCAAGAUCCACCGCACCAAGGGCCAUGAUCUCCAGAGCUGCAGGAAAGUCGAGCAACUUGUUGAGCAACAGAAAGCUGAAUACGAGCGGCGCGACAAGGAGAAGGCCCAGGAAGGUGCUAGGGGAUCCGGCAAGAAACGUCCCGGCCGAGGAGGACGCCGCGGCAAGGCCAAGCAGCAGCAAGGAGACAAACCUCCUCGCGGCCGCGACAAGGAUGAAGAUGACGAUGAGAUGAAGACAUGGAUGAUGAGGAGACUGAUGAGCAGGAGUUCCAGAAAGCCACAGAGGUCCUGUGCGUUGACGGUGGUGCUUCUCUGCACACCUCGCACCGCCAGUUCAAGCAGUGGGUGCGGGAAGUUAAUGCAGCAGAACCACCCGUCGAGUCACGCAAGCCUCUGAAAUGGUCCAGCACGCCUAUCAUCUUUGAUAUUGAGGACCACCCUGAUCGCAUAACUGCGGUCGGGUGCUUGCCGAUGUUGGUUUCGCCAACAAUCCGCAACCUCAAGGUCACUAAGAUGCUAGUUGACGGCGGGGCCGGCUUGAACCUGAUCUCCUCCGUGGUGCUCCAGAAACUCCAGAUCCCUGACAGCGAGCUCGAAGAGACCGGUACAUUUCAAGGAAUCAGCCCGGGAAGAAGCAAGCCGAAGGGAAAGAUCACGUUGCCGGUAACAUUUGGCAGCGAGCUGAACUUCAGGACUGAGAGGGUCACGUUUGACGUUGCUGACUUUCCAUUACCUUACAAUGGAAUCCUUGGCCGUCCGACACUCGCCAAGUUCAUGGCAGCCUCUCACUAUGCGUACAACGUACUGAAAAUGCCAGGCCCGAUAAGUGUCAUCUCUGUCCCUGGCGACAAGAAGGAUGCUCUUAUCUGUGCCGACAAGAUCUACCGGGAAGCAGCAGCCGCUGAAGAAUGCAAGACACUUGCCGCUGAAGCUCCCGGAGGGAAUAAGAAGACCAAGUCCGGCAAGAGUUCUGAUGCCCACUCCGGCAAGCGCACCUCUUCGGAGUGCAGCGCUACCGUCGAGGACGCACCAUCGAGCUCCACCGGCAAGUGUAAGAAGGCAAUGACAGCUCCACUUGAGACCAAGAAGGUGUCCGCCAAGGAGGACAGCGCUGGUGGUACCUUCACCAUCAGCGCCACUCUUGACCCCAAAUAGGAAAGCGCGCUCGUUGCUUUCCUGCGGGCGAAUGUCGACGUGUUUGCGUGGCAACCGUCUGAUAUCCCCGGUGUUCCUAGGAAAGCAAUUGAGCACCACCUUGCCGUCUGUCCUCAUGCGUGGCCCAUCAAGCAGAAAGUCAGGAAACAGGCAGUGGAGCGCCAAGAAUUCAUUGCAGAAGAAAUCAAGAAGUUGGAAGCAGCAGGCCUUGUUAGAGGAGUGCUCCAUCCCACGUGGUUGGCCAAUCCUGUUGUCGUGCGCAAGGCUAACGGGAAAUGGAGGCUUUGUAUUGACUUUACUGAUGUUAAUAAAGCUUGUCCCAAAGACCCAUUUCCCUUGCCGCGCAUUGACCAGAUUGUUGACUCCACAGCCGGAUGUGAUUUGCUUUCAUUUCUUGAUGCAUACUCAGGAUACCAUCAGAUCUUCAUGGCAGAAGAAGAUGAAGAGAAAACCGCAUUUAUAACCCCGUGUGGCACAUACUGCUUCGUACGGAUGCCUUUCGGUUUGAAGAAUGCUGGUUCAACAUUCGCAAGGGUAGUCCACCACGCCUUUGAGCCACAGAUGCACAGAAAUGUGGAAGCCUACAUGGAUGACAUAGUGGUCAAAAGCAAGAACAGGGCGACCCUGAUUCAAGAUUUAGACGAGACAUUUGCAAAUCUGCGCAAGAUCAACCUCAAGCUUAACCCCGAGAAGUGCGUGUUUGGAGUUCCUUCCGGCAAGCUUCUCGGGUUCUUCGUGUCUCAGCGGGGAAUUGAAGCCAAUCCCGACAAGAUCAAGGCCAUUGAGCAGAUCGAAGCACCAAAGCGCGUCAAGGAUGUACGAAGGCUUGCCGGUUGCGUGGCUGCUCUCAGCAGGUUUAUCUCUAGAUCUGCUGAGCGCGCCCUGCCAUUUUUCAAAAUUUUGAAAAAGGCAGGUCCAAUGAAAUGGACUCCGGAGGCGGAGGCUGCGCUGCAAGACUUGAAGAGAUACAUGUCCUCCACUCCAACACUUGUCGCACCUAAGCCGCAAGAGAAGUUGCUGCUGUAUAUAGCGGCAACCAAUCAAGUGGUUAGUGCUGCGUUAGUGGCGGAGAGGGAGGCAGAUGAUGAGCCAGCAACCAUGGCAGAUGCAUCCAGCGACAAGCAAGGGGCUUCGCCGACAAGCUCUGGUCCCGACAGAGAUGGAUCUGCGUAGGAGCAUGAUAAGAUGCAGAAGAGAAUGGUGCAGCGUCCAGUAUACUUUGUCAGUUCCCUUCUACAGGGGGAUAGAUCAAGGUACUCUAGUGUGCAGAAGUUGCUUUUCGGCCUCCUCAUGGCCUCGAGAAAGCUGCGCCAUUACUUCCAAGCACAUGAGAUCACAGUCGUCACUCGCUUUCUGCUGAAGAGGAUACUGCAAAAUCCAGAAGCAACAUGCAGGAUUGUCGAGUGGGCGCUGGAACUGUCAAGCUUUGGCCUCAAGUUUGAGAGCACUUCAACUAUCCAAAGCAGAGCAUUGGCAGAGUUCAUAGCAGAAUGGACGCCAAUCCCAGAUGAAGAAAUUCCAGAGACGAGCAUCCCCGUCAAAGAGGCAAGCAAAGAGUGGCUGAUGUACUUUGAUGGUGCCUUCUCGCUGCAAGGCGCCGGUGCGGGCGUGCUGCUUGUCGCGCCCACCGGAGAGCACCUCAAGUACGUAGUCCAGAUACACUUCCCCAAGGAGCAAGCAACCAACAAUACUGCAGAGUAUGAAGGAUUGCUUGUCGGCCUCAGAAUCGCAGCAGACCUUGGGAUCAAGAAGCUCAUUGUCAGGGGUGACUCACAGCUUGUCGUCCGCCAAGUGAACAAGAACUACCAGAGUCCAUUGAUGGAAGCAUAUGUUGAUGAAGUGAGGAAGCUAGAAGAGCACUUUGAUGGCCUACAGAUGGAACAUAUCCCAAGAGCUCAAAAUGACAUUGCUGAUGGCCUGUCAAAGUGCGCCGCACUAAAGUUACGUGUGGAACCAGGGAUCUUUGUGCUCAAGUUGACUCAACCAUCCGUAACACCAUCAACUGGACAAAGCAAGAGGAGGAAGUUGGUUUUUGAUGACUACUUUCCGGCAGAGCUCCCCGAAGCCUCCGCCAAGAAAGUCCCCAAGAUCAACACCAAGGAUGCUGAGGGGCAGUCUGCUCCGGCGAGCCUUAUGGUUUGUUCCAUUGAAAUAGACGCUCCCGACAAGUUUUGCUCCGGCAAGCUUGCCGGGGAACAUCAAGCUCCGGCAGGGCCGCAAGUCCUUGCCGUGGAAGCAGAUGUUCCCACAGUAGCAAAUGUGCCUUUAGUCCUUGUUGCCGAGCCACAAGCUCCAGCAUGGGCACAGCAGAUUGUCCAUUUCCUUCAGACAGGAGAACUUCCCGAAGAGCAAGAAGAAGCGGAAAAAGUAGCCUGGCAGUCAAGUAUGUACCAGUUUGUCAAUAGCAUACUGUACAGAAGCAGACUCAACGGUGUGAAAUUGAAGUGUAUUUGCUGGGAAGAUGGACAAAAGCUGUUGGCAGAGAUACAUGGAGGCAUAUGUGGCCACCACAUUGGCGCAAGAGCACUUGCCGGCAAAGCUUUCCGGCAAGGUUUCUUUUCGCCGACAGCCCUCCAGGAUGCAACUGCACAAGUAACCAAGUGUGAAGCGUGCCAGUUCCACUCCAAACAGAUACACCAACCAGCUCAAGCUUUCCAGACGAUCCCUUUGUCCUGGCCAUUUUCGGUCUGGGGGCUCGAUAUCCUCGGCCCUUUCCCCCGAGCUGUCGGGGGCUUUGAUUACUUGUACAUUGCAAUCGACAAGUUCACAAAGUGGCCGGAAGUGCAGCCAGUGAGGAAGGUGACAGCACAGUCAGCAGUCAAGUUCUUCAGGUCAAUUGUUUGCCGUUUCGGGAUCCCUAACAGGAUCAUCACCGACAACGGCACGCAAUUCACGAGCCGCACCUUCAUGCAGUAUGUCCAAGACCUUGGCGCCAAGGUCUGCUUCGCUUCUGUUGCUCAUCCGAGAAGCAACGGUCAAGCAGAGAGGGCAAAUGCUAAAGUGCUGCGCGGGCUCAAGACCAGAACUUUCGACAAGCUGCGCAAGUGCGGAAGAAACUGGAUCGAGGAGCUGCCGGUGGUUCUUUGGUCGAUCAGAAUGACGCCAAAUUGAGCCACUGGCCAGACGCCUUUCGCUCUAGUCUAUGGAGCAGAGGCAGUUCUCCCCACGGAACUCGUAUACGGAUUGCCUCGAGUGCUCGCUUAUGAUGAGCUUGAGCAAGAACAGCUGCGACAAGACGACGCGCUGCUCCUUGAGGAAGAUCGUCUUCAGGCUGCUGUACGAGCUGCUCGAUACCAGCAAGCUUUGCGCCGCUACCAUAGCCGCAAACUUAAGGCCAGAAGCUUCGAGGAAGGCGACCUUGUUCUUCGGCGCGUUCAGUCCGCCAAGAAUUCCAACAAGUUGACGCCAAAGUGGGAAGGCCCUUAUCGGGUGAGACGAGUCACAAGGCCCGGCGCUGUCCGCCUUGAGACCGAAGAUGGCAUUCCGGUGAGCAACUCCUGGAACAUAGAACAUCUUCGUAAGUUUUUCCCGUAGGGCGCGGUUGCCGGAAGCCGUUCCGGCAACCACCUUUUGUACAAGUCUUGCCGCUGUUGCAUGUAAUCCUUUGUACAAAGCCGGGUGCAGAUCCCGUGCAUAAGUAAAACCCCAUGUGCUCCGCACAACUUGUUCAUUUCAUGCAUUAGUUUCUUUCUUGCAUGUAUUAUCUGACACUUUGUGCAACACCUACAUCCGGUAAGCAAUAACGAGCCGAAGGGCUCCAUAUUAUUAUUUUCUCUUCUUUCUUCUUUUUCAACAAAGGAAAAGAGGGUUCCCUCGCACACAAGUUUGCCGGGGGGGAAGGAGAAGAUUGUGGUAUGGACCAGGCGUCGUUCAAGCAAAGUUUUGCCUUGCCGGGAAGCAAACGACAGAAAAGCUAAGUUGCCAAAGUUUGAGCAAUCAGUUUUUAAAUUUUCGAGUUAUCUUCCUCGAACGACCCUGCUUUGUAUGGAAAACCUGUGCGCGGAGGAACCAACUCGUGGCUAGUUGCGCCCUUACUUUGUUUCGAGUCCGCUGAACAUCUUAAGUGUGCUGCUUCUAGUCGCGACAAGGUUUCUUGUCGGAAGCAGCGCUACCAGCAGGCUGCUGACGUUCCGCACCCAGCGCUCGCGGCUCGGGCGCCUGCGCCGACAAGUUCCCUAGAAGCGUAGGAUAAAAACAUACAAAGGAAGGAAUCUAGUAGAGGAAAUAACAUAGCAAUUGAUAACAGAAAUAAAGUUAUAUUACAAGAUAACUUGUCGCAGCUCUAACAGACUGUUUUCAUAACAUGAUUAGUAGCGACAAGGAAAAAAGAAGAAAUGGGCAGCCUAGUCUACGCAGUCGCCCUCAACCCUCUUGAUCUCGCUCACCUUGUCCACAAUGGGUGCGACAAGGGCCUUGAGUGCAUCCCGAUCGGCGUCUGGCGGCAAGGACUUGAGGACGUUGGUGAAGCUGAGGCCUGGAUUGCGGAAGGCCACCUUCAUCAGCACCUUCUGGAGAACCCCGGCGCAGAUUUUGCGCGACUCGUCGGCUAGCUGCUUUGGGAUCCUCUCCCGGAGCCGCUGGAGUGCCGUCGCCACGCCCUUGAAGAACAGGCUGAGCUUGGCGCUGGGUUGGAGACUCUCGUCGGAGGGAUACCCAAAGUCCUCCAUCCCGAGCUAGGCCAGCUCCUCGUUGAUGACUGCGGCAAUAUUCACCAGACCCUCGGUCCAGUGCUCCACAGUGUCUCUGAACGAGUUCUGGGUAACUGCGAUGCUCUCCAGCAGCGCCUUGUCAGCUUUGACCUUCUCCGACAAGGUCUUCUCCCGCUCCUUGGCGGCCUCCAACGUCUGCGUCAGCGUGGCCAGCUUCAGCUCCAGGUCUGCAUUGGAAUCCUUGGCGGUGCUGAGCUCCUUGCCCCUCUCAGCGAGAAGACCUUGCAGCUCACCGUGGGCGGCAGCAUCCUUCUCACGCUCACGCUUGAGCGCGGCAAGCUCCUCGCCGCUCUUCCCGAUAUUGGCCUCCAGCUGCGCCACCUUCUCCUCCAGCUCUUUCUUGGCGGCCUCUGCGAUCGCGGCAGCGUCCUUUGCUUCCUUGAGCGCCCCGCCAAGUGCUUGUUCGCGCUCGGCGAGCUCCUCCUCGUAGCAGUCGAGGUUGGCCUUCCGCUGCACCAAUUCACCUUCUCGCGCGGACUGCUUCUCGGCGGCCAGGCUUUGUUCCUCCUCAACUUCGGCCUUCUCGAGAAGGAAGGGCGUGCGCUCCUCGUCGAGUCACUCCUGCUCCUGUGCCAGGGUCCGGAGAGCUUCUUGAUUGUGGCCCCGGAGCUCCUCCGCGCGCUUCUCCAUGUCAACUCCCGCCUUCGCGACAAGCGCUUCCCGGGAAGCCAGCUUGGCUUGCCGUGCGCGGUAGAGUGACAGCAGCUUCCGUAGCAGCUGCUCCUCCUCAGACUCGCCACUGCUGCUGCUAGGCGCGUCGACUAACGACAGUCCAGCAGAGGCAAGCACCUCCCCAUCAAAAGUUUCCCCCUCGACCGGCGCCCUGGAGCUCGACGCCCAGGGUAGCUUGAUGAAGAUAUCGUCGCCGGCCUUCAAGUAGGCGCCGGGCUGGGGCUCCUCGGAGCCCGGCUCCGCAGAAGCGGCAGAGGGAUCGGCGGUCGGCGCAGCGCCUAGCGCUCCUGCGGCCUCAGGGUCAUCAGUGCGAUCGCCCGACCCCUCGCCGGCUUCUGCGGCGGCAGCCUUGGCGGCCUCCUCGCCGGCGGUCUCAUCAGCAUCGGCCCCUUCCUCGCCGGCGCCCUCUGUCUCCAUUGGCUUAGCAGCAGAUGGGUCUGAAGAACGAAGAAGGGAGAAAAAUCAAUCAAAAAUCCAAGAGAAGAAAAUCAGAAGAAGAAGAACCCAAGGGAAAGUUUUUGGACAAGUGAAUUACCUGUGCCAAGACCUGCAGUUGCGGUCUCGGCCGCCGCAGGAUCGACGGUGCUACCCCUUGCCGGAAAGUUCUCCCUUGCCGGAGAGCGCUCCCUUACCGGGAACCCCUCCCUUGGCGGCGUAGUCGAAGCAGAUGGCACUUCGGGACCAGCUUCCGGGCGCUCCUGAUGUGGCUGCUCUGCUCCUACACAAAUCAACAAGCAAGAUAUCAACAAAGGAAAAAGCACUCAUGCGCGCCCGACAGCAGAAAGUUAACUAUGAACUUACGCUGGGGGCUGCGCUGGGGGCUGCUUUGAGGAGUGAUUGCCGGGUCCGUCAAGGUGGUCUCGGACCCACCCCCUGCUGACACGGUGGGGUCAUCUUCGAUGACGAUCACUGCGUCCUUGGCCCUCUUCGCCGCUCUCUGGGCCAGCGUCCUGAAAAGAAAGGAGUCCAGAUUGAAGCAAGUCAGAUACAAGAUAAAAACAGCAAGAUUGAAGAACUACAAGAGCACCAAAGAAACUUACUCUUCUUCCUCCUCGUCGGAGCUGAGCGCGGAAAGAUUGAAGUCCGGCUCCCCUCUGGUGCGGCGAGGCGGAGGAGUAGGAUCCCUUGCCCGCUUGGCGGGGGCGGUGGCGGUGGCCCGGGAAGAUCCCGCUCCAGUUGCUGCUGCUGCGUGGGGCGCUCCCGCGGCAACAUUGCUUGCUGCGGUAGAGCGUGUCGCGCGGCUCGGCGGCUGUUGACCCGGCUGCCGCCCCGCUACGUCCGCGGCCCUGCGAAGACGCCUCCUUGGCGGGGCCGGGGGCUCUGCCUGCGGCAAGCUUUCUGAAGGCUUGGGCUCUUCCUCGCCGGCCUCGCUCGGCUCGGCUUCAGAACCGGCAGGCUCUUCCUCGCCAAUGAACUCCGCGCGCUCGGCAAGGUUUGCCACUUCUGCCGCCUCCGCCUCCUCCACAGUGAACCCGAACACGCCCGCGGCAGCUGCGGCCGCAACCUCUUCCACCCUGGUGGUGAUGCGCUGCAGCUCCUCGUCGGUGGUGUCACGGGUGAGGCUCUUCUGCUUGUCAGCAUGGACCGGCACUUCUUCCAAGUUGUCAAAGAACGCUUGCACGACGUCAUCCGCAGGCUCUUGCCAAGUUGGAACGAUUCCGUGUGAGUCGCACAACGGCAUCAUAGCACAGAUCCGGUCAAGCGAAGAAUUGUUGCACAAUGGAACGACACCCCUCGGCAGCGUGAAUGGGUGCUGGGGGUCGCGUUUGAACAACUCCAGGAGCAUUGCAUCCAGCUCCAAGACGGUGAAGUUGUAGUUGAGGCCCGGCCGCAGCCUCAUGAUGUCCGCCGAGUUCUUGAAUUCCCAGGCGGGCCUCCCCCUCUCCUGCAGGGGGGCGAUGCGGCGGCGGAGGAAAUUUGCGCCUACAGCGCCUACAGUGAGCCCGGCAAGCCUGAGGCGAAGGAUCCUAGUGAUGGCGAUCUUCAGCCUCUCGUCUUCCGGAGCCACGUUGCUCCAGUCAUUGCCGCGCACUAUUGGAGCUUGGCGCACAGCGGUGAAGGGCUGCAGAUUCUCCUCGACGAUCCAGCACCACUCCGCUCUCCACUCAUCCCACUUGCUAUGGAGCUCACCCUCCAAGUACGCCUCCUUCUUGCCGACCCUCGAGAUCCAGGCGAUCCCUCCGGCAAGCGGCUCUCCUCUCUCUACCCUAGGUAUGAAGAAGUGGCAGAAAUGGGCAACAUUGGGGUGGACUCCGACAAAGUUUUCGCACAAAUGUGCGAAAACUGCCAUGGUCAGAACGGCGUUGGGGGUGAAAUCAAGGAGGUGGAAGCCGUAGGUGUUCAUGAUAUCGCAGAAGAACUCCGAGAACAGCAUGAAGAAUGGGUACCCAUUUGGAGCCAGCUCCGAAGCAGUGGCCGGGAGUACCCUCGUGCGCGGAUGCGCCCGCGUCUCCGUCGCCCAAAAGAGGUAGAAGUACUCCCUCAGCUCCUGCACGCCGAGCUAGGGGGAGAAAAUCGCCCGCUCCUUCCGCAGUGCCGCGAGCCGCUGCGCCUCGGCCGACUUCACGCCCUUUCCCUUGUCAGCUUUCGGAGCCAUGGCGGAGGUGGUGGGGGAGGUCGACGGCGUUGGUGAUGCUGGUGGCAAUGGGGGGGCUGAGCGCUGCUCUCUCGGCUUCGAGAAGAAGGGGGGGGGCGGUGGAGGUUCGUGAAGAUGGAGUAGUAGCAACCAGCGAGGGGGAACAAACUGCCCCUGUUUCCUCUGCUUAUAAAGAGGGACGGGGCGGACGUUUCGCCCUUCCGAAUAAAGAACCACCCACGAUCUCUCCCACGAUGCCGCAUUCAAUGCGUGCCGUUAGGGGAGAGCGUGGUGGAUACGGAGCAGGAUUCGGCGUGGCCCAGUCCGCGUGUGCCCGUGCCCUGUCUUGGGCCUGGCCCAACAGCGCUCGGCACCGUGUCUAGCCCAGGCCCGGGGGCUCCUGUCGGUGUACUAGAGUAGGGGUACCCUAGUACCCCGAACUUGUGCACGGGCAGUUGCAGCACCCCGUGGCAAGGCUUGCCGGGAGAACGCCAAGAUCCUCCGUGGUUCCCUUGGAGCCAUUCAAGAACAAAGUAUUUAAGCUCAGGAGACAAGGCCCCGGCAAGAGGAGCUUGCCGGGAAGGCCAACCAAGGCACGCCAAGGAACUUGCCGCGACGCACCACGCGCUCCGGCAAGGCAACAAGGCCCCGGCAAGAGGAGCUUGCCGAGAAGACCAACCAAGGUACCUCGAGGCCCGGUGAGCGACAAGCUUCUGGACCCGACAAGAUAACAACAACGGCAAGGCGCUUGCCGCGGCAGGCGGCCACUCUGUGCCCACGCUCCAGCGCAUCCACCAACGUGUCGCUCUGGGGGCCUCUCUAGGCGCGCGUGGCGGGAGGCUGUGCAGCCCGCGGUGCGCAGUGGCAUGCGAAGCUGACAAGAUCGCCAUCGUGGCGAACGGUGGCGCCCCUAACGGUCCUUUUCUGCACUGUUUGCGCGACUCAGACGGGCAUUUAAUGCCCUUGUCCCCUGCCGUCAGGGUUAGGUAGGGUGCACUGUACAAGUAACUGUACCAACCACCUCGCUUUUUACAUUUGUACCCUUCUCUGCGUUGCCACCUAUCGGUGACCCCUUUAGCGUAUAAAAGGAGGCCCAUGCGCAACGUAGAGGGGGUUCGGUUCGAUUCACUCGGGAACCCAGAAAAAUACUACGCUCUCUCUCUAGAGCAAGAACAGAAGAUAAUCAAAAAGCAGCAGUAGGAGUGUUAUCUCUCCAGAGAGCUCCGAAGCUGGGUAAACUGCUCGUGUGCUUCGCCUCGAUCUGCUCUUCNNNNNNNNNNNNNNNNNNNNNNNNNNNNNNNNNNNNNNNNNNNNNNNNNNNNNNNNNNNNNNNNNNNNNNNNNNNNNNNNNNNNNNNNNNNNNNNNNNNNNNNNNNNNNNNNNNNNNNNNNNNNNNNNNNNNNNNNNNNNNNNNNNNNNNNNNNNNNNNNNNNNNNNNNNNNNNNNNNNNNNNNNNNNNNNNNNNNNNNNNNNNNNNNNNNNNNNNNNNNNNNNNNNNNNNNNNNGAAAGGGGCCCGGUUCGUGGAUCAGUUUCCCCCGACAGGAGGCAACCCAAUUUUCUUUGUUUUAUUUGUUUUUGUUCCUGUUUAGUAAUAAAUUUUGUAUCUACUUUAUGUUUAGAUGUGUUUUCAUGUUUUAUUUAGUGUUUGUGCCAAGUAGAACCUAUAGGAUAACCCAUGGUAUUAGUUAAUUCGAUUCUGCUGAAAAACAGAAACUUUGCGCUCACGAGAAAUAAUUCAAUAAAUCACAGGAAUGUUCUUUUGCAUUGAUUCUUUUCGCUGGGGAUCAAUAGACAAAUUUCCUAGGACUUCCUAUUUUUGUAGGAUUUUUGGAGUUCCAGAAGUAACCGAAAGUUACAGAUUUCUACAGACUGUUCUGUUUUUGACAGAUUCUGCCUUUCGUGUGUUGUUUGCUUAUUUCGAUGCAUCUGUGGCUAAUAUUAAGUGGUAUGAACCAUAGAGAACAUGGAAUACAUUAGGUUUAACACCAAUUUAAAUAAAGAAUGAGUUCAUUACAGUACCUUAUGCGGUGGUUUUUCUUUCUUGCACAAACGGAGCUUAUGAGAUUUCCUGUUGAGUUUUGUGUUGUGAAGUUUUCAAGUUUUGGGUAAAGAUUUGAUGUACUAUGGAAUAAGGAGUGGAAAAAGACUAAUCUUGGGGAUUCCCAUGGCACCCCAAGAUAUUCAAUAGUAGCCAAAAGCCUAAGCUUGGGGAUGCCCCGGGAAGGCAUCCCCUCUUUCGUCUUCGUUCAUUGGUAACUUUACUUGGAGCUAUAUUUUUAUUCAUCACAUGAUAUGUGUUUUGCUUGGAGCAUCGUGUAUGAUAUUAGUCUUUGCUUUUUAGUUUACCACAAUCACCCUUGAUGUACACACCUUUUGGGAGAAGCCUACUUGAUUGAAAUUUAUUAGAAUACUCUAUAUGCUUCACUUAUAUCUUUUGAGCUAGAUAGUUUUUGCUCUAGUGCUUCACUUAUAUCUUUUAGAGCACGGCGGUGGAUUAAUUUUGAAGAAAUUGUUGAUCUCUCAUGCUUCACUUAUAUUAUUUUGAGAGUCUCUUAGAACAGCAUGGUAUUUGCUAUGGUUAUAAAGUUGGUCUUAGAAUGGUAGGCAUCCAAGUUGGGUAUAAUAAAAACUAUCAUAGGAAGUGAAUUGGAUGCUAUGAUCAAUUUGACACUUGAUAAUUGUUUUGAGAUAUGGAGGUAGUGAUAUUAAAGUCAUUCUAGUUGGGUGAUUAUGAAUUUAAAGAAUGCUUGUGUUGAAGUUAGCAAGUCCCAUAGCAUGCACGUAUGGUUAAAGUUCUGUAACAAAUUUGAAACAUGAAGUGUCCUUGGAUUGUGCAUUCUUAUGAGUGGCGGUCGGGGACGAGCGAUGGUCUUUUCCAACCAAUCUAUCCCUCUAGGAGCAUGCGCGUAGUGCUUGGUUUCUGAUGACUUGUAGAUUUUUGCAAUAAGUAUAUGAGUUCUUUUGACUAAUGUUGAGUCCAUGGAUUAUACGCACUCUCACCUUCCAUCAUUGCUAGCCUCUUCGGUACCGUGCAUUGCCCUUUCUCACCUUGAGAGUUGGUGCAAACUUCGCCGGUGCAUCCAAACCCUGUGAUAAGAUAUGCUCUAUCACACCUAAACCUCCUUAUAUCUUCCUCAAAACAGCCACCAUACCUACCUAUUUAUGGCAUUUCCAUAGCCAUUCCGAGAUAUAUUGCCAUGCAACUUUCUACCGUUCCAUUUUUCAUCAUGACAUGUAUUACUAUUGUCAUAUUGCCUUGCAUGAUCAUGUAGUUGACAUCGUAUUUGUGGCAAAGCCACCAUGCAUAAAUUUUCAUACAUGUCACUCUUGAUUCAUUGCCCAUACUAGUACACCGCCGAAGGCAUUCAUAUAGAGUCAUAUCUUGUUCUAGUUUUGAGUUGUAAUUCAUGAGUUGUGAAUAUAUAGAAGUGUGAUGAUCAUCAUUAUUAGAGCAUUGUCCCCAAAGAAAAGAAAAAAAGGAAGGCCAAAGAAAAAAAGUAAGGCCAAAGAAAAAAAGAAAGGUCAAAGGAAAAAAUAAAAAAGAAUGAAAAAAGAAUAAAAGAAAAAGGGGGCAAUGUUACUAUCUCUUUUCCAUACUUGUGCUUCAAAGUAGCACCAUGUUCUUCAUAUAGCGAAUCUCAUAGGUUGUCACUUUCAUAUACUAGUGGGAAUUUCUCAUUAUAGAACUUGGCUUGGAUAUUCCUGCGAUGGGCUUCCUCAAAAUGCCCUAGGUCUUCGUGAGCAAGCAAGUUGGAUGCACACCCACUAGUUUUUCUUUUGUUGAGCUUUCAUACAUUUAUAGCUCUGUGCAUCCGUUGCAUGGCAAUCCCUACUCCUCAUGUUGACAUCAAUUGAUGGGCAUCUCCAUAGCCCGUUAAUUAUCCUCGUCAAUGUGAGACUUUCUCCUUUUUUGUCUUCUCCACACAAGCCCCAUCAUUAUUCUAUUCCACCCAUAGUGCUAUAUCCAUGGCUCACGCUCAUGUAUUGCGUGAAAGUUGAAAAGUUUGAGAUUAUUUAAGUAUGAAACAAUUGCUUGGCUUGUCAUCGGGGGUGUAGAAUUUGGGAACAUUUUUUGUGUGACGAAAAUGAAGCAUAACGUAACUAUAUGAUUUUGUAGGGAUGAACUUUCUAUAGCCAUGAUAUUUUGAGAAGACAUGAUUAUUUUUAUUAGUAUGCUUGAAGUAUUACUGUUUCUUAUGUCAAUAUGAACUUUUAUUUUGAAUCAUUUGGAUCUGAACAUUAAUGCCACAAUAAAGAGAAAUACAUUGAGAAUUAUGUUAGGUAGCAUUCCACAUCAAAAAUUCUGUUUUUAUAAUUUACCUACUCAAGGACGAGCAGGAAUUAAGCUUGGGGAUGCUUGAUACAUCUCCAAUGUAUCUAUAAUUUUUGAUUGUUCCAUGCUAUUAUAUUACCUAUUUUGGAUGUUUAUGGGCUUUAUUUUACACAUUUAUAUCAUUUUUGGGACUAACCUACUAACCGGAGGCCCAGCCUGUAUUGCUGUUUUUUUUGCCUAUUUCAGUAUUUCGAAGAAAAGGAAUAUCAAACGGAGUCCAAACGGAAUGAAACCUUCGGGAGCGUGAUUUCUGGAACAAACGUGAUCCAGAAGACUUGGAGUGCAAGUCAAGAAGCUCUCGAGGCGGCCAUGAGGGUGGAGGGUGCCCCCCCUACAGGGUGCGCCCCCUAUCUCGUGGGCCCCUCGGGCAUCCACCGACGUACUUCUUCCUCCUAUAUAUACCUACGUACCCCAAAAACAUCCAGGAAGCCACUGAAGAAAUAUUUCCGCCACCAUAACCUUAUGUAUCUGUGAGAUCCCAUCUUGGAGCCGUCGCCAGCAUUCUGCUGGAGGGGGAAUCCACCAUGGAUGGCCUCUACAUCAACCCCAAGGCCUCUCCGAUGAGUUUUGAGUAGUUUACCAUAGACCUUCGGGUCCAUAGUUAUUAGCUAGAUGGCUUCUUCUCUCUUUUUGGAUCUCAAUACCAUGUUCUCCCACUCUCUUGUGGAGAUCUAUUCGAUGUAACUCUUUUUUGCGGUGUGUUUGUCGAGAUCCGAUGAAUUGUGGGUUUAUGAUCAAGUUUAUCUAUGAGAAAUAUUUGAAUCUCCUCUGAAUUCUUUUAUGUAUGAUUGAGUUAUCUUUGCAAGUCUCUUCGAAUUAUCGGUUUGGUUUGGCCUACUAGAUUGAUCUUUCUUGCCAUGGGAGAAGUUCUUAGCUUUGGGUUCAAUCUUGCGGUGUCCUUUCCCAGUGACAGCAGGGGCAGCAAGGCAUGUAUUGUAUUGUUGCCAUCGAGGAUAAAAAGAUGGGGUUUAUAUCAUAUUGCAUGAGUUUAUCCCUCUACAUCAUGUCAUAUUUCUUAAUGCGUUACUCUGUUCUUAUGAACUUAAUACUCUAGAUGAAUGAUGGAUAGCGGUCGAUGUGUGGAGUAAUAGUAAUAGAUGCAGGUAGGAGUCGGUCUACUUGUCAAGAACGUAAUGCCUAUAUACAUGAUCAUCCCUAGAUAAUCUCAUAAUUAUUUGCUUUUCUAUCAAUUGCUCGACAGUAAUUUGUUGACCCACCGUAAUACUUAUGCUAUCUUGAGAGAAGCCUCUAGUGAAACUUAUGGCCCCCGGGUCUAUCUUUUAUCAUAUAAGCUUUCAAUCUACUUUUAUUUGCAUCUUUACUUUUCCAAUCUAUAUCAUAAAAUACCAAAAAUAUAUUUAUCUUAUCAUAUUAUCUCUAUCAGAUCUCACUUUCGCAAGUGACCGUGUAGGGAUUGACAACCCCUUUAUCGCGUUGGUUGCGAGUUCUUUGUUUGUUUGUGUAGGUGCGUGGGACUUUUAAGGAGCCUCCUACUGGAUUGAUACCUUGGUUCUCAAAAACUGAGGGAAAUACUUGCGCUACUGUGCUGCAUCACCCUUUCCUCUUCAAGGGAAACCAACGCAAGCUCAAGACGUAGCAGAGAUCCAUCGGCACCUGAGCCGGCGGGCACGCAUGGCCUCCUGCCCGGGUUGCCGCUGACCCGGAGGUUAUUGCUGCCAUAGCCGUAGAGUAUUGACCGGGUUGUGUGCCAGCCAUGAAGAUCACAACUCGGCUCGGUGGCUCAAAGGGGUCCAGAAUACUGCUGCCGUCAGAACAGCCCCCAAGCCCGCCGUCUUGCAGUUGAUACAACAAAUCCGUCUCACCCAUGGAUGACUCACGGUCAGAAUAGAUGGCCGUCUCAUCGGCAGACAUAGAUCCUUCAAAAGAUUCUCCUCCAUGGGUGCAUCUUACGAAGGCACGCUUCAUGGCGGGCUGAGCCUGGGUGGGUCUCGCACGCUAAGCCAUCUCGAUGAUGUCGGUGUAGAUGUCCGGCUCAGGGCCCGGCUCACCGAUCUUGCCGAUGAAGACGUGAAAUCUACCGAAGGGGACCCGGUACCCGUACUCAAUUGAGCCGGCGUCGGAGCCCCAGCCUGCAUCGUCGAUGUAGAGCUUGCCGCGACGACUCUUGGUCAUCUGGCCCACAGCGUAUCCCUUGAGCCCUUCGAAGCUGCCCUUCAAGAACUCAAAUCCACCGUGCGCUGGCCCCACGAUGGGCCCCAACUGUCGUGGAAUUGUCACGUCAUAUGUCCUCGUGAAAGGCCUUAGUUGUGGAGCCAUCGCAACUAGGAAUCUUAAAGGGGUUAGUCGGGACAAAAGACAUGAGGUUUAUACUGGUUCGGCCCCUUAUGGUGAAGGUAAAAGCUUAUGAUCCAGUUUUGAGUGGGAUUGCUUAUGUCUCGAUAACCAGGGAGCGAGUCCGCUUGACCUAGCUCUCGAUUUUGUGUUACUUGCCAUGAACUGUCGCUGGGUCGUCCCUUUAUAUACAGAGGUCGACACCCAGCGGCUUACAGAGUCCCGGCGGCUCAUAAACAGUGUCUGGGUAGGUCUCUUAACUAUUCUUGCCUUACAAUACAAGUAAUGUACAUAUGGCGGUUUAUCUCUAUAAGCCUUAAGUCGCCUUUGGUCUUUGGGCCCUUAACUGAACUGCCAUCUUCAAGCUUGGUCCUGGGCUUUAAAGUACUCAUAGGUAUAACCCGGCCCCUCCUGGGCGGGUCAUACCUAAUAGUUAUAUCUCAAACAGUGAUUAUAAAGAUGCUCUAGAGGUAUCUCCGAAGGUGUUUGUUGGGUUGUCAUAGAUCGUGAUUAGGAUUUGUCACUAUGAGUAUCGGAGAGGUAUCUAUGGGCCCUCUCGGUAAUACACAUCAUAAGAAGCCUUGUAAGCAAAGUGACUAAUGAGUUAGCUGCAGGAUGAUGUAUUACGAAAUGAUUAAAGAGACUUGCCAGUAACGAGAUUGAACUAGGUAUGAAGAUACCGACGAUCGAAUCUCGAGCAAGUAACAUACCGAUGACAAAAGGAAUAGCGUAUGUUGCCAUAAUGAUUCGACCAAUAAAGAUCUUCGUACAAUAUGUGGGAGCCAAUAUGAGCAUCCAGGUUCCGCUAAUGGUUAUUGACCGGAGAGGUGUCUCGGUCAUGUCUACAUAGUUCUCGAACCCGUAGGGUCCGCACGCUUAAAGUUCGAUGACGAUAUUGUAUUAUAUGAGUUAUGUGAUUUGGUGACCGAAUGUUGUUCGGAAUCCCGGAUGAGAUCACGGACAUGACGAGGAGUCUCGAAAUGGUCGAGAGGUAAAAGAUUGAUAUAUAGGAUGAUGGUAUUCAAACACCGUAAGUGUUUUGGGAAGCACCGAGAACUUAUCGGGUCACCGGAAGGGGUUCCGGGCACCGCCGGCAAAAGAUAUGGGCCUUAUGGGCCAAGAGGGGAAACACACGAGCCACAAAGGGGCUGGUGCGCCCCCCCUCCCCAUAUGGGCUGGCCAAAUUGGAGAAGGAAAGGGGAAGGAGGAAAGGAUAAAGGGAAUAGGAUUCCCCCUUCCCCUCUUCCAUUCCUACUCUUAAUAGGAAUAGGAGAGGGGGUUGGCCGAAUUGCGAGAGGACCCAAAGUAGGAAUCCUCCUACUUGAGGCGCCUCCUUGGCUGCCUCUCCUCCCCNNNNNNNNNNNNNNNNNNNNNNNNNNNNNNNNNNNNNNNNNNNNNNNNNNNNNNNNNNNNNNNNNNNNNNNNNNNNNNNNNNNNNNNNNNNNNNNNNNNNNNNNNNNNNNNNNNNNNNNNNNNNNNNNNNNNNNNNNNNNNNNNNNNNNNNNNNNNNNNNNNNNNNNNNNNNNNNNNNNNNNNNNNNNNNNNNNNNNNNNNNNNNNNNNNNNNNNNNNNNNNNNNNNNNNNNNNNNNNNNNNNNNNNNNNNNNNNNNNNNNNNNNNNNNNNNNNNNNNNNNNNNNNNNNNNNNNNNNNNNNNNNNNNNNNNNNNNNNNNNNNNNNNNNNNNNNNNNNNNNNNNNNNNNNNNNNNNNCAAUUUUUGUGCUGUUAUUCCUUCCUGGCACUCUUUUUUCAAAAUCUUUCUCCUGAGUUUGUUCGAUGACCCUGAGAAUUCUUGUCAUUUCCAACCUUCCAAAGUUUUCUCAUGUCUUCUUCAGUGGGCAAGACCUUAGUUGCAUCAUCUUAAACCCUCUCAAACCCUAAUUCCAAAAUUUUGGAAAUUGAAUAUGCCCUUUGUGAUUUUAAAGGGGCUAUCAUUCUCCUUGAUCUGUUGAUCAUCUCAUCUGUUCCUAGAGACCCUUCUAUCCUUUUCAACCUUGGAUAUGCAAAAAAUAUUGCCAAGUCCCAUGCAAUAUUUUUGAAUUAGGAUUUAUUCCUUUUCUUGCCUUUCCGAGGAAUAAAAUCAAAAGGCAUAUCUAUCCAUCUCCUAAAUUCAUGUGAAUUGGUGGAGUUGAUAUUUAUGCCUAAUCCAAGCUCUGGAAAUCAUAUUGGCCAUAAUUAAAUAAGGAAAAUUGUCUUUUCCUAUUUAAUACCAAUAUUGCAUUUCUGCCAUUUUCUAAAGGAACUAUUAUUUUAAUAGCAGGGAAAAUUCUCGCAUAAAUUGUGGAGCUUGUCCUUGUUAUAUAAUCAUUAGUUCCAUAAUCAUCUCAUGUUCCUCAAGUCAAAAAUUUGGCACAUGAUCCAAUGCAAGUUUCUGCCUUCUCUGAAAUUUUUGCAAAGGAAGUGACUUAUUCCUAAUUCCAUUUGAGCUACCAUUCGGCAGGGUGAUUAAAAUUGAUAAAUCACCCAAGGAGACCAAAGAUGAGCUCAAUCCUAUCAUCCUAGCUCCCUGUGCUAUUUUCCAAAGUUUAUGGCCAGAGUAAAAUUUGGUGAAGGAAGUACCUUCAUAGAGUUUCCAAAUGGUAUGAAACUUUUCCACCCUGUCAAGUAUCCCAAAUAAUUAGCCUUCACCCAAAUUCAGAUCAUUUCAUUGAUCUAUGUGAGCACAGGAGCAAUUAUUGUAUUCUGUCCAUAUUUUCAGGUUGUGAAGCAAGUAUAUUUUAUCUUGCUCCAUUAUGGCUGAAAAUAUUCCCAAGCCUUCUCCUAUCCUUAUAACUCACCUAACCAAGAGUUUGGCUAAUUUUAUUUAGCCAAUAUUUUCCUAGGAUUUUCCCAAGUUUCUGGUCAAAGCUGAUGAUUGUGAAGCAAGUACCAAUUUGGCUAGCCCAAUUGGUGUGAUCUUUUUACAGCAUCUAGUUAUGACCAAAUCAUGAGGAUUUGCCAAGUUAUAGCUCAAUCCAUCACCCCUAGUGAGUGCUUCAUCAUCAUUUGGUUUUUGGACAUAUUUUAGCAGUUGUUAAGCAACUAUGCUAAAUAUUUGUCCCCAUGCCCUCAAAACCCCCAGGACAGUAGUCCUUGCUACCCUAAGGCCAACUCCACCGUGCGACCCUAUCAUGUCUGGCCCCGUCCUUUUGGGGCAAAACGGACAAACCAGGCGGCCCAACACGUGGGAGCAAACGAAUAUUUGUCCGUUUUGUGUCCGCUUUCGACCCAUCCGCGGCCCAAGUUUGCACCGCUUUUGGGGCGAAACGGACAGCGCACGGACAGGCGGGACACGCGCGCUUGUCCGCCCCUGGCCCGCUUGUCGAUGACACAAAGCAAAACCCCCCUCGCGGCCCCUUUGGCGCCAUUCUCACCCAAACCCUCCCACGUCCUGCCCGUCCCACUCCCCCCUCUGUCCAUGGCCGACGCCCAGCCGAACUCUGGUGGCCCAGCCAUCAACCCGCCCGGAAUGGCCAAGAAGAAGAAGCCCAAGGCGCCAAGGAAGCCACGGUCGGAGUGCACACCGGAGGAGAUCGCCAAGUUGGAUGCGGAAUUGGCGAAGAGGAGGGACCGGAGGGUGGUCGUCAAGAACAACAUCGCCGCGGCCAAGAGAGCGGCCGAACGCGCUGCAAUUAAGGCCGCACGACACAAGGCCUACCUCGAGGAGAAGGAGGACAUCGUCAGCAAAGCGCACGCCCUUCUCAUGCAUGGCAUUUGUCGCCCGACCGGUUUCUCUGGAGGGGCCAUCGGUCCGGCGAGCACAGGGUCGUCGAUCGCCCGGCCUCCGCAUUGCCAGUCGCAGACCACGCCCUUGUCGCCCGGCUUUCCUCCGCCAAGGCACGACGGCCAGACCCGUUUCAGAGGGUCGCCGGACGUGAGCGUGAUCGCGCCAUCCACACCGCGCCCCUCGGACGUCAUCGACCUCAACGGCAUUUGAUAUGUUUCUCUUUUUUUUAAAAAAAUAGACGCAGACAGGAUGGGGUAAAGGAUGCGGCCGCGCGCUGGGCGCACGGCCACCGCAUCCCCGGACAGGCCCGGACACGACCCCAUCCCCCUGCCCAAACGGAUAAAAUCCGGACAAAACGGACGUCCGUAUGGGGUCGCGUGGUGGAGUUGGCCUCAGCCUCCUAGACAUCAAAGUUACCAUUUACCCUCUCUGGUUUUACCUCUAGGACAUUGACAAGUUUAGUGCAGUAAACUUGUGGAGCUUGGUUUACUCAUCUCCCUUUGUCUCUGCCUGUCUAUUUACCGUAGUAAUACUCCACGCUGGAAGGACUACGCAAUAGACAUGGUUUAACCUCAGUAAAAAAACCAGAGCGCGCUAUGCCAGCGGUGACCACGAGUGCAGCAUGCCAAAAUGGUGGUCUAGCCAUUGUUCUCAUCAGCAUCGCUGCCCCGACCGUCCCUGACCUCGCCAUUAAUGUCUAGCAGCUCUGCAUCAUCGUCGCCGUUCGCCUAGAGCCCGCUCCCCCUCCGUUUGCUUCUCCCACAAGCCAAGCCAAGGGUCGAGCUGUGCGCCCGUGGCCAUCAUCUUCUUCCUCGCCUCUAUCCGCUUCCCCCUCGCGUCCGCGAGUGCCCCUCGUCUCCGUGAGCCUCUGGCGCUCGUCGGGAUCCCCCUCGUCGCCUUCCCGCUGCCUCUCGUGAGCUCUGGCCGCGACUGCCGACGACUGUGUCGUCGCCGACGCGCGGACGCGUCCCUGCCGCGUGCCACCUCGUCCUCUCCUUCUCAAGCCUUCCCCGUGGCUAUUUAAGCAGCCCUCGAGCUCUCUCGCAGCUCACAACCCCUCCCUAGCCUCUCCCCCGAGCUCCCAAGCCUCUCUGGCCUCUCCCCAUCGCCAUAGCCGCCGCCUCGGGCCUCCAUCGUUUCGGUCGCCCUCGAGCCCUCCUCUCCAUUUCCUGGCCACCAUUGCAUCCCCCGUGCUCCGGCGAGCCGCCCCGUAGCCUCAGCCCCCUCAUUCCCUCGCCAGAGCACCUCCCCUCGUCGACGACCGAAGCCCUCCAACGCCGUCCGCCAUUCUCAAGAACGUUGUCGUUCCCCUCGUUUUUGGAGUCCAUGGAGUGGGGGAACGGAUGCGUGAUAUGUCUCCGUCGUAUCUAUAAUUUUUGAUUGUUCCAUGCCAAUAUCCUUCAACUUUCAUAUACUUUUGGCAACAUUUUAUACUAUUUUUGGGACUAACAUAUUGAUCCAGUGACCGGUGCUAGUUCCUGUCUGUUGCAUGUUUUAUGUUUCGCAGAAAACCAAUAUCAAACGGAAUCCAAACGGGAUAAAAACGUACGGGGAAUUAUUUUGGAAUAUUUGUGAUUUUUGGGAGGUGGAAUCAAUGUGAAACAGUGUCCGAGGUGGCCACGAGAUAGGGGGCACACCCCCCCCCCCCCGGGCACGCCCUGGGCUCUCAUGGGCCACCCGUAAGGCGGUUGACACUCUACUUUUGCUGCAAGAAAGCUAAUUAUACGAGAAAAAUCUGGGCGAAAGAUUCACCCCGAUCGGAGUUACGGAUCUCCAGAUAUAAAGGAAAUGGUAAAGGGGUAGAACCAGGAAACGUAGAAACACAGAGAUAGGUCCAAUCUCGGAGGGGCUCUCUCCCCUCCCAAGCCAUGGGAGCCAAGGACCAGAGGGGAAACCCUUCUCCCAUCUAGGGAGGAGGUCAAGGAAGAAGAAGAAGAAGGGGGGCCCUCUCCCCCUUGCUUCCGGUGGCGCCAGAGCGCUGCCGGGGGCCAUCAUCAUCACCGCGAUCUUCACCAACACCUCCAUCAUCUCACCAACAUCUCCAUCACCUUCCCCCUUCUAUAUCUAGUGGUCCACUCUCCCGCAACCCACUGUACCCUCUACUUGAACAUGGUGCUUUAUGCUUCAUAUUAUUUUCCAAUGAUGUGUUACCAUCCUAUGAUGUCUAAGUAGAUUUUCGUUGUCCUAUCAAUGAUUGAUGAAUUGCUAUGAUUGGUUUGAGUUGCAUGUUUUAUUAUUGGUGUUGUCCUAUGGUGCCCUCCGUGUCACGCAAGUGUGAGGGAUUCCCGCUAUAGGGUUUGCAAUAUGUUUAUGAUUUGCUUAUGGUGGGUUACGUGAGUGACGGAAACACAAACCCGAGUAAGUAGGUUGUUUGCGUAUGGGAUAAAAGGGAACUUGAUACUUUAAUGAUAUGGUUGGGUUUUACCUUAAUGAAUCUUUAGUAUUUGCGGAUGCUUGCUAGAGUUCCAAUCAUAAGUGCAUAGAAUUCCAAGUAAGGGACGAUAUGUUGGCUUAUGCCUCUCCCUCAAAUAGAAUUGCAAUAGUGAUUACCGGUCUAGUAACAUAGUCAGUUGCUUAGGAACAAUUUCACAACUCCUACCACCACUUCUCCACACUCGCUAUAUUUACUUUCUUGCAUCUUUAUUUAAACAUCCCCUAGCUUUUAUUUAUGUGCUCUUUAUUAUCUUGCAAACCUAGGCUUUCACACCUUCAAAGUGCUUCUAGUUUCAUACUUGUUCUAGGUAAAGCAAACGUCAAGCGUGCGUAGAGUCGUAUCAGUGGCAUAUAGGACUUGAGAGAGUAUUUUUUCUACCUUUAGCUCCUCGUUGGGUUCGACACUCUUACUUAUCGAAAGAGGCUACAACUAUCCCGUAUACUUGCGGGUCAUCAAGACCUUUUUCUAGCGCCGUUGCCGCGGAGUCAUAGCGUGGGGCGAAUAUUCUCGUGUGUGCUUGUUUGCUUUAUCACUAAGUAAUUUUUAUUUGCUGUUCUUAGUCAUUCUCUAUAUUUAGUUAUGGAUAUGGAACGCAAAAUACCAAAAAAUUAGCUGUACUUGCUACUCAUUAAGAUGGGGUAACUCCUAAAACCCUCGAUUCUCAUUAUGCGAAAGAUAUUAUGUACUACUUUGAUAAUCCUGAGAAAGCCCCAUUCAACUUUAUAAUGUGAGACAUGUUGGAUCAACCUGAAUACUUUAGGGAUUAUCACUCGACACAAAAAGGGAAACUAUUAUGGGAUCAAUUUAUUAUGUUGCGUUGGUAUGCCUGGAAUCUCUGCUUGAGAUAUGAUAUUACUUGUUGCUCUAGGAUGGAGGCUCCACACCUCCCCUUUUCAUGCAAAUUGAACGAUAAUGAAACCUUAGCUUCUUAUGCUAAUGGUAUAUAUGAUUACUAUGAUGUGGAACAAAUAGAAGAAUUUGUUGCUUUUAAGGCUGCCAAUGAUAUUGAAGCUUUGUUUGAAAAGUAUGAAGCUUUUGAUGAUGAUGGUUAUAGGCCGGAAAAUCUUGGUAUACUUGGAUAUUGCUAUGAAAAUUAUGAAUACAAUUACUAUAUUAAUGCUUUUAUGAAGAAAGUCAACGCUGUCCAAGAAGAGAUUAAUAUUUUGCAGGAAGCUAUGGAAGAAGAAAUUGAUGAAACUGUGAGCUCAUUGGUUGAAAAAGAUGAUGAGGAGAGUGAAGAACAAAAGGAGGAAGAGCGGAUUGAUCACCCGUGCCCACCUUCUAAUGAGAGUAAAUCUUCAACUCAUACAUUGUUUAAUUCCCCUUCGUGCUUACCGAAGGAUGAUUGCUAUGAUCCCGUUGAUUCUCUUGAAAUAUCCCUUUUUGAUGAUGCUUGCUAUGCUUGUGGCCAAGAUGCCAAUAUGAAUUAUGCUUAUGGAGAUGAACUUGCUAUAGUUCCUUAUGUUAAACAUGAAAUUGUUGCUAUUUCACCCACGCAUGAUAGUGCUAUUAUCUUUUUGAAUUCUCCAAACUACAGUAUAUUGUAGAAGUUUGUGCUUAUUAAGGAUUAUAUGAAUGGGUUGGCUUUUACCAUUGCACAUGAUGAUUUUGAUGAAUGUAAUAUGCAUGUGCUUGCUGCUCCUACUUGCAAUUAUUAUGAGAGAGGAACUAUUUCUCCACCUCUCUAUGUUUCCCAUACUAUGAAUUUGCAAGAAACUGCCUAUACUAUGCACUGGACUUACUAUGUGUGCAUGAAUUGUUCUUUUAUGACAUGCCGAUGCAUAGGAAGAGAGUUAUACUUCGUCGUUGCAUGAUAUAUGUUACUUUGUGCUCACUACUAAAUUACAAAUCAUUGUUAAUUAAAAUUGGCUUUGAUAUACCUUGGGAUCCGGGUGGAUUCAUUACUUGAGCACUAAAUGCCUAGCUUAAUGGAUUUAUAGAAAGCGCUGCCAGGGAGACAACCCGGAAGUUUUAGAGAGUCAUUUAUUUCUGUUGAGUUCUUUUAUAUAGUUUAAAAACACAAAAAUAAAGAGGGGAACCUAAAAACUUUUCAAAAAGGAAAGUGAAAGUGAGAAAGACAAGCAUCGUUGAAGUGGGAGAGCUCCUUGAACUUUGUUCAUGCUCACGGAAACUUUGUGAAUCUUGAUUACAGAAACUUUUCAUCAAAAAUAAUUAUCCCCUUGUACAAUUCCAUUGUAUUAUAAAAAUAAUGUGCCAAGAUUUGCCUUUAGGAUGUUUACAAUGCUUGUUGGUUUGUACGGUGCAGGACAGAAAAUUUGGCUGUAGUGCGAGAUUUUACAUUUUUAUCUGAAAUGUCAAUUGGUUCUGAUUCCUUUUGCAAUGUAUUUCUAUAUAACUUGUUUAUUUUUCCUAAUUUUGGUAGAAUUUGUGGGGUAGCAGAAGUAUGGUGGAUGUUCAGAUUGCUACAGACUGUUCUGUUUUUGACAGAUUCUGUUUUUGAUGCAUAGUUUGCUUGUUUUGAUGAAUCUAUCAAUUUAUAUUAGUGGAUUAAGCCAUGGAAAAGUUAUAUUACAGUAGACACAAUGAAAAAACAAAAUAUGAAUUGGUUUGCAACAGUACUUAGAGUGGUGAUUUGCUUUAUUAUACUAACGGAUCUUACCGAGUUUUCUGUUGAAGUUUUGUGUGGAUGAAGUGUCUAAACGAGAAGGUCUCGAUAUGAGGAAAAGGAAGAGAGGCAAGAGCUUACGCUUGGGGAUGCCCGAGGCACCCCAAGUAAAUAUUCAAUGAGACUCAAGCGUCUAAGCUUGGGUAUGCCCCGGAAGGCAUCCCCUCUUUCUUCAACAAGUAUCGGUAUGUUUUCGUAUUCGUUUCGUUCGUGCAUUAUGUGCAGGUCUUGGAGCGUCUUUUGCAUUUAGUUUUCAUUUUUCUUUUAUGCACCAUGCUGGUAUGAGAUAGUCCUUGGUUGAUUUAUAGAAUUCUCAUUGCACUUCACUUAAAUCUUUUGAGUAUGGCUUUAUAGAAUGCUUCAUGUGCUUCACUUAUAUCAUUUGAAGUUUGGAUUGCCUGUUUCUCUUCACAUAGAAAACCGCCAUUUGUAGAAUGCUCUUUUGCUUCACUUAUAAUUGUUAGAGCGUGCGCACAUCUUUUGUAGAAAGAAUUGAACUCUCUUGCUUCACUUAUAUCAAUUUAGAGAGAUGACAGGAAUUGGUCAUUCACAUGGUUAGUCAUAAAAUCCUACAUAAACUUGUGGAUCACUGAAUAUGAUAUGUUCGAUUCCUUGCAAUAGUUUUGCGAUAUAAAGGUGGUGAUAUUAGAGUUAUGCUAGUGGGUGAUUGUGGAUUAGUACAAAUAAUUGUGUUGAGGUUUGUGACUCCCGUAGCAUGCACGUAUGGUGAACCGCUUUGUGAUGAAGUUGGAGCACAAUUUUAUUUAUUGAUUGUCUUCCUUAUGAGUGGCGGUCGGGGACGAGCGAUGGUCUUUUCCUACCAAUAUACCCCCCUAGGAGCAUGCGCGUAGUACUUUGUUUUCAAUGGCUUGUAGAUUUUUGCAAUAAGUAUAUGAGUUCUUUAUGACUAAUGUUGAGUCCAUGGAUUAUACGCACUCUCACCCUUCCAUCAUUGCUAGCCUCUUCGGUACCGUGCAUUGCCCUUUCUCACCUCGAGAGUUGAUGCAAACUUCGCCGGUGCAUCCACACCCCGUGAUAUGAUACACUCUGUCACACAUAGCCUCCUUAUAUCUUCCUCAAAACAGCCACCAUACCUACCUAUCAUGGCAUUUCCAUAGCCAUUCUGAGAUAUAUUGCCAUGCAACUUCCAUCAUAUCAUAUACAUGACUUGAGCAUUCAUUGCCAUAUUGCCUUGCAUGAUCGUAAGAUAGCUCUCAUGAUGUUUUCAUGGCUUGUCCGUUUUUUGAUGUCAUUGCUACGCUAGAUCAUUGCACAUCCCGGUACACCGCCGGAAGUAUUCAUAUAGAGUCAUAUCUUUGUUCUAGAUAUUGAGUUGUAAGUAAAUAAAAGUGUGAUGAUCAUCAUUAUUAGAGCAUUGCCCUAGUGAGGAAAGGAUGCUGGAGACUAUUAAUCCCCCACAAGUCGGGAUGAGACUCUGGACUUUAUGAAAAAUAAAAGAGGCCAAAGAAGCCCAAAUAAAAAGGAGGCCAAAGAAGCCCACCGAAAAGAAAAAAAAAUAAAGCUAAAAAAUAGAAAAAAGAAAAAAAGAAAAAAAAUGAGAGAAAAAGAGAGAAGGGGCAAUGUUACUAUCCUUUUACCACACUUGUGCUUCAGAGUAGCACCAUGUUCUUCAUAGAGAGAGUCUCCUAUGCUUUCACUUUCAUAUAAUAGUGGGAAUUUUAAUUAUAGAACUUUGCUUGUAUAUUCCGAUGAUGGGCUUCCUCAAAUGCCCGAGGUCUUCAUGAGCAAGAAAGUUGGAUGCACACCCACUUAGUUUCAGUUUGAGCUUUCAUACACUUAUAGCUCUAGUGCAUCCAUUGCAUGGCAAUCUCUACUCACUCACAUUGAUAUCUAUUGAUGGGCAUCUCCAUAGCCCGUUGAUAUGCCUAGUCGAUGUGAGACUUUCUCCUUUUUUGUCUUCUCCACAUAACCCCACCAUCAUAUUCUAUUCCACCUAUAGUGCUAUGUCCAUGGAUCACGCUCAUUUAUUGCGUGAAAGUUGAAAAGGUUUGAGAUUAUUAAAGUAUGAAACAAUUGCUUGGCUUGUCAUCGGGGUUGUGCAUGAUUAAAUACUUUGUGUGAUGAAGAUAGAGCAACAACCAGACUAUAUGAUUUUGUAGGGAUAACUUUCUUUGGCCAUGUUAUUUUGAAAAGACAUGAUUGCUUUAUUGGUACGCUCGAAGUAUUAUUGUUUUUAUGUCAAAUGAUAGACUAUUGCUUUGAAUCACUCGUGUCUUAAUAUUCAUGCCAUGAUUAGACAUAUGAUCAAGAUUAUACUAUGUAGCAUUCCACAUCAAAAAUUAUCUUUUUUAUCAUUUACCUACUCGAGGACGAGCAGGAAUUAAGCUUGGGGAUGCUGAUACGUCUCCGUCGUAUCUAUAAUUUUUUAUUGUUCCAUGCCAAUAUUGUUCAACUUUCAUAUACUUUUGGCAACUUUUUAUACUAUUUUUGGGACUAACAUAUUGAUCCAGUGCCCAGUGCCAGUUCAUGUCUGUUGCAUGUUUUAUGUUUCGCAGAAAACCAAUAUCAAACGGAAUCCAAAUGGGAUAAAAACGGACGGAGAAUUAUUUUGGAAUAUUUGUGAUUUUUGGGAGGUGGAAUCAACGCGAAACAGUGUCCGAGGUGGCCACGAGACAGCCCCCCCCGGGGCGCGCCCUGGGCUCUCGUGGGCCACCUGUAAGGCGGUUGACUCUCUACUUUUGCUGCAAGAAAGCUAAUUUUACGAGAAAAAUCUAGGCGAAAGAUUCACCCCAAUCGGAGUUACGGAUCUGCAGAUAUAAAGGAAACGGUGAAGGGGUAGAACUAGGAAACGCAGAAACAAAGAGAUAGAUCCAAUCUCGGAGGGGCUCUAGCCCCUCCCAAGCCAUGGGAGCCAAGGAACAGAGGGGAAACCCUUCUCCCAUCUAGGGAGGAGUUCAAGGAAGAAGAAGAAGAAGGGGGGCCCUCUCCCCCUUGCUUCCGGUGGCACCGGAGCACUGCCGGGGGCCAUCAUCAUCACUGCGAUCUUCACCAACACCUCCAUCAUCUUCACCAACAUCUCCAUCACCUUCCCCCUUCUAUAUCCAGCGGUCCACUCUCCCGCAACCCACUGUACCCUCUACUUGAACAUGGUGCUUUAUGCUUCAUAUUAUUUUCCAAUGAUGUGUUGCCAUCCUAUGAUGUGUGAGUAGAUUUUCGUUGUCCUAUCGGUGAUUGAUGAAUUGCUAUGAUUGGUUUGAGUUAAUGUUUUAUUAUUGGUGCUGUCCUAUGGUGCCCUCCGUGUCGUGCAAGCGUGAGGGAUUCCCACUGUAGGGUUUGCAAUAUGUUUAUGAUUUGCUUAUGGUGGGUUGCGUGAGUGACGAAAACACAAACCCGAGUAAGUAGGUUGUUUGCGUAUGGGAUAAAAGGGGACUUGAUACUUUAAUACUAUGGUUGGGUUUUACCUUAAUGAAUCUUUAGUAUUUUCGGAUGCUUGCUAGAGUUCCAAUCAUAAGUGCAUAGAAUUCCAAGUAAGGGACGAUAUGUCAGCUUAUGCCUCUCCCUCAAAUAGAAUUGCAAUAGUGAUUACCGGUCUAGUAACAUAGUCAGUUGCUUAGGGACAAUUUCACAACUCCAACCACCACUUUUCCACACUCGCUAUAUUUAAUUUCUUGCAUCUUUAUUUAAACAUCCCCUAGCUUUUAUUUACGUUCUCUUUAUUGUCUUGCAAAUCUAGCCUUUCACACCUUCAAAGUACUUCUAGUUUCAUACUUGUUCUAGGUAAAGCAAACGUCAAGCAUGCAUAGAGUCGUAUCAGUGGUAGAUAGGACUUGAGAGAGUAUUUGUUCUUAGUCGUUAUGGUAUCAAGUUCCCUUUUAUCCCAUACGCAACUCACCAUAACAUCCAGGAUAGUUGUAGAUAUCCAUAACAUCCAGGAUAGUUGUAGCCUCUUUCGAUAAGUAAGAGUGUCGAACCCAAUUUUUAUUUGCUGUUCUUAGUCGUUCUCUAUCUUUAGUUAUGGAUAUGGAACGCAAAAUACCAAACAAAUUAGCUGUACUUGCUACUCAUGAAGAUGGGGUAACUCCUAAAACCCUCGAUUCUCAUUAUGCGAAAGAUAUUAUGUACUACUUUGAUAAUCCUGAGAAAGCCCCAUUCAACUUUAUAAUGGGAGACACGUUGGAUCAACGUGAAUACUUUAGGGAUUAUCGCUCGACACAAAAAGGGAUACUAUUAUGGGAUCAAUUUAUUAUGUUGCGUUGGUAUGCCUCGAAUCUCUGCUUGAGAUAUGAUAUUACUUGUUGCUCUAGGAUGGAGGCUCCACACCUCCCCUUUUCAUGCAAAUUUAACAAUAAUGAAACCUUAGCUUCUUAUGCUAAUGGUAUACAUGAUUACUAUGAUGUGGAACAAAUAGAAGAAUUUGUUGCUUUUAAGGCUGCCUAUGAUAUUGAAGCUUUGUUUGAAAAAUAUGAAGCUUUUGAUGAUGAUGGUUAUAGGCCGGAAAAUCUUGCUAUACUUGGAUAUUGCUAUGAAAAUUAUGAAUACAAUUACUAUAUCAAUGCUUUUAUGAAGAAAGUCAACGCUGUCCAAGAAGAGACUAUAUUUGGCAGGAAGCUAUGGAAGAAGAAAUUGAUGAAACCGUGAGCUCAUUGGACGAAAAAGAUGAUGAGGAGAGUGAAGAACAAAAGGAGGAAGAGCGGAUUGAUCACCCGUGCCCACCUUCUAAUGAGAGUAAAUCUUCAACUCAUACAUUGUUUAAUUCCCCUUCGUGCUUACCGAAGGAUGAUUGCUAUGAUCCCAUUGAUUCUCUUGAAAUAUCCCUUUUUGAUGAUGCUUGCUAUGCUUGUGGCCAAGAUGCCAAUAUGAAUUAUGCUUAUGGAGAUGAACUUACUAUAGUUCCUUAUGUUAAACAUGAAAUUGUUGCUAUUGCACCCACGCAUGAUAGUCCUAUUAUCUUUUUGAAUUCUCCAAACUACAGUAUAUCGGAGAAGUUUGUGCUUAUUAAGGAUUAUAUGGAUGGGUUGCCUUUUACCAUUGCACAUGAUGAUUUUGAUGAAUGUAAUAUGCAUGUGCUUGCUGCUCCUACUUGCAAUUAUUAUGAGAUAGGAACUAUUUCUCCACCUCUCUAUGUUUCCCAUACUAUGAAAUUGCAAGAAACUGCCUAUACUAUGCAUUGGCCUUUACUAUGUGUGCAUGAAUUGUUCUUUUAUGACAUGCCGAUGCAUAGGAAGAGAGUUAGACUUCGUCGUUGCAUGAUAUAUGUUACUUUGUGCUCACUACUAAAUUACAAAUCAUUGUUAAUUAAAAUUGGCUUUGAUAUACCUUGGGAUCCGGGUGGAUUCAUUACUUGAGCACUAAAUGCCUAGCUUAAAGGCUUUAAAGAAAGAGCUGCCAGGGAGACAACCCGGAAGUUUUAGAGAGUCAUUUAUUUCUGUUGAGUGCUUUUAUAUAGUUUAAAAACACAAAAAUAAAGAGGGGAACCUAAAAACUUUUCAAAAAGGAAAGUGAAAGUGAGAAAGACAAGCAUCGUUGAAGUGGGAGAGCUCCUUGAACUUUGUUCAUGCUCACGGAAACUUUGUGAAUCUUGAUUACAGUACUUUUCAUCAAAAAUAAUUAUCCCCUUGUACAAUUCCAUUGUAUUAUAAAAAUAAUGUGCCAAGGUUUGCCUUUAGGAUGUUUACAAUGCUUGUUGGUUUGUACGGUGCAGGACAGAAACUUUAGUUGUAGUGCGCGAUUUUACAUUUUUAUCUGGAACGACAAUUGGUUCUGACUCGUUUUGCACUGUCUUGCUAUACAACUUGUUUAUUUUUCCUAAUUGUGGUAGAAUUUUUGGGGUACCAUAAGUAUGGUGGAUGUUCAGAUUGCUACAGACUGUUCUGUUUUUGACAGAUUCUGUUUUUGAUGCAUAGUUUGCUUGUUUUGAUGAAUCUAUCAAUUUAUAUUAGUGGAUUAAGCCAUGGAAAAGUUAUAUUACAGUAGACACAAUGCAAAAACAAAAUAUGAAUUGGUUUGCAACAGUACUUAGAGUGGUGAUUUGCUUUAUUAUACUAACGGAUCUUACCGAGUUUUCUGUUGAAGUUUUGUGUGGAUGAAGUGUCUAAACGGGAAGGUCUCGAUAUGAGGAAAAGGAAGAGAGGCAAGAGCUUAAGCUUGGGGAUGCCUGAGGCACCCCAAGUAAAUAUUCAAGGAUACUCACGCAUCUAAACUUGGGGAUGCCUCGGAAGGCAUCCCCUCUUUCUUCAACAAGUAUCGGUAUGUUUUCGUAUUCGUUUCGUUUAUGCAUUAUGUGCAAGACUUGUUUGUAGAAGUAUUUUUACAGAUUAGCCCCUGAGUUUUGAACAUCCGUAUCUUUUUACCCAUAGCUCCGUUUGAGGUAAAUCCAACGCCCGCAUCUUUGUCUCGUCGAGCUCGUUCCAUUCCCAUCAUUUUCACUAUGGUUUGACACUGUGAAAAUGACCGUUUUGCCCUUGCAUGUAAAUAGCCCCCUCCGAGAGAGAACUGUUUCCGGCAAUUUUUUUCCGCGGUCGUUUCUCAAUUCUUCCCGGAGUAUUUGUCGACCCCCAGGCAAGCCAACCUCUUAUCAUGAGCCCGAACUUGCAUGUUGACUUUGCUUGCACCUUGUGUGUGUGUAGUUGCAGUUGUUUCUUCUCGUUUUCGUCUGUAGUUAUUUUAUUAUGCUUACCAUGCAUGCUUGUGUUUUAAUGCUACUUCUUGCCAUGAUAAUUAGAAUGUUGCUAUUGAUAAUGCCAUGUCACUACUCUACUUUAUUUUCAUGUCAUUGUUAUAAAAUGCUAUGAUGAUGGUAAUGCACCGUGGGUAUGUUAGUACUUGGUAUUGUCAUGUUCUUUAUGCUGUAAGUGUUCACUUGAGAAGCUCGAUGUUUUGUUAAAGCAUUUGUAUGAUGUAUGCUCAUUGUUGCAUUCAUGAUCAUGAUGACGGAGAAGGAAUUAAAAUGACUUAAUAAUAACAAACCUCCUCCGUCAUCGAUGGGAUCGAGUCAUAGUGCCACCAAAUCAAACUUUUUCCAGUGCAACCACAUUUGCCGGUAUGGGAUGGCCCUAAUGCGGUCUAUUGUCGUGCCUCUGGUCGGUGCCUCCAACUAGGGAAGGUUAUGGGCGCGUGCUACCCUGAUUAGGUAAGCGGACAUAAGCCUUGUGAGCCCGUUGUUAAGUUGAGUUUUGGUACCGAGUCCCAAUGUGGAUCAUGGCCACGACGGUGGUCGAGGUGUCUGGAGGUAGACACGGGGCCACCCAGGACUAGCCCAGUGGGGACUGAGUCAGAGUGGCCAGGAGAGUGUCAUGAUAGUAGAUCGGUUUUGUCGGAACGCCGUUGGUCCACCCGAAUGGGAGUGCGAGGCCAUGGGUUCUGUGGUGUGGGUACAGUGCGCUACCUCUGCAGAGUGUAUUUAAACUAUCGAUAGUUGCGUCCUCGGUCAUGGGCACAAGCUCGUAGUAGGGUACACUAUCGAGUCUUAGUCGAAAUGGAGGAUAAAACCUGAAAUAAUUAAGCUGAUUAACAUGGUGGUGAUCGCCGUAAGGAUCAUGGGCCAGAUGUGGUCGGGUUGUGAUCGCCGUAAGGAUCACGGGCCAGAUGUGGUCGGGUUGUGAUCGCCGUAAGGAUCAUGGGCCAGUUGUUGGUCAAGUUGUGAUCAUCGUAAGGAUCACAAGUUUGUCUCUGUUGGUGAUCAGGAAAUGAGGUGAUCACCGUUGGUAAGAGAGUCCGAGGGACUCAGUGCACAAGUUUGGUUGCAUUGCAUGAGUAAUAUGUUUGCAUUUAAAGAACCAUGGUAGAACGUGAGAUGGUUACAGUUAACAUGCUAUGUCUGAAUUGGAUAUGAUUGGUAGUUUAUUUUCAGUAUAGUUUCAUGAUGCCAUGCCAUGUUUUGAUGGAUAUGAUUAAGAUGAUAUGCUAUGUUUUGUUGUUGCCAUGUUAGAUAUAAAUUUGAUAUACCAUGUUGUUUCCAUGCUAGUGGAUGCCAUGAUGUUAGUUUGAUUUUUGUUUUCGGUUGAUAUUAUGCCAUGCUUAGUUUCUGAUAUGAGCUAGAUUGUUGCAUUCGCUUGGUUCUUGCUUUGUCUUCUACUUGUUUGGAUGCUAUGUAUUUGGUUGUCUUGCAAGUACAUUCAAUGUACUGACCUGGCGUGUCAUGCCAGUUUUGUAGGUCGUUCACUUGUUCCGUCGUGCUAGGCCGUAAUCUCGCCAGUCCUGUGAGUUGUGGAGCCCAGCCAGAGUGUUAUGCUGCCAAGACUUCCGCCACCAUUAUAAUAGACUUCCGCUGCCAUGUAAAUAGCCUUAGGGCUAUGUCAGAAGAUUAUAUUCAUCACUGAUGUAAUUAUAUACACAUGUAUUUGAUGAAUAUUCUUGUACCUGGAAUGCUGUAUCAUGGACCUGUCGUGCGUCAGGUGUUAUCCUGGGCUGACGUGCGAAGGCCCCCUGCUCCAUGCGGAUCGGGGUGCCACUGCCUACAAUAUAGAACAACAACUGUUAGUUGUGUGCGGUGCCCCCUCCACAGUUUACACCCCCGGUCAUAUUGUCACGGUGCUUAGGCAAAGCCCUGCGUGGAUCACUUCACCAUCACCGUCACCACGCCAUCGUGCUAAUGAAACUCAUCUACUUCCUCAACACCUUGCUUGAUCAAGAGGGCGAGGAACGUCAUCAAGCUGAACGUGUGCAGAACUCGGAGGUGUCGUACGUUCGAUACUUGAUCGGUCGGAGCAAGAAGAAGCUCCACUACAUCAACCGCGUUGUCUAAUGCUUCUGCUUUCAGUCUAUGAGGGUAUGUAGACACACUCUGCCCCUCUUGUUGCUAUGCAUCUCUUAGAUAGAUCUUGCGUGAGCGUAGGAAUUUUUUUGAAAUUGGAUGCUACGUUCCCCAACAGUGGCAUCCGAGCCAGGUCUAUGCGUAGAUGAUAUGCACGAGUAGAACACAAAGAGUUGUGGGCGGUGAUCGUCAUACUACUUACCACCAAUGUCUUAUUUUUAUUCAGCAUUAUUGUUGGAUGAAGCGGCCCGGACCAACCUUACAUGACCAUGUUCAUGAGACCGGUUCCACCGACAGACAUGCAACUAGUUUUGCAUAAAGGUGGCUGGCGGGUGUCUGUUUCACCUAGUUUAGUUGAACCAAAUUUUACUGCGGCCGGUCCUUGUUGAUGGUUAAAAUAGCAAACUUGAUAAAUCGCCGUUGUGGUUUUUGUGCCGUAGGUAAGAACGGUUCUUGCUAGAAGCCCGCAGCAGCCAUGUAAAACUUGCAACAACAAAGUAGAGAACGUCUAACUUGUUUUUGCAAGGCAUGUUGUGAUGUGAUAUGGUCAAGAUAUUAUGUGAUAUACGUUAUUGUAUGAGAUGAUCAUGUUUUGUAAAAGUUAUCGGCAACCGGUAGGAGCCUUAUGGUUUUCUCUUUAUUGUAUGAAAUGCAAAUGCCAUGUAAUUGUUUUACUUUAUCACUAUGCGGCAGCGAUAGUUGUAGAAGCAAUAGUUGGCGAGACGACCACGAUGCAAUGAUGGAAUCAAGGUGUCGAGCCGGUGACAAUGGAGAUCAUGACGAUGCUUUGGAGAUGGAGAUCAAAAGCACAAGAUGAUGAUGGCCAUAUCAUGUCACAUAUUUUGAUUGCAUGUGAUUUUUAUCUUUAUGCAUCUUAUUUUGCUUAGUACGGCGGUAGCAUUAUAAGAUGAUCCCUUAACUAAAUUUCAAGGUAUAAGUGUUCUCCCUGAGUAUGCACUGUUGAGACAGUUCUUCGUGCUGAGACACCACGUGAUGAUCGGGUGUGAUAGGCUUUGUUCAUAUACAAUGGGUGCAAGACAGUUUUGCACAUGCGGAAUACUCGGGUUAAACUUGACGAGCCUAGCAUGUAUAGACAUGACCUUGGAACACUGGAGAACAAAAGGUCGAACGUGAAUCAUAUAGUAGAUAUGAUCAACGUAGAGAUGUUCACCAUUGAUGACUACUCCAUCUCACGUGAUGAUUGGACAUGGUUUAGUUGAUUUGGAUCACGUAUCAUUUAGAUGACUUGAGGGAUGUCAAUCUAAGUGGGAGUUCUUAAGUAAUUUGAUGAAUUAAACUUAAUUUAUCAUGAACUUAGUCCAGGUAGUAUUUGCAAAUUAUGUUGUAGAUCAAUAGGUCGCGUUGUAGCUCCCAUAUUUUUGAUAUGUUCCUAGAGAAAACUAAGUUGAAAUAUGAUAGUAGCAAUGAUGCGGAUUCGGUCCGUGAUCUGAGGAUUAUCCUCAUUGCUACAUAGAAGAAUUAUGUCCUUAAUGCACCGCUAGGUGACAGUCCUAUUGUAGGAGCAGAUGCAGAUGUUGUGAAUGUUUGGCAAACGCGAGAUUACUACUUGAUAGUUUAGUGAACCAUGCUUUAUGGCUUAGAAUCGGGACUUCAAAAACGUUUUGAAUGCCAUGGAGCAUAUGAGAUGUUCCAAGAGCUGAAAUUGGUAUUUCAGACUCAUGCCCAUGUCGAGAGGUAUGAGACCUCCGACAAGUACUUUGCCUACAAGAUGGAGGACAAUAGCUCAGCUAGUGAGCAUGUGCUCAGAAUGUCUGGGUACUACAAUCACUUGAAUCAAGUGGGAGUUAAUAUUCUACAUAAGAUAGUGAUUGACAGAGUUCUCUAGUCACUAUCACCAAUCUACUAGAACUUCGUGAUGAACUAUAAUAUGCAAGGGAUGAUGAAAAUUAUUCCCAAGUUUUUCGCGAUACUGAAAUCAGCGAAGGUAGAAAUCAAGAAAAAGCAUCAAGUGUUGAUGGUUAACAAGACCACUAGCUUCAAGGAAAAAGGGCAAAGGAAAGGAAAGGGAACUUCAAGAAGAAUGGCAAGCAAGUUGUCACUCCCAUUGAAGAACCCAAAAGCUGGACCUAAGCCUCAAACUGAGUGCUUCUACUGCAAAGGAAAUGGUGACUGGAAGCGGAACUAUGCCAAAUAUUUGGCGGAUAAGAAGGAUGGCAAAGUGAACAAAGUUAUAUUUUAUAUACAUGUUAUUGAUGUGUACCUUACUAGUGCUUGUAGUAGCCCCUGGGUAUUUGAUACCUGUUCGGUUGCUAAGAUUAGUAACUCGAAACAGGAGUUGCAGAAUAAAUGGAGACUAGUUGAGGGUGAAGUGACGAUGUGUGUUGGAAGUGGUUCCAAGAGUGAUAUAAUCAUCAUCGCACACUCCCUAUACUUUCGGGAUUAGUGUUGAACCGAAAUAAAUGUUGUUUGGUGUUUGCGUUGAGCAUGACCAAGAUUGCAUCGUGUUUAUUGCAAUACGAUUAUUCAUUUAAGACAGAGAAUAAUUGUUAUUCUAUUUACAUGAAUAAAACCUUCUAUGGCCAUACACCUAAUGUUAAUGGUGAAGGAAAUAUGCCCUAGAGGCAAUAAUAAAGUUGUUAUUUAUAUUUCCUUAUAUCGUCAUAAAUGUUUAUUAUUCAUGCUAGAAUUGUAUUAACCGGGAACUUAGUACAUGUGUGAAUACAUAGACAAAACAAAGUUUCCCUAGUAUGCAUCUACUUGACUAGAUCGUUAAUCCAAGAUGGUUAUGUUUCCUGACCAUAGACAUGUGUUGUCAUUUCAUGAACGAGAUCACACCAUUAGAGAAUGAUGUGAUGGACAAGACCCUUCCGAUAGCUUAGCAUAAUGAUCGUUAAGUUUUAUUGCUAUUGCUUUCUUCAUGACUUAUACAUGUUCCUCUGACCAUGAGAUUAUGCAACUCCUGAAUACCGGAGGAACACUUGUGUGCUAUCAAACAUCACAAUGUGACUGGGUGAUUAUAAAGAUGCUCUACAGGUGUCUCUGAAGGUGUUUGUUGGGUUGGCAUAGAUCGAGAUUAGGAUUUGUCACUUCGUGCAUUGGAGAGAUAUCUCUGGGCCCUCUCGGUAAUGCUCAUCACCAUAAGCCUUGCAAGCAAUGUGAUUAAUGAGUUAGUUGCAGGAUGAAGCAUUACGGAACAUGUAAAGAGACUUUCCAAUAUAGAGAUUGAACUAGGUAUGAAGAUACCGGCGAUUGAAUCUCGGGCAAGUAACAUACCGAUGACAAAGGGAACAACGUAUGUUGUUGUGCGGUUUGACCGAUAAAGAUCUCCGUAGAAUAUGUAGGAACCAAUAUGAGCAUCCAGGUUCCACUAUUGGUUAUUGAUUGGAGAUGUGUCUCAAUCAUGUCUACAUAGUUCUCGAACCCGUAGGGUCCGCACGCUUAACAUUCGAUAACGAUUUGUAUUAUGAGUUAUGUGUUUUGGUGACCGAAGUUUGUUUGGAGUCCCGGAUAAGAUCAUGGACAUUACAAGGAGUCUCAAAAUGGCCGAGAGGUAAAGAUUGAUAUAUUGGAAGGUUACAUUCGGACACAGAAUAGUUUCGGGAAGUUUCGGAUAAGUUUCGGAGUACCGGGAGGUUACUGGACCCCCCCCCCCCGAGAGAGAGUAAUGGGUCAACAUGGGCCUUAGUGGAGGAGAUAGGGCCGGCCGUGAGAGGUGGCGCCCCCCCUUGCCAAUCCGAAUUGGACAAGGGGUGGGGGCGGCGCCCCCCCUUUCCUUCUCCUACUUCCUCUCCUUUCCCCCUUUGCUACUCCGGAAAUAAGGAAAAGGUGGGGGGUCGAAUCCUACUAGGUUUGGAGUCCUAGUAGGACUCCCCCCUCCAUGGCGCUCCCCCUGACCGUCGGCCUCCUCCCCCUCCUUUAUAUACAGGGGCAGGGGGGCACCCGAAAGGCACAACAUAGUUUUAGCCGUGUGCGGUGCCCCCCUCCACCGUAUCGUAGUGCUUAGGCGAAGCCCUGCGAGGCUCACAUCAUAAACAAUAUCCGUGCUGACGAAACUCUCCCUCGACCCUCUGCUGGAUCAAGAGUUUGAGGCGACGUCAUUGCGAUGAACGUGUGCUGAACUCGGAGGUGUUGUACGUUCGGUGCUAGAUCGGUUGGAUCGUGAAGUGAUACGUCUCCCACGUAUCUAUAAUUUUUGAUUGUUCCAUUCUAUUAUAUUACCUGUUUUGGAUGUUUAUGGGCUUUAUUUUAUACAUUAUUAUCAUUUUUGGGACUAACCUACUAACCGGAGGCCCAGCCCGUAUUGCUGUUUUUUUUGCCUAUUUCAGUAUUUCAAGAAAAGGAAUAUCAAACGGAGUCCAAACGGAAUGAAACCUUCGGGAGCGUGAUUUUUGGAACGAACGCGAUCCAGAGGACGUGGAGUGCAAGUCAAGAAACAACCAGAGCCUCCAUGAGAUAGGAGGGCGCACCCCCCUGUCUCGUGGGCCCCUCGAGCGUCCACCGAUGUACUUCUUCCUCCUAUAUAAGUCUACGUACCACGAAAACAUCCAAGAGCCACCUGAAGAAAUAUUUCCGCCACCGUAACCUUCUGUAUCCGCGAGAUCCCAUGUUGGAGCCGUCGUCGGCAUUCUACCGGAGGGGGGAUCCACCAUGGAGGGCUUCUACAUCAACAUCCUUGCCCCUCCAAUGAGUUGUGAGUAGUUUACAUCAGACCUACGGGUCCAUAGUUAUUAGCUAGAUGGCUUCUUCUCUCUUUUUGGAUAUCAAUACAAUGUUCUUCCCCUCUCUUGUGAAGAACUAUUCGUUGUAAUCUAUUUUUGCGGUGUGUUUGUCAAGAUCCGAUGAAUUGUGGGUUUAUGAUCAGAUUUAUCUAUGGAUAAUAAUUGAAUCUUCUUUGAAUUCUUUUAUAUGAUUGAGUUAUCUUUGCAAGUCUCUUCGAAUUAUCGGUUUGGUUUGGCCUACUAGAUUGAUCUUUCUUGCCAUGGGAGAAGUGCUUAGCUUUGGGUUCAAUCUUGCGGUGUUCUUACCCAGUGACAGAAAGGGUUGCAAGACACGUAUUGUAUUGUUGCCAUCGAAGAUAACAAGAUGGGGUUUAUAUCAUAUUGCUUGAGUUUAUCCCUCUACAUCAUGUCAUCUUGCUUAAUGCGUUACUCUGUUCUUAUGAACUUAAUACUCUAGAUGCAUGCUAGAUAGCGAUCGAUGUGUGGAGUAAUAGUAGUAGAUCCAGGCAGGAGUCGGUCUACUUGUUAUGGAUGUGAUGCCUAUAUACAUGAUCAUGCCUAGAUAACGUCAUAAUUAUUCGCUUUUCUGUCAAUUGCUUGACAGUAAUUUCUUCACCCACCGUAAAACUUAUGCUCUCGAGAGAAGCCUCUAGUGAAAUCUAUGGCCCCCGGGUCUAUGUCUUAUCAUAUUUGCUUUCAAUCUACUUUUAUUUGCAUCUUUAUUUUCUACAUCUAUAUUACAAAAUACCAAAAAUAUAUUUAUCUUCUCAUAUUAUCUCUAUCAGAUCUCACUUUCACAAGUGGCUGUGAAGGGAUUGACAACCCCUUUAUCGCGUUGGUUGCGAGUUCUUUGUUUGUUUGUGUAGGUUCGUGGGACUUGUUGAGGAGCCUCCUACUAGAUUGAUACCUUGGUUCUCAAAAAUUGAGGGAAAUACUUAUGCUACUGUGCUGCAUCACCCUCUCCUCUUCGAGGAAAACUAGCGCAAGCUCAAGACAUACCAAGAAGGAUUUCUGGCGUCGUUGCCGGGGAGGUCUUCGCUCAAGUCAAGACAUACCAAGUACCCAUCACAAACUCAUCACCCUCGCAUUUACAUUAUUUGCCAUUUGCCUCUUGUUUUCCUCUCCCCCACUUCACCCUUGCCGUUUUAUUUGCCCUCUCUUUCCCAAUCUUCUCCUCUCUUCUCGGUUUGCCGUUUUCUGUUUGCUUGUGUGUUGGAUUACUUGUUGCCAUGGCACAAGAUAAUACCAAAUUGUGUGAUUUCUCGAAUACCAAUAAUAAUGAUUUCCUUAGUACUCCGAUUGCUCCUCUUAAUGAUGCUGAGUCUUGUGAAAUCAAUACUACUUUGCUGAAUUUUGUUAUGAAAGAUCAAUUCGCCGGCCUUCCUAGUGAAGAUGCCGCUACUCAUCUAAACAAUUUUGUUGAUUUGUGUGAUAUGCAAAAGAAGAAAGAUACGGAUAAUGAUAUUGUUAAAUUGAAGUUUUUUCCGUUUUCACUUAGAGAUCGUGCUAAAGUUUGGUUUUCGUCUUUGCCUAAAAAUAGUAUUCAUUCUUGGAACAAGUGCAAAGAUGCUUUUAUCUCUAAGUAUUUUCCUCCCGCUAAGAUUAUCACUCUUAGGAACGAUAUUAUGAAUUUUAAACAACUUGAUCAUGAGCAUGUUUCCCAAUCUUGGGACAGAAUGAAAUUGAUGAUUCACAAUUGCCCUACUAAUGGUUUGAAUUUAUGGAUGAUCAUACAAAAAAUUUAUGCCGGUUUGAACUUUGCUUCUAGAAAUCUCUUAGAUUCGGCCGCGGGAGGCACGUUUAUGGAAAUCACUUUAGGAGAUGCUACAAAACUUCUUGAUAAUAUUAUGGCUAAUUAUUCUCAAUGGCAUUGUUGGUGACAAAACCGGCGGAUCUCGGGUAGGGGGUCCCGAACUGUGCGUCUAGGCGGAUGGCAACAGGAGACAAGGGACAUGAUGUUUUUACCCAGGUUCGGGCCCUCUCGAUGGAGGUAAAACCCUACUCCUGCUUGAUUAAUAUUGAUGAUAUGGGUAGUACAAGAGUUGAUCUACCACGAGAUCAGAGACGCUAAACCCUAGAAGCUAGCCUAUGGUAUGAUUGUUGUUCGUCCUACGGACUAAAACUCUCCAGUUUAUAUAGACACCGGAGAGGGCUAGGGUUACACAGAGUCGGUUACAAUGGGAGGAGAUCUACAUAUCGAAUCACCAAGCUUGCGUUCCACGCCAAGGAAAGUCCUAUCCGGACACGGGACGAAGUCUUCAAUCUUGUAUCUUCAUAGUCCGGGAGUCCGGCCAAAGGUCAUAGUCUGGUCGUCCGGACACCCCCUAAUCCAGGACUCCCUCAGUAUCCCCUGAACCAGGCUUCAAUGACGACGAGUCCGGCGCGCAAAUUGUCUUCGGCAUUGCAAGGCGGGUUCCUCCUCCGAAUACUUCAUAGAAGAUGUUGAACACAAGGAUAGUGUCCGGCUUUGCAAAACAAUUUCCACAUACCGCCGUAGAGAGAAUAAUAUUUACACAAAUCUAAUUUGCUGACGUAUUCCAUAGUGUGACAUCACGCCACAGCCAAGCCAUUAUUCGUUUUAAUGUCCCACCUCAGCGUGUUUAGCGAGGCAGUUUCCUUGGCACGUCUUGUCAAAGCAGAGAUCGUGUCCCCUUAUUCCGGGAUUCUCAUCAAUACAGGCAUGGGCAACCCAACCGCGCCAUUGGUAUGACUUCUUAAUUGAAAGUGAGUCCCAAACGGCGGGGAGGGCUCUUGGUAUUCAACCUCUUUAUAAAGAGACCAAGGCUCGACUCCUUUCUUUUAAUCCAAUCAAAUCCGCCCCUCGCCUCGAGUUCCAACCCCCAAAGCUCCAGAUUCAGGCGCUUCGGACCUUCGAUGAUGUCCGGCUCCGACCUCCAAGGCCGGUGGAUGCCUUCCUCCAUAUUACUCCUCACUUCGGAUUGUGGCUUAAAACCUUCAAGGUAGAACCGAAGACGAUCGAGGGGCAGCACGCUGAGUGCGGAGGUGCUAUUAUAAGCAAGAUUGCCGACGCCCCAUGGCCCGAGGGCUCUUUUUAAGAGGAGUUCGGCUUAUGGCAAUGAGAGUGGUUUUACAUCACAGCUCCCAGGGGCACCACUUGGGUGGCAUGACCUGGUUUUCGCUCAGGUCCCCCACCACGGCUAGCAUCAUGGGUCAAUAAAGGGCUUAACUGGGGGCCAUCCAAGGACGUGCCCUUGCUGCAGGGCCGCAUUCGAGAUCUCCUAUAAAGAGAUACCAAUUUGGCCGUGGUGGCGCAAGUUAUGCUGAUUCGCCGCAUACUGCCCUGCAAAUGUCGCCCCCUCCGCUUGUGGGAAUUUAAUCCGGAAGGACCGCGAUCCCUCCAACAUUUUAUGGGCACGACGCCCGUGGAGAUGUACAAAUUGUUCUUCGGAUCAUAAACAAUGUGUCCGGACUUGUUCGAGGACGCAUGUCUGAGCUGCAAUCGCUCGGACACUCAAGUAAGUAGCCCUGUACCCGGACACGCUAUCCGUAUGUUUACCAUAACACUUCCCUCAAAAGAGCUAUCCUUUAAACAGGAGUAGAUGGCGAAAGCAAAACUUCCCAGGUGUCCGGCCCCCGUCCCUGAGAUCACGCUGGAUCCCAUGUUGACAAGGAUGCUGGAGAUUGUGCCUUUGGAAGAAGGCGAAGAGGGGAACAAAGAUGUUACCGCCUCCGUGAAGGAGACUGUCAGGAAAGGAGGGAUCGAGAAUUCCUCUAUCCAGGGAAAGAAGAGGACCGCCUCUGAAGACCCGGAGGCGAUGGCCUCAAAGCGGGGGAAGAAAUCUUUUUUUGACACAUAAGACAGUAGGAGAGGCUCCUACUGUAUGUAUUAAAAUAAUAUCAAAAAGGUGUUACAAAGUUAUAACCUUACAUCCAUCGCCAUGGGGUAAAAUAAAAGUAAGGAGGGUGUGAAGGUUUAGAGUAAGGAAAAACUAAAGGAGAGCUACAGGGUUUGGAUGACAGAGGUGAGGAAGGGUUUGUAUUUUUCUCCCAUGGCGAUGGAUGUAAGGGGAAGAAAUCUUCGUCAGAUGGUCCGGCACCGGAGGUUGCCCCGGCCGCAUUACGCCCUCAAGGGGAUCAGCUCUCCACCGAGCCGUAAGUAGAGAGAGGGGUUUUUAAAAUGAGUGAUAUCCCUGUUUUAUUUCUGAGGAAGAUAACCGAAAUUUUACCUUGUAGUUCGGAUCUCAACCCUUCUCAGCAGAGCUCAUCUUCAGGGGAUCUUCAUUCAGAGAUGAUGGAGAGCGAAACGCCUCCCCCAGCUGUACCGUCUUGCGAGGCGGGCGACCCCGAGGUGUCAUCUCAGAGGGUUUUUCCAAAUCCGGACCUUGAAAAAGGUCGUCGGACAAGUCCGGCACCUUUUGGUGCAUGGUUGAAGGAGCUGAAGGAUCUGCUCGGGCGAGCGUCUAUCUCAGAAGAACACCGUGUGUUGAUGAACACGGUGAUUGGAAGGAUCUCAUCCGCGGAAAGCGGAUUGUACGAGGCCGCCAGGAGUUUACUGACAGGUUUUGAGGUACGUGAAAAAGAUGUACCGUUGGAUAGAGCCGCAUAAAAUGCGCCCUGUAUAGAUAGUAGCCCAUGAGAGUCUGUGUGUUGUCAAAAAUGACGGCGCGCAGAGGAUCAUAAUCCCAGGUAUAAUAUGUCGCCUAUCCUAUGUAGGUGGCAAGGUGUCGGUGGCUAGCCAGACUAAUGAAUUUGCCGAGCUAAAGCGGCAACUUGACAUGGCAGAUGCCGACAUCACGCUUGUAAAUGAGCGGCUAGACGAGGCACAAGGUAUGUAAUGUCUCCAAAGGCAUCUGGUAAGAGGAGCUUGAUGCUCGUACCUUAUAACAUAUGUGUUUAAUGCAGAUGGUGCCGCUGCCGUGGAGAACCUUCGGGCGGAACUUGCCCGAGCCAAGGAGCAAGCGAGGAAAAGCGAUGCGGCUGCCGUUAAAGCGGCUAAAGAGCUAAAAGCCGAACAGGCUGCUCACUGCCAGAGCAAGAAAGAAAUGCCGAGAUGGCUGUAAAAUUGAAGGAUGCUGCCGACCGUUGUAAGCUUCGUGAAAAAGAAGAUAGGGUGGCACAGAAGGACCUAGAAAAGGUCACUGCCGAGGCCAAGGACACUUGCUCUGCAAUGAGAGCUAUGAAGGAGGAGCUAUGUCAGGCCGGAGAUAUCGCGGCUGGAAAGCCCUAUAUGCUGCUAUGAAGUUCGGGGAUCCUAAGUAUGCUCCGUUAGACCGGAAGUGGAGUGCGGCGAACACUUAUCUGGAUUUGGCGGCGAGUGCCUCGUACGCGACCGAACACUUCUGGGGUCUAGGUGACCAUGAAUUGGAAGAACUUUUUUGGUCGCAGUUCCACAAUCCAGAACGCCCGCUUUCGGUGUCCGACCGUUUGGCCGCUUGGGCGGAGCUGAACAGGUUAUCCAGACUCGCCAUGAAGUAUGUCGCAAGUCGUCUGUGGCCGGAAGGGCCAGAGCCGAAGAGUUAUUUUGGCUUGGUGCAGCAGUUCCUUGGUACGGUGUCGCAUAUUGAUGCAAUGAAGAGGUUAGCGUGCAUAGAGGGUGCACAGAUGGCUCUUGCCCGUGUCAAGACAUACUGGGCGGAUAUGAAGGCCAGUGUUGUUGCAUCCCAGGAUUCGGACGAAAGCCGAGUACCUGCCAAGCACUACUUUGAGGAAGUUCUGCAGGGCGCUCGUUUAAUAGAGACGCAGUGCUCGAAGGAUGUUGUGUUCGAAUAACAUGUGCUAUUGUAAAACAAUGUUUUGAUGGAAUAUAAAAGCUUUUUAUACUUGUGCUUUCAAGAAUUAGAACACCUCCUGUGUGGCCAUUAAUGUAUAUGUGUAUAUAACCUAAAAGAUGGCAGUCGUUGGCUUCAGCCCCCACGCAUACAAUGCGGGGGUGUUCGCAGAAGGUGCAUUUUCACACUUGAUCCAAUGUAUUGGUCCUAUAAAGGAGGUGAUAGUGCAGCGAACUAGGCAACCGGACUAUAAUGCUUUAUCACUUUCACUUAGCCAUAUGAGUUUGACAGUGGGGCUACUGAAUAGCCCCUGGGGGCACCGCGCUCGCCCGAAUUCGGGGCGCGUGUGUGCCUGACCGGGAAACGGCCCUUCAUUAAUGCGGAGGAAUCCUAAAGAUUCCGGCAAGUCAUUGAGUGGUUGACCAGUCUCUCGCUAUAUCAUGACAGUCAGUUUUCGGCUUUCUCUACUGAGGUGCUCGCCUGGCCGAACCGGGGCACAAUCGCAGUAGUUCUCCCGGUGCCGCCUUAGCCGAUAGAGCGGAACGUAAGGCAGCAAAACACAGGAGCCGAGCAAACCCAACAUUUGACCAAAGACAUGAUUCGGAGCUGAUGCAUAUAAGGCCAAACUCGCGACGCCGAACACUCCCUAAGGUAUUCGGUCUUUAUGAAAACGGGCCGAACAAAAGCCCUUGGUAAGAAGCCCCUGGUGUCCAGGUACGCGCAAAAUUCUAGCGUGGCCACAUGCCAAGACGCCAGUCUCCUCCUCGGUUAUAGCAAAAAGAACCGGGGAUGUAAUCAACAAGAGAUAGUAAAAAAGGUUUACGCAGGGUCUUAAUCUGAAAAGAAUCCUUGAAACGGAUCCCUACUGCAUGUCUGCGUCUGUGUCUCCGUUGUGCCGUAUCCUGGACGGGUGUAGCACGGUGUUCGUCUGCAAAAGAGAUGAACUUAGUGGAAAACAAUCGUGUGAGGAAUUUAUGUUAAAAUAAACAAAGUAUAAUACAAAGAAUGGGUACAAUUGAGGUUUAUUGUCUCCUGGUGUAAACACGCGAAGCCCCUUGUACCGGGGUAUGCGGCUAUUAAGCCUUUGUAUGUUUACGCCGGACUCGUCGAGCCAUGUCCGGGGUCGUGGACGACCUGUUUAGUUGCUCUAACUAGUAAAGCUGGAUUAAUGUGCGGCUGUCAUGGCAGCCACACCAUCGUCCGCGCUCGAGGAACACUUGAUAUUUCCCUUUAGUGAGAUGAUGCCUCGUGGACCGGGCAUUUUGAGUGUAAGGGAUGCGUAAUGCGGUAUUGCGUUAAAGCGGGUGAAAGCUUCGCGUCCCAGUAGUGCUUGAUAGCUACUUAUGAAUGGGGCGAUGUGGAAGGUUAGCUUUUCGCUUCGGAAGUUGUCGGGGGAGCCGAACACAACUUCUAAGAAGAGGGAACCCAUACAAUGGGUAUUUGGGCCUGGCGUGACCCCUUGAAAGGAAGUGUUGCCAUGGCGAAUUAUUGCUGGGUUUAUCCCCAUUGUGCGGAUUGUGUCAUGAUAUAGCAGGUUUAGAUCACUGUCGCCGUCCAUUAGAACUUGUGUAAAGUGGAGUCCGUCAAUUAUCGGAUCUAAGACCAGGGCAGUCCAGCCUGCAUUCUGGAUACCUCUAGAGUAAUCCUGAUGAUCGAAGGUGAUUGGUUGUAACAACCAGUGGCGGGACUCCUCUGGGACAGGCCGUAUGGCGCGUAUCUCCGUAGGUGCCACUCUGUUUUUCCCUUUUGUCACAUGAAGUGAAUUUACUGUUUUUACUUCUUGCGAGAACUUCUUUUGUUCUCUAGUGCUCUGCUUGUGGGGUUCGUCGUCAUCUUCGCUUGGUAUGUCGAGCCCCUUGUGUUCGGCGUUGAGUUUGCCGGAUUGCUUGAAGACCCAACAGUCUCUGUGGGUGUGGUUUGCAGGCCUCCCGGGAGUACUAUGGCUUUGGCAUAUUUUGUCCAGGAUUUUGUUGAGGUUAGAUAGCUCGUCCCUAUUAUCUUUGGGGCGACUUUUUCUGAUUCUGCCGAGAGCUUUUGAAUCCGGCGUUGACUGUCGUGCUCUUCGGGCUGUUAUCCUUGAACCGGUGCCGUUCCUUGCUAUGGCACGGUUUCCCAUUUCCAUCUCUAACGUCGGAUGUACUUGGGUCGCUGGUGCUGCUUCUUUCCAACCAGCUAUCCUCUCCUGUGCAAAAGUGGGUCAUGAGGCUUGUCAAUGCGGCCACUGUUCUUGGCUUUUCUUGGCCGAGGUGUCUGGCCAGCCAUUCAUCUCGAACGCUAUGCUCGAAAGCUGCUAGGGCUUCAGCGUCCGGACAGUCGACUAUCUGAUUCUUUUUCGUAAUAAAUUUGUUCCAGAGUUUCCGGGCUGACUCUCCGGGUUGUUGGGUUAUAUGACUUAGAUCGUCUGCAUCUGGAGGUCGGACAUAGGUCCCUUGAAAAUUUGCCCGAAACGCAUCCUCGAGCUCCUCCCAACUUCCUAUGGUGUUUUCGGGAAGGCUUUUAAGCCAAUGCCGGGCUGGCCCUUUGAGCUUGAGGGGUAAGUAUUUUAUGGCGUGGAGGUCAUCUCCUCUAGCCAUGUGUAUGUGGAGGAUAUAAUCCUCAAUCCAGACUCCGGGGUCUGUUGUUCCGCCGUAUGCCUCUAUGUUUACGGGCUUGAAUCCCGCUAGAAAUUCAUGGUCCAGCACCUCAUCGGUGAAACAUAGGGGAUGUGCGGCGCCCCUGUAUUUGGGUGUGCCGCGAUGUUCGGAUAUUUGUUGCGUUGCAUUGCUUACUAGAGCUUGCUUUCUUGGCCCGUAGAUGGAUCUGGUUGGGCCGUCUUUUUGAUGCGAAUCCUUGCGCGGAUCGCAUGCCGGAUUGAAUGCGGCGCCCUUUGUGCUCUAUGUUGGUCAUGGGGUCGUCUAUCCGACCUGGUGGCUUCCUUGUUUUUUGACUGUGGGGGCUCUAAGGCCUCCUCAUCAAAUUCCGAUAGUAAUUUUCGCUUCGGAUAGCUCUUUGUGUGGUGACUGUCGUCGUACUUGUGUACGGUGUUGAGUACUCUGCUCCAUCUGAUUCUGAGUGCAUCUUCCGCUGUUUGGAGCUUCCGCUUCUGCUUUUUCAGGCUACGCGCAGUGGCGACGAGACUUUGGUGGAGGUUCGUGUGCUCUAGCAACUUGUCCGGCGUGAGUUCGUCCGCGCUAUUAUCUUCGCCGGGGACGGGUUGUUCGGUUUGUUUAUCCAAGUUGCCUUGUUCGGACGGUUGCUCGAUGGCAUGUUCGUCGUCCGCCGGUUCGUCCUGCUCUAUGGCUGGGUCUCUGUCGAGGUGGAGUUUGGCGCGGUGCUUCCGCCGCCGCUUUGAUUGCUUUUCGAGGGAACCAUCCCUCAUUGCGCCCUUGUGAUCCUCGUCGUUGUUUCUUUUAGGUGUGUCCACCAUGUAUACAUCAUGGGAUGAGGUGGUUGUCCAGUGCCCUAUAGGCGCUGGUUCUUGUUCGUCCUCUUCAUCGGCGUCUAUACCGUCAAUGUCUUCGGAGUUGAAGUUGAGCAUGUCAGUUAAAUCAUCGACAGUGGCUACGAAGUGGGUGGUGGGUGGGUUUCGAAUUUCUUCGUCGUCCGCAUCCCAACCUUGCUGACCAUAGUCCGGCCAGGGCUCUCCUGAUAAAGAGAGAGACUUUAGUGAAUUCAGGAUGUCGCCAAGGGGCGAGUGUUGAAAGAUGUCUGCGGUGAUGAACUCCAUGAUCGGAGUCCAAUUGGGUUCGAUCGGAAGGGGUGCGGAAGAUUCGGAGUCCGGAGAGGAGUCCGGCACCUUGGAGUCACGAGCUCCGCGAGGGACAAGAUUGGUGUUCGGCUCAAUCGCUGUAGAGAUCGUAGCCCCCAAGGCGGCGUCUAGCCACCCGUCCUCGACCGGCGCAGUCGGCUCCGAUCUAAGGGUCGGAGUGGACGCCUGAGCGAUGCUCUGGGCACUGUCCGAUGGUAGAGCUAGAUCAUGCCCAUCGUGACAGUGCGGCAUGCUCAGCUGUGGCUCAAAUCCGUCGAAGAUCAAGUCUCCGCGGAUGUCAGCAGUGUAGUUCAAACUUCCAAAUCUGACUUGAUGGCCAGGGGCGUAGCUUUCGAUCUGCUCCAGAUGGCCAAGCGAAUUGGCCCACAGUGCAAAGCCGCCGAAUACGAAGAUCUGUCCGGGGAGAAAAGUCUCACCCUGGACCGCGUCGUGGUUGAUGAUCGAAGAAGCCAUCGGGCCUAAAGGUGACGACACAGAGGAACUCUCAAUGAAAGCACCAAUGUCGGUGUGAAAACCGGCGGAUCUCGGGUAGGGGGUCCCGAACUAUGCGUCUAGGCGGAUGGUAAUAGGAGACAAGGGACAUGAUGUUUUUACCCAGGUUCGGGCCCUCUCGAUGGAGGUAAAACCCUACUCCUGCUUGAUUAAUAUUGAUGAUAUGGGUAGUACAAGAGUUGAUCUACCACGAGAUCAGAAAGGCUAAACCCUAGAAGCUAGCCUAUGGUAUGAUUGUUAUUCGUCCUACGGACUAAAACUCUCCGGUUUAUAUAGACACCUGAGAGGGCUAGGGUUACACAAAGUCGGUUACAAAUGGGAGGAGAUCUACAUAUCGAAUCGCCAAGCUUUCCUUCCACGCCAAGGAAAGUCCUAUUCGGACACGGGACGAAGUCUUCAAACUUGUAUCUUCAUAGUCCGGGAGUCCGGCCAAAGGUCACCCCCUAAUCCGGGACUCCCUCAGGCAUACCGAAAGAUCUUCUAGUAAAAAAGUGCAUGCUAUAGAAGAAAUCAAUGUUUUGAGUGGAAAGAUGGAUGAACUUAUGAAGUUGUUUGCUACUAAAAAUACUCCUCUUGAUCCCAAUGAUAUGUCAUUGUCUACUUUGAUUGAGAAUAAUAAUGAAUCUAUGGAUGUGAAUUUUGUUGGUAGGAAUAGUUUUGGAAACAAUGCUUAUAGAGGAAACUUUAAUUCUAGACCGUUCCCUAGUAAUUCCUCUAAUAAUUAUGGAAAUUCCUACAAUAAUUCUUAUUGUAAUUUUAAUAAGAUGCCCUCUGAUUUUGAGAAUAGUGUGAAAGAAUUUAUGAUUUCUCAAAAGAAUUUUAAUGCUUUGCUUGAAGAAAAAUUGCUCAAAGUUGAUGAUUUGGCUAGGAAAGUUGAUAGACUUUCGCUUGAUGUUGAUUCUCUCAAACUUAGAUCUUCACCUCCUAAGCAUGAUAUCAAUGAGUCUCUCAAAGCAAUGAGAAUUUCCAUUGAUGAGUGUAAGGAAAGAACCGCUAGAAUGCGUGCUAAGAAAGAAAGCUUUAUAAAACCGUGUUCUUCUAGUUUCCAUGAAAAUAAUGAUGAAGAUCUUAAAGUUAUUGAUGUGUCUCCUAUCAGAUCUAUGUUUUGCAAUAUGAAUUUUGAUGAUUAUGGGACUGAUGAUGAGUCAACUUUGCCUAGAAGGCGUCCUAAAAAUUUGGAGUUUUUAGAUCUUGAUGCUAAAUUUGGUAAAAGUGGGAUUGGAGAGGUCAUGACUUUAAAUAGUAUUGAACCCACUAUCUCGGAUUUCAAGGAAUUUGAUUAUGAUAAUUGUUCUUUAGAGAGUUGUAUUUCCUUGUUGCAAUCCGUUCUUAAUUCUCCACAUGCUUAUAGUCAAAAUAAAGCUUUUACCAAACAUAUUGUUGAUGCCUUGAUGCAAUCUUAUGAUGAAAAACUUAAUUUGAAAGUUUCUAUACCUAGAAAACUUAAUGAUGAGUGGGAACCUACUAUAAAGAUUAAAAUUAAAGAUCAUGAGUGUUUUUCUUUGUGUGAUUUGGGUGCUAGUGUUUCCACAAUUCCGAAAACUUUAUGUGAUAUUCUAGGUUUCCAUGAUCUUGAUGAUUGCUCUUUAAAUUUACACCUUGCGGAUUCCACCAUUAAAAAGCCAAUGGGAAGAAUCAAUGAUGUCCUUAUUGUUGCAAAUAGAAAUUUUGUGCCCGUUGAUUUCAUCGUUCUUGAUAUAGAUUGCAAUCUUUCUUGCCCUAUUAUUCUUGGUAGACCUUUCCUUAGAACGAUUGGUGCGAUUAUUGAUAUGAAGGAAGGGAAUAUUAGAUUCCAAUUUCCAUUAAAGAAAGGCAUGGAGCACUUUCCAAGAAAUAAAGUCAAAUUACCUUAUGAAUCUAUCAUGCGAGCUACUUAUGAAUCAAGUGCCAAAGAUGGCACUACUUAGACUUAUCUUCGCUUUUGUGCCUAGCUAGGGGCGUUAAACGAUAGCGCUAGUUGGGAGGCAACCCAAUUUUCUUUAUGUUCUUUGUUUUUGUUUCUGUUUAGUGUUAAAUUUUGUUUCUACUUUCGGUUUAGAUGUGUUUUUAUCUUUUAAUUGGUGUUUGUGCCAAGUAGAACCUAUAGGAUAACCUAUGAUAUGAGUUGAUUUGAUUCUGCUGAAAAACAGAAACUUUGCGCUCAUGAGAAAAAAUUCAAUAAAUCACAGAAACGAGCUUUUGCAUUGAUCCUUUUUGCUGCCGUUCAAUAAGCAAAUUUUUUAGGACUUACUAUUUGGUAGGAUUUUUGAGGUUCCAGAAGUUUGCGUUAGUUACAGAUUGCUAUAGACUGUUCUGUUUUUAACAGAUUCUGUUUUUCAUGUGUUGUUUUCUUAUUUUGAUGCAAUUAUGGCUAGUAAAAUAGUUUAUGAACCAUAGAGAACUUGGAAUACAGUAGGUUUAACACCAAUAUAAAUAAAGAAUGAGUUCAUUACAGUACCUUAUGUGGUGGUUUUGUUUUCUUUCACUAACGGAGCUUAUAAGAUUUCCUGUUGAGUUUUGUGUUGUGAAGUUUUCAAGUUUUGGGUAAAGCUUUUAUGGACUAUGGAAUAAAGAGUGGCAAGAGCCUAAGCUUGGGGAUGCCCAAGGCACCCCAAGAUAUUCAAGGAUAGCCAAAAGCCUAAGCUUGGGGAUGCCCCGGGAAGGCAUCCCCUCUUUUGUCUUCGUUCAUUGGUAACUUUACUUGGAGCUAUAUUUUUAUUCACCACAUGAUAUGUGUUUUGCUUGGAGCGUUGUGUAUUAUAUUGGUCUUUGCUUGUUAGUUCACCACAAUCAUCCUUGCUGUAGCACACCUUUUGGGAUAAGCCUAUUUGCUUAGGAUUUGAUAGAAUACUCUAUGUGCUUAACUUAUAUCUUUUGAGCUUGAUAGUUUUUGCUCUAGUGCUUCACUUAUAUCUUCUAGAGCACGGUGGUGGAUUAAUUCCGAAGAAAUUGUUGAUCUCUCAUGCUUCACUUAUAUUAUUUUGAUAGUCUCUUAGAACAGCAUGGUAUUUGCUAUGGUUAUAAAUUGGUCCUAGAAUGAUGAGCAUCCAAGUUGGGUAUAAUAAAAACUAUCAUAGAAAGUGAAUUGGAUGCUAUGAUCAAUUUGAUGCUUGAUAAUUGUUUUGAGAUAUGGAGGUAGUGAUAUUAAAGUCAUGCUAGUUGGGUGAUUAUGAAUUUAAAGAAUGCUUGUGUUGAAGGUUGUGAUUCCCGUAGCAUGCAUGUAUGGUGAACUGCUUUGUGAUGAAGUUGGAGCACAAUUUUAUUUAUUGAGUGUCUUCCUUAUGAGUGGCGGUCGGGGACAAGUGAUGGUCUUUUCCUACCAAUCUAUCCCCCUAGGAGAAUGCGCGUAGUGCUUUGGUUUUUGAUGACUUCUAAAUUUUUGCAAGAAGUAUAUGAGUUCUUUUGACUAAUGUUGAGUCCAUGGAUUAUACGCACCCUUUCACCCUUCCAUUAUUGCUAGCCUCUAUUGUACCGUGCAACUUUCGCCGGUACCAUACACCCACCAUAUACCUUCCUCAAAACAGCCACCAUACCUACCUACUAUGGCAUUUCCAUAGCCAUUCCGAGAUAUAUUGCCAUGCAACUUUCCACCGUUCCAUUCAUAUGACACGCAUUACUUUUUUCAUAGUGCUCUUUGCAUGAUCAUGUAGUUGACAUUGUAUUUGUGGCAAGGCCACCUUCAUAAUUUUCAUACAUGUCACUCUUGAUUCAUUGCAUAUCCCGGUACACCGCCGGAGGCAUUCGUAUAGAGUCAUACCUUGUUCUAGCUUUGAUUUGUAAAUCCAUAAAAGUGUGAUGAUCUUCAUUAUUAGAGCAUUGUCCUAGUGAGGAAAGGAUGAUGAAGACUAUGAUUCCCCCACAAGUCGGGAUGAGACUUCGGACUUUACAAAAAGAAAAAAAAGAAAAAAAUGGGAAGGCCAAAAAGAAAAGAAAAAAGGAAGGCCAAAAAAAGGCCAAAAAUAAAAAGAAAAAAGGGAAGGCCAAAGAAAAAAAAGAAGAAAAAAAUGAGAGAAAAAAAUGAGAGAAAAAGAGAGAAGGGACAAUGCUACUAUCUCUUUUUCCACACUUGUGCUUCAAAAUAGCACCAUGAUCUUCAUGAUAGAGAGUCUCAUAUGUUGUCACUUUCAUAUACUAGUGGGAAUUUUUCAUUAUAGAACAUUGCUUGUAUAUUCCAAUGAUGGGCUUCCUCAAAAUUCCCUAGGUCUUCGUGAGCAAGCAAGUUGGAUGCACACCCACUAGUUUUCUUUUCUUGAGCUUUCAUAUAUUUAUAGCUCUAGUGCAUCCGUUGCAUGGCAAUCCCUACUCACUCACAUUGAUAUCUAUUAAUGGGCAUCUUCAUAGCCCGUUGAUACACCUAGUUGAUGUGAUACUAUCUUCUCCCUUUUUGUCUUCUCCACAACCACCAUUCUAUUCCACAUAUAGUGCGAUGUCCAUUGCUCACGCUCAUGUAUUGCAUGAAAGUUGAAAGAGUUUGGGAUUAUUAAAGUAUGAAACAAUUGCUUGGCUUGUCAUCGGGGUUAUGCAUGAUUAAAUACUUUAUGUGAUGAAGAUAGAGAAACAGCCAGACUAUAUGAUUUUGUAGGGAUAACUUUCUUUGGCCAUGUUAUUAUGAGAAGACAUGAUUACUUUCCUUAGUAUGCUUGAAGUAUUACUAUUUCUUAUGUCAAUAUGAACUUUUAUUUUGUAUUAUUUGGAUCUGAACAUUCAUGCCACAAUAAAGAAAAUUACAUUGAGAAUUAUGCUAGGUAGCAUUCCACAUCAAAAAAUUCUUUUUUAUCAUUUACCUACUCGAGGACAAGCAGGAAUUAAGCUUGGGGAUGCUUGAUACGUCUCCAACAUAUCUAUAAUUUUUUAUUGUUCCAUGCUAUUAUAUUACCUAUUUUGGAUGUUUACGGGCUUUAUUUUAUACAUUAUUAUCAUUUUUGGGACUAACCUACUAACCGGAGGCCCAGCCCGUAUUGCUGUUUUUUUGCCUAUUUCAGUAUUUCGAAGAAAAGGAAUAUCAAACGGAGUCCAAACGGAAUGAAACCUUCGGGAGCGUGAUUUUUUGAACGAACAUGAUCCAGAGGAUGUGGAGUGCAAGUCAAGAAACAACCGGAGCCUCCACGAGAUAGGAGGACGCCCCUCCCCCCCUGUACGGCACGCCCCCCUGUCUCGUGGGCCCCUCGGGCGUCCACCGACGUACUUCUUCCUUCUAUAUAAGUCUACGUACCCCGAAAACAUCCAGGAGCCACCUGAAGAAAUAUUUCCGCCACCAUAACCUUCUGUAUCCACGAGAUGCCGUCUUGGAGCCGUCGCCGGCGUUCUGCCGGAGGGGGGGAUACACCAUGGAGGGCUUCUACAUCAACAUCCUUGCCCCUCCAAUGAGUUGUGAGUAGUUUACAUCAGACCUACGGGUCCAUAGUUAUUAGCUAGAUGGCUUCUUCUCUCUUUUUGGAUCUCAAUACAAUGUUCUUCCCCUCUCUUGUGAAGAACUAUUCGAUGUAAUCUCUUUUGCUGUGUGUUUGUCAAGAUCCGAUGAAUUGUGGGUUUAUGAUCAGAUUUAUCUAUGGAUAAUAAUUGAAUCUUCUUUGAAUUCUUUUAUAUGAUUGAGUUAUCUUUGCAAGUCUCUUCGAAUUAUCGGUUUGGUUUGGCCUACUAGAUUGAUCUUUCUUGCCAUGGGAGAAGAGCUUAGCGUUGUGUUCAAUCUUGUGGUGUUCUUACCCAGUGACAGAAAGGGUUGCAAGACACGUAUUGUAUUGUUGCCAUAGAGGAUAACAAGAUGGGAUUUAUAUCAUAUUGCUUGAGUUUAUCCCUCUACAUCAUGUCAUCUUGCUUAAUGUGUUACUCUGUUCUUAUGAACUUAAUACUCUAGAUGCAUGCUGGAUAGCGGUCGAUGUGUGGAGUAAUAGUAGUAGAUGCAGGCAGGAGUCGGUCUACUUGUUCUGGAUGUGAUGCCUAUAUACAUAACCAUGCCUAGAUAACGUCAAACAUAUUCACUUUUCUAUCAAUUGCUUGACAGUAAUUUGUUCACCCACCGUAAAACUUAUGCUCUCGAGAGAAGCCUCUAGUGAAAUCUAUGGCCCCCGGGUCUAUCUCUUAUCAUAUUUGCUUUCAAUCUACUUUUAUUUGCAUCUUUAUUUUCUGCAUCUAUAUUACAAAAUACCAAAAUAUAUUUAUCUUAUCAUAUUAUCUCUAUCAGAUCUCACUUUCGCAAGUGGCCGUGAAGGGAUUGACAACCCCUUUAUCGCGUUGGUUGCGAGUUCUUUGUUUGUUUGUGUAGGUUCGUGGGACUUGUAGAGGAGCCUCCUACUGGAUUGAUACCUUGGUUCUCAAAAACUGAGGAAAAUACUUACGCUACUGUGCUGCAUCACCCUCUCCUCUUCGAGGAAAACCAACGCAAGCUCAAGACGUAGCAAGAAGGAUUUCUGGCGCCGUUGCCGGGGAGGUCUUCGCUCAAGUCAAGACAAACCAAGUACCCAUCACAAACUCAUCACCCUCGCAUUUACAUUAUUUGCCAUUUGCCUCUCGUUUUCCUCUCCCCCACUUCACCCUUGCCGAUUUAUUCGCCCUCUCUUUCCCAACCUUCUCCUCUAUUCUCCGUUUGCCGUUUUCUGUUUGCUUGUGUGUUGGAUUACUUGUUGCCAUGGCACAAGAUAAUACCAAAUUGUGUGAUUUCUCGAAUACCAAUAAUAAUGAUUUCCUUAGUACUCCGAUUGCUCCUCUUAAUGAUGUUGAGUCUUGUGAAAUCAAUACUGCUUUGCUGAAUCUUGUUAUGAAAGAUCAAUUCGCGAGCCUUCCUAGUGAAGAUGCCGCUACUCAUCUAAACAAUUUUGUUGAUUUGUGUGAUAUGCAAAAGAAGAAAGAUACGGAUAAUGAUAUUGUUAAAUUGAAGUUUUUUCCGUUUUCACUUAGAGAUCGUGCUAAAGUUUGGUUUUCGUCUUUGCCUAAAAAUAGUAUUGAUUCUUGGAACAAGUGCAAAGAUGCUUUUAUCUCUAAGUAUUUUCCUCCCGCUAAGAUUAUCACUCUUAGGAACGAUAUUAUGAAUUUUAAACAACUUGAUCAUGAGCAUGUUUCCCAAUCUUGGGAAAGAAUGAAAUUGAUGGUUCACAAUUGCCCUACUCAUGGUUUGAAUUUAUGGAUGAUCAUACAAAAAAUUUAUGCCGGUUUGAACUUUGCUUCUAGAAAUCUCUUAGAUUCGGCCACGGGAGGCACGUUUAUGGAAAUCACUUUAGGAGAUGCUACAAAACUUCUUGAUAAUAUUAUGGCUAAUUAUUCUCAAUGGCAUACCGAAAGAUCUUCUAGUAAAAAAGUGCAUGCUAUAGAAGAAAUCAAUGUUUUGAGUGGAAAGAUGGAUGAACUUAUGAAGUUGUUUUCUACUAAAAAUACUCCUCUUGAUCCCAAUGAUAUGCCUUGGUCUACUUUGAUUGAGAAUAAUAAUGAAUCUAUGGAUGUGAAUUUUGUUGGUAGGAAUAGUUUUGGAAACAAUGCUUAUAGAGGAAACUUUAAUUCUAGACCGUUCCCUAGUAAUUCCUCUAAUAAUUAUGGAAAUUCCUACAAUAAUUCUUAUUGUAAUUUUAAUAAGAUGCCCUCUGAUUUUGAGAAUAGUGUGAAAGAAUUUAUGAUUUCUCAAAAGAACUUUAAUGCUUUGCUUGAAGAAAAAUUGCUCAAAGUUGAUGAUUUGGCUAGGAACGUUGAUAGACUUUCGCUUGAUGUUGAUUCUCUCAAACUUAGAUCUUCACCUCCUAAGCAUGAUAUCAAUGAGCCUCUCAAAGCAAUGAGAAUUUCCAUUGAUGAGUGUAAGGAAAGAACCGCUAGAUUGCGUCCUAAGAAAGAAAGCUUUAUAAAAGUGUGUUCUUCUAGUUUCCAUGAAAAUAAUGAUGAAGAUCUUAAAGUUAUUGAUGUGUCUCCUAUUAGAUCUAUGUUUUGCAAUAUGAAUUUUUAUGAUUAUGGGACUGAUGAUGAGUCAACUUUACAUAGAAGGCGUCCCAAAAAUUUGGAGUUUUUAGAUCUUGAUGCUAAAUUUGGUAAAAGUGGGAUUGGAGAGGUCAUGACUUUAAAUAGUAUUGAACCCACUAUCUCGGAUUUCAAGGAAUUUGAUUAUGAUAAUUGUUCUUUAGAAUGUUGUAUUUCCUUGUUGCAAUCCGUUGUUAAUUCUCCACAUGCUUAUAGUCAAAAUAAAGCUUUUACCAAACAUAUUGUUGAUGCCUUGAUGCAAUCUUAUGAUGAAAAACUUAAUUUGGAAGUUUCUAUACCUAGAAAACCUAAUGAUGAGUGGGAACCUACUAUAAAGAUUAAAAUUAAAUAACAUGAGUGUUUUGCUUUGUGUGAUUUGGGUGCUAGUGUUUCCACAAUUCCGAAAACUUUAUGUGAUAUUCUAGGUUUCCAUGAUCUUGAUGAUUGCUCUUUAAAUUUACACCUUGCGGAUUCCACCAUUAAAAAGCCAAUGGGAAGAAUUAAUGAUGUCCUUAUUGUUGCAAAUAGAAAUUUGGUUCCCGUUGAUUUUAUCGUUCUUGAUAUAGAUUGCAAUCUUUCUUGCCCUAUUAUUCUUGGUAGACCUUUCCUUAGAACGAUUGGUGCGAUUAUUGAUAUGAAGGAAGGGAAUAUUAGAUUCCAAUUUCGAUUAAAGAAAGGCAUGGAGCAUUUUCCAAGAAAGAAAGUCCAAUUACCUUAUGAAUCUAUCAUGCGAGCUACUUAUGAAUCAAGUGCCAAAGAUGGCACUACUUAGACCUAUCUUCGCUUUUAUGCCUAGCUAGGGGCGUUAAACGAUAGCGCUAGUUGGGAGGCAACCCAAUUUUCUUUAUGUUCUUUGUUUUUGUUCCUGUUUAGUGUUAAAUUUUGUUUCCCCUUUCUGUUUAGAUGUGUUUUUAUCUUUUAAUUAGUGUUUGUGCCAAGUAGAACCUACAGGAUAACCUAUGAUAUGAGUUGAUUUGAUUCUGCUGAAAAUCAGAAACUUUGCGCUCAUGAGAAAAAAUUCAGUAAAUCACAGAAACGAGAUUUUGCAUUGAUUAUUUUUGCUUCUGUUCAAUAAACAAAUUGUUUAGGACUUCCUAUUUUGGUAGGAUUUUUGAGGUUCCAUAAGUUUGCGUUAGUUACAGAUUUCUACAGUCUGUUCUGUUUUUGACAGAUUCUGUUUUUUCGUGUGUUGUUUGCUUACUUUGAUGCAUCUAUGGCUAGUAAAAUAGUUUAUGAACCAUAGAGAACUUGGAAUACAGUAGGUUUAGCACCAAUAUAAAUAAAUAAUGAGUUAAUUACAGUACCUUAUGUGGUGGUUUUGUUUUCUUUCACUAACGGAGCUUAUAAGAUUUCCUGUUGAGUUUUGUGUUGUGAAGUUUUCAAGUUUUGGGUAAAGCUUUUAUGGACUAUGGAAUAAAGAGUGGCAAGAGCCUAAGCUUGGCGACGCCCAAGGCACCCCAAGAUAUUCAAUGAUAGCCAAAAGCCUAAGCUUGGGGAUGCCCCGGGAAGGCAUCCCCUCUUUUGUAUUUGUUCAUUGUUAACUUUACUUGGAGCUAUAUUUUUAUUCACCACAUGAUAUAUGUUUUGCUUGGAGCGUCGUGUAUUAUAUUCGUAUUUGCUUGUUAGUUUACCACAAUCAUCCUUGCUGUAACACACCUUUUUGGAGAAGCCUAUUUGCUUAGGAUUUGAUAGAAUACUCUAUGUACUUCACUUAUAUCUUUUGAGCUUGAUAGUUUUUGCUCUAGUGCUUCACUUAUAUUUUCUAGAGCACGGUGGUGGAUUAGUUUUGAAGAAAUUGUUGAUCUCUCAUGCUUCACUUAUAUUAUUUUGAUAGUCUCUUAGAACAGCAUGGUAUUUGCUAUGGUUAUGAAUUGGUCCUAGAAUGAUGAGCAUCCAAGUUGGGUAUAAUAAAAACUAUCAUAGAAAGUGAAUUGGAUGCUAUGAUCAAUUUGAUGCUUGAUAAUUGUUUUGAGAUAUGGAGGUAGUGAUAUUAAAGUCAUGCUAGUUGGGUGAUUAUGAAUUUAAAGAAUGCUUGUGUUGAAGUUUGUGAUUCUCGUAGCAUGCACGUAUGGUGAACCGCUUUGUGAUGAAGUUAGAGCACAAUUUUAUUUAUUGAGUGUCUUCCUUAUGAGUGGCGGUCGGGGACGAGCGAUGGUCUUUUCCUACCAAUCUAUCCCCCUAGGAGCAUGCGCGUAGUGCUUUGGUUUUUGAUGACUUCUAAAUUUUUGCAAGAAGUAUAUGAGUUCUUUUGACUAAUGUUGAGUCCAUGGAUUAUACGCACCCUUUCACCCUUCCAUUAUUGCUAGCCUCUAUUGUACCGUGCAACUUUCACCGGUACCAUACACCCACCAUAUACCUUCCUCAAAACAGCCACCAUACCUACCUAAUAUGGCAUUUCCAUAGCCAUUCCGAGAUAUAUUGCCAUGCAACUUUCCACCGUUCCGUUCAUAUGACAUGCAUUACUUUUUUCAUAUUGCUCUUUGCAUGAUCAUGUAGUUGACAUUGUAUUUGUGGAAAGGCCACCUUCAUAAUUUUCAAACAUGUCACUCUUGAUUCAUUGCAUAUCCCGGUACACCUUCGGAGGCAUUCAUAUAGAGUCAUACCUUGUUCUAGCUUUGAGUUGUAAAUCCAUAGAAGUGUGAUGAUCUUCAUUAUUAGAGCAUUGUCCUAGGGAGGAAAGGAUGAUGAAGACUAUGAUUCCCCCACAAGUCGGGAUGAGACUUUGGACUUUACAAAAAGAAAAAAAAUGGGAAGGCCAAAAAAAGAAAAAAAAGAAAGGCCAAGGAAAAAAAAAGAAAAAAAAGAAAGGCCAAAAAUAAAAACGAAAAAAAGGGAAGGCCAAAGAAAAAAAAAGAAGAAAAAAAUGAGAGAAAAAAUGAGAGAAAAAGAGAGAAGGGACAAUGCUACUAUCUCUUUUUCCACACUUGUGCUACAAAAUAGCACCGUGAUCUUCAUGGUAGAGACUCUCAUAUGUUGUCACUUUCAUAUACUAGUGGGAAUUUUUCAUUAUAGAACAUGGCUUGUAUAUUCCAAUGAUGGGCUUCCUCAAAAUGCCCUAGGUCUUCGUGAGCAAGCAAGUUGGAUGCACACCCACUAGUUUUCUUUUGUUGAGCUUUCAUAUAUUUAUAGCUCUAGUGCAUCCGUUGCAUGGCAAUCCCUACUCACUCACAUUGAUAUCUAUUAAUGGGCAUCUCCAUAGCCCGUUGAUACGCCUAGUUGAUGUGAGACUAUCUUCUCCUUUUUUGUCUUCUCCACAACCACCAUUCUAUUCCACAUAUAGUGUGAUGUCCAUGGCUCACGCUCAUGUAUUGCGUGAAAGUUGAAAGAGUUUGAGAUUAUUAAAGUACGAAAAAAUUGCUUGGCUUGUCAUCGGGGUUGUGCAUGAUUAAAUACUUUGUGUGAUGAAGAUAGAGCAACAGCCAGACUAUAUGAUUUUGUAGGGAUAACUUUCUUUGGCCAUGUUAUUUUGAGAAGACAUGAUUACUUUGCUUAGUAUGCUUGAAGUAUUACUAUUUCUUAUGUCAAUAUGAACUUCUAUUUUGUAUUAUUUGGAUCUGAACAUUCAUGCCACAAUAAAUAAAAUUACAUUGAGAAUUAUGCUAGGUAGCAUUCCACAUCAAAAAUUUCUUUUUUAUCAUUUACCUACUCGAGGACGAGCAGGAAUUAAGCUUGGGGAUUCAUGAUACGUCUCCAACGUAUCUAUAAUUUUGGAUUGUUCCAUGCUAUUAUAUUACCUGUUUUGGAUGUUUAUGGGCUUUAUUUUAUAGAUUAUUAUCAUUUUUUGGACUAACCUACUAACCGGAGGCUCAGCCCGUAUUGCUUUUUUUUCUAUUUCAGUAUUUCGAAGAAAAGGAAUAUCAAACGGAGUCCAAACGGAAUGAAACCUUUGGGAGCGUGAUUUUUUGAACGAACGUGAUCCAGAGGACAUGGAGUGAAAGUCAAGAAACAACCGGAGCCUCCAUGAGAUAGGAAGGCACCCCCCCUCUAGGGCGCGCCCCCUGUCUCGUGGGCCCCUCGGGCGUCCACAGACGUACUUCUUCCUCCUAUAUAAGUCUACGUACCCCGAAAACAUCCAGGAGACACCUGAAGAAAUAUUUCCGCCACCGUAACCUUCUGUAUCCGCGAGAUCCCAUCUUGGAGCCAUCGCUGGUGUUCUGCCGGAGGGGGGAUCCACCAUGGAGGGCUUCUACAUCAACAUCCUUGCCCCUCCAAUGAGUUGUGAGUAGUUUACAUCAGACCUACGGGUCCAUAGUUAUUAGCUAGAUGGCUUCUUCUCUCUUUUUGGAUCUCAAUACAAUGUUCUUCCCCUCUCUUGUGAAGAACUAUUCGAUGUAAUCUCUUUUUGCGCUGUGUUUGUCAAGAUCCGAUGAAUUGUGGGUUUAUGAUCAGAUUUAUCUAUGGAUAAUAAUUGAAUCUUCUCUGAAUUCUUUUAUAUGAUUGAGUUAUCUUUGCAAGUCUCUUCGAAUUAUCGGUUUGGUUUGGCCUACUAGAUUGAUCUUUCUUGCCAUGGGAGAAGUGCUUAGCUUUGGGUUCAAUCUUGCGGUGUUCUUACCCAAUGACAGAAAGGGUUGGAAGACACGUAUUGUAUUGUUGCCAUCGAGGAUAACAAGAUGGGUUUUAUAUCAUAUUGCUUGAGUUUAUCCCUCUACAUCAUGUCAUCUUGCUUAAUGCGUUACUCUGUUCUUAUGAACUUAAUACUCUAGAUGCAUGCUGGAUAGCGGUCGAUGUGUGGAGUAAUAGUAGUAGAUGCAGGCAGGAGUCGGUCUACUUGUUAUGGAUGUGAUGCCUAUAUACAUGAUCAUGCCUAGAUAACGACAUAAUUAUUCACUUUUCUAUCAAUUGCUUGACAGUAAUUUGUUCACCCACCGUAAAACUUAUGCUCUCGAGAGAAGCCUCUAGUGAAAUCUAUGGCCCCCGGGUCUAUCUCUUAUCAUAUUUGCUUUCAAUCUACUUUUAUUUGCAUCUUUAUUUUCUGCAUCUAUAUUACAAAAUACCAAAAAUAUAUUUAUCUUAUCAUAUUAUCUCUAUCAGAUCUCACUUUCACAAGUGGCCAUGAAGGGAUUGACAACCCCUUUAUCGUGUUGGUUGCGAGUUCUUCAUUUGUUUGUGUAGGUUCGUGGGACUUGUUGAGGAGCCUCCUACUGGAUUGAUACCUUGGUUCUCAAAAACUGAGGGAAAUACUUACGCUACUGUGCUGCAUCACCCUCUCCUCUUCGAGCAAAACCAACGCAAGAUCAAGACGUAACAUGAAGAUGUUCGAUUACAUCAACCGCGUUAAUCUAACUCUUCCGCUUUCGGUCUACGAGGGUACCUGGACACACUCUCCCCCUCUAUUUGCUAUGCAUCUCCUAGAUAGAUCUUGCGUGAUCGUAGGAAUGUUUUUGAAAUUGCAUGCUAUGUUCCCCAACAGUGGCAUCAGAGCCAGGUCUAUGCAUAGAUGAUACGCACGAGUAGAACACAAAGAGUUGUGGGCGAUAAUAGUCAUACUGCUUACCACCAACGUCUUACUUUGACUCGGAGGUAUUGUUGGAUGAAGAGGCCUGGAGCAACAUUACAUGACCACGUUCAUGAGACUGGUUCUACUGACGUGCUUUGCACAUAGGUGGCUGGCGGGUGUCUGUUUCUCCAACUUUAGUUGAAUAGAGUUUGACUACGGCGGUCCUUGUUGAAGGUUAAAACAGCACACUUGACGAAAAAUCAUUGUGGUUUUGAUGCGUAGGUAAGAACGGUUCUCGCUAGAAGCCCGUAGCAGCCACGUAAAACUUGCAACAACAAAGUAGAGGGCAUCUAACUUGUUUUUGAAGUGCUUGAUGUGAUGUGAUAUGGUCAAGACAUGAUGUGAUAUAAAUUGUUGUAUGAGAUGAUCUUGUUUUGUAACAAAGUUAUCGGCAACUGGUAGGAGCCAUAUGGUUGUCGCUUUAUUGUAUGAAAUGCAAUCGCCAUGUAAUUGCUUUACUUUAUCACUAAGCGUUAGCGGUAGUUGUAGAAGCAAUAGUUGGCAAGACGACAAUGAUGCUAUGAUGGAGGUCAAGGUGUCAAGCCAGUGACAAUGGAGAUCAUGAUGGUGCUUUGGAGGUGGAGAUCAAAGGCAUAAGAUGAUGAUGGCCAUAUCAUGUCACAUAUUUUGAUUGCAGGUGAUGUUUAUCUUUUAUGCAUCUUAUUUUGCUUAGUACGGCGGUAGCAUUAUAAGAUGAUCCCUUAACUAAAUUUCAAGGUAUAAGUGUUCUCCUUGAGUAUGCACCGUUGCUACAGUUCGUCGUGCCGAGACACCACAUGAUGAUCGGAUGUGAUAAGCUCUACGUUCACAUACAAUGGGUGCAAGCCAGUUUUGCACAUGCAGAAUACUCAAGUUAAACUUGACAAGCCUAGCAUAUGCAGAUAUGGCUCGGAACACUGAGACCGAAAGGUCGAACGUGAGUCAUAUAGUAGAUAUGAUCAACAUAGAGAUGUUCACCAUUGAAAACUACUCCAUCUCACUUGAUGAUUGGACAUAGUUUAGUUGAUAUGGAUCACAUGAUCAUUUAGAUGACUAGAGGGAUGUCUAUCUAAGUGGGAGUUCUUUCGUAAUAUGAUUAAUUAAACUUUAAUUUAUCAUGAUCUUAGUCAUGAUAGUUUUUUGCAUAUCUACGUUGUUGUAGAUCAAUGGCCCGUGCUACCGUUCCCUUCAAUUUCAAUGCAUUCCUAGAGAAAGCUAAGUUGAAAGUUGAUGGUAGCAAUUACACGGACUGGGUCCAUAACUUGAGGAUUAUCCUCAUUGAUGCACAGAAGAAUUACGUCAUGGAAGCACCGCUAGGUGCAAGGCCUGCUGUAGGAGCAAAUGCUGAUGUUAUGAACGUCUGGCAAGCUCGAUCUAAUGACUACUCAAUAGUUCAGUGUGUCAUGCUUUACGGCUUAGAAUCGGGACUUCAAAGACAUUUUGAACGUCAUGUAGCAUAUGAGAUGUUCCAAGAGUUGAAGUUAAUAUUUCAAGCAAAUGCCCGAGUUGAGAGAUAUGAAGUCUCCAACAAGUUCUAUAGCUGCAAGAUGGAGGAGAAUAGUUCUAUCAGUGAACACAUACUCAGAAUGUCUGGGUACCAUAACCACUUGACUCAGCUGGGAGUUAAUCUUCCUGAUGAUAGUGUCAUUGGCAGAGUUCUUCAAUCACUUCCACCAAGCUAUAAAGGCUUUGUGAUGAACUAUAAUAUGCAAGGGGUGGAAAAGACAAUUCCCGAACUCUUCGCAAUGCUAAAGGCUAUGGAGGUAGAUAUCAAGAAGGAGCAUCAAGUGUUGAUGGUUAACAAGACCACUAGUUUCAAGAAAAAGGGCAAAGGAAAGGAGGGGAACUUCAAUAAGAAUAGGAAGCAAGUUGCUACUCCCGGGAAGAAACCCAAGUCUAGACCUAAGCCUGAAACUGAGUGCUUAUACUGCAAAGGGAAUGGUCACUGGAAGCGGAACUGCCCCAAGUAUUUGGCGGAUAAGAAGGAUGGCAAAGUGAAAGGUAUAUUUGAUAUACAUGUUAUUGAUGUGUACCUUACUAAUACUUGUAGUAGCGUCUAGGUAUUUGAUAUUGGUUCUGUUGCUAAUAUUUGCAACUCGAAACAGGGGCUACGGAUUAAAUGAAGAUUGGCUAAGGACAAGGUGAUGAUACGCGUGGGAAAUGGUUCCAAGGUCGAUAUGAUCGCCGUCGGCACGCUACCUCUACAUGUACCUUCGGGAUUAGUUUUGGACCUGAAUAAUUGUUAUUUGGUGCCACAGUUGAGCAUGAACAUUAUAUCUGGAUCUUGUUUGAUGCGAGAUAGUUAUUCAUUUAAACCAGAGAAUAAUGGUUGUUCUAUUUAUAUGAGUAAUAUCUUUUAUGGUCAGGCACCCUUGAUGAGUGGUCUAUUUUUUGUUGAAUCUCGAUCGUGAUGAUACACAUGUUCAUAAUAUUGAAGCCAAAAGAUGCAAAGUUGAUAAUGAUAUUGCAACUUAUUUGUGGCACUGCCGUUUGGGUCAUAUCGGUGUAAAGCGCAUGAAGAAACUCCAUGUUGAUGGACUUUUGGAAUCACUUGAGUAUGAAUCACUUGGUGCUUGCGGACCGUGUUACCGUUCCCUUGAAUUUUAAUGCGUUCCUAGAGAAAGCUAAGUUGAAAUUUGAUGGUAGCAAUUACACGGUGGGUCCAUAACUUGAGGAUUAUCCUCAUUGAUGCAUAGAAGAAUUAUGUCAUGGAAGCACUGCUAGGUGCAAGGCCUGCUGCAGGAGCAGAUGCUGAUGUUAUGGAUGUCUGGAAAGCUUGAUCUGAUGACUACUCGAUAGUUUAGUGUGCCAUGCUUUACGGCUUAGAAUCGGGACUUCAAAGACGUUUUGGACGUCAUGGAGCAUAUGAGAUGUUCCAAGAGUUGAAGUUAAUAUUUCAAGCAAAUGCCCGAGUUGAGAGAUAUGAAGUCUCCAACAAGUUCUAUAGCUGCAAGAUGGAGGAGAAUAGUUCUAUCAGUGAACACAUACUCAGAAUGUCUGGGUAACAUAACCACUUGACUCAGCUGGGAGUUAAUCUUCCUGAUGAUAGUGUCAUUGACAGAGUUCUUCAAUCACUGCCACCAAGCUAUAAAGGCUUCGUGAUGAACUAUAAUAUGCAAGGGAUGGAAAAGACAAUUCCCGAGCUCUUCUCAAUGCUAAAGGCUAUGUAGGUAGAUAUCAAGAAGGAGCAUCAAGUGUUGAUGGUUAACAAGACCACUAGUUUCAAGAAAAAGGGCAAAGGAAAGGAGGGGAACUUCAAUAAGAAUAGGAAGCAAGUUGCUACUCCCAGGUAGAAACCCAAGUCUAGACCUAAGCCUGAAACUAAGUGCUUCUAUUGCAAAGGAACUAGUCACUGGAAGCGGAACUGCCCCAAGUAUUUGGCGGAUAAGAAGGAUGGAAAAGUGAAAGGUAUAUUUGAUAUACAUGUUAUUGAUGUGUACCUUACUAAUGCUCGUAGUAGCGCAUGGGUAUUUGAUACUGGUUAUGUUGCUCAUAUUUGCAACUCGAUACAGUGGCUAAGGAUUAAACAAAGAUUGGCUAAGGACGAGGGACGAUGCACGUCCUAAAUGGUUCCAAGGUCAAUGUGAUCGCCGUCAGCACGCUACCUCUACAUGUACCUUCGAGAUUAGUUUAGACCUAAAUAAUUGUUAUUUGGUGCCAGUGUUGAGCAUGAACAUUAUAUCUGGAUCUUGUUUGAUGUGAGACGGGUAUUCAUUUAAAUCAGGGAAUAAAGGUUGUUCUAUUUAUCUGAGUAAUAUCUUUUAUGGUCAUGCACCCUUCAUGAUUGGUCUAUUUUUGUUGAAUCUCGAUCAUGGUGAUACACAGGUUCAUAAUAUUGAAGCCCAAAGAUGCAAAGUAAGUAAUGAUAGUGCAACUUAGUUGUGGCACUGCCAUUUAGGUAAUAUUAGUGUAAAGCGCAUGAAGAAACUCCAUCCUGAUGGGAUUUUGGAAUCACUGGAUUAUGAAUCACUUGAUGCUCGAGCCAUGCCUCAUGGGAAAGAUGACUAAGACUCCGUUCUCCGGAACAAUGGAGCGAGCCACUGACUUAUUAUAGAUAAUACAUACCGAUGUAUGCGGUCCAAUGAGUGUUGAGGCUCGCGGCGGGUGUCGUUAUUUUUGACCUUCAUUGAUGAUUUGAGCAGACAUGGGAAUAUCUACUUAAUGAAACAUAAGUCUGAAACAUUUGAAAAGUUCAAAGAAUUUCAGAGUGAAGUGGAAAAUCAUCGUAACAAGAAAAUAAAGUUUCUACCAUAUGAUCGCAGAGGUGAAUAUUUGAGUUACGAGUUUGGUCUUCAUUUGAUACAAUGUGGAAUAGUUUCGCAACUCAUGCCACCUAGAACACCACAGCGUAAUGGUGUGUCCGAACAUCAUAACCGUACUUUAUUAGAUAUGGUGGGAUCUAUGAUGUCUCUUACUGAUUUACCGCUAUCAUUUUGGGGUUAUGCUUUAGAGACGGUUGCAUUCACGUUAAAUAGGGCACCAUCUAAAUCCGUUGAGAUGAUACCAUAUGAAAUGUGGUUUGGCAAGACACCUAAGCUGACGUUUCUUAAAGUUUGGGGUUGCGAUGCUUAUGUGACAAAGCUUCAACCUGAUAAGCUCGAACCCAAAUCAGAGAAAUGUGUCUUCAUAGGAUACCCAAAACAAAUUUUUGGGUACAUGAGGGAGUCCUGGAUUAAGGGGUCCUCGGACGUCCGAACUAUUAAUAUGGGCCGAACUAUUGGACUAUGAAGACACAAGACCCAAGACUUCUUCCCGUGUCCAGAUGGGACUCUCCUUUGCGUGGAUUGCAAGAUUGAUGAUUCGGAUAUGUAGAUCCCUUUCUCUGUAACCGGCUUUGUGUAACUCUAGCCCCCUCUGGUAUCUAUAUAAACCGGAGGGUUUAGUCCAUAGAGAAAAAACAACAAUCUUAAUCAAGCAAGAAGUAGGGUAUUACCUCCAUAGAUCAACUCUUGUAAUACUCAUAUUCAUCAAGAUCAAUCAAGAAAGAAGCUAGAUUUCCAGGGUUUAGCCAUUAUGAUAUCGUGGUAGAUCAACUCUUGUAAUACUCAUAUUCAUCAAGAUCAAUCAAGCAAGAAGUAGGGUAUUACCUCCAUAGAGAGGCCCGAACCUGGGUAAACAUCAUGUCCCCUGUCUCCUGUUACCAUCAACCUUAGACACACAAUUUGGGACCCCCUACCCGAGAUUCGCCGGUUUUGACACCGACAUUGGUGCUUUCAUUGAGAGUUCCGCUGUGUCAUCACCAAAAGGUUUUUGAUGGAUCCUUCCAUCUACAAUAAUGAAGUCCAGGGGGAGGUCUUUCUCCCCGGACAGAUCUUUGUAUUCGGCGGCUUCGCACUGCGGGCCAACUUGCUUGGCAAUCUAGAGCUGAUCGAUAGCUAUGCCCCUGGCCAUCAGGUCAGGUUUGGAAGCUUGAAUUACGUGGCCGAUAUCCGCGGAGACUUGAUCCUUGACAGAUUCGAGCCCAUGAUAGCUGCUCCCUGCCACCAUGAUGAACAUGACAUAAAUCUGUCAUCGGACCAUGCUCAGGAGAUCGCGCAUGUAACUGCUAUGGCCCUAGAUCCGGAGCAGAUUGCGUUUUUCGAGGACAAGAGGCUUAACCCCACCACGGAAGCCGCAGACUCAGCGGCGUUGGAGCCGAACACAGAUCCGACCUCGAGCAGAGCCUAUGUCAUCGGAACCUCGGAGUCGUCUCCGGCUAUAGGUUCCAAUCCGCGUACGUCCGUGCCCGUCAGAACUGAUCGGGCGCCGAUCAUCGAGUUCACCUCCACGGACAUUUUCUGGCACUCGCCUUUAGGCGAUGUGCUAAACUCGUUAAAAGCCCUCUCCUUAUCAGGAGACUCUCAGCCGAACUAUGUCCGGCUUGAAGUGGAAGCAGAGGACGAAUUUUGCUUCCCACCCACCACCCACUUAAUAGCCACCGUCAAAGAUUUAACCGAUUUACUUGACUACGCCUCCGAAGACUUUGAAGGGAUGGACCUCGAAGCCGGAGAAAAUCUAGACCAAAACCCACCCGCAAUCGGGUGGUGGAUGGCUAUGUCCUCAUACGAUAUAUACAUGGUGGAUACACUUAAAGAGAAGGACGCCGACAACGAGAAAGAUAAACCCGUCGAUGAACCUCCAAAGCAUCAGCGUCAGAAGCGCUGACCUCGAUCCGGCAAGGGAUACAGUAGCAACAUUGUCACUAACAACGAUAACAAUCCGGACCAAGCCGAAGACCCCGCUGAUCCAGCAAUGGAGCAAGACAAGUGAGAGGACGGCGAGCACAGUCUGGGAUUGUUGUCCGACCACAACAAAGCCGAGGAUAGCAAUCAUCAACCUGUCUCCGAAGAGGAGAUCAGCUUGGGCGACGAUGAAUUCGUCAUCCCAGAAGAACCUUUAGAACAAGAGCGCCUCCAUCGGAGGCUUAUCACCACCGCAAGGAGCCUGAAGAAGCAGAAGCAGUGGCUUAAAGCCGCACAGGAUACGCUCAAUGAUAGACUGAGGAAAAAUAUGGUUGUAAUCGCCAAACAAAGGGCUAUCCUAAGCGCAAACUGCUGCCCGAAUUCAACGACGAGGCCAUUGCACCCACACCACUGAAGAACAAUAUCACCAAUCAGCCGGACCGACUGAGGGAGUCCUGGAUAAGGGGGUAACCGGACAGCCAGACUAUAUACUUUGGCCGAACUGUUGGACUAUGAAGAUACAAGAUUGAAGACUUCGUCCCGUGUCCGGAUGGGACUCUCCUUGGCGUGGAAGGCAAACUUGGCGAUUCGGAUGUAGAUAUCCUUCUCUGUAAGCGACUCUGUGUAAUCCUAGCCCUCUCCGGUGUCUAUAUAAACCGGAGGGUUUAGUCCGUAGGACACAACAACAAUAACUACAAUCAUACCAUAGGCUAGCUUCUAGGGUUUAGCCUUCCUGAUCUCGUGGUAGAUCAACUCUUGUAAUACUCAUAUCAUCAAGAUCAAUCAAGCAGGAAGUAGGGUAUUACCUCCAUCGAGAGGGCCCGAACCUGGGUAAACAUCGUGUCCCCAGUCUCCUGUUACCAUUAGCCUUAGAUGCACAGUUCGGGACCCCCUACCCAAGAUCCGCUGGUUUUGACACCGACAUUGGUGCUUUCAUUGAGAGUUCCUCUGUGUCGUCCCCUGUGAGGCUCGAUGGCUCCUCCAACCUUCAACAACUCCGUCCAGGGUGAGAUUUUUCUCCCCGGACAGAUCUUUGUGUUCGGCGGCUUCGCACUGCGGGCCAACUCGCUUGGCCAUCUAGAGCAGAUCGACAGCUACGCCCCUGGCCGUCAGGUCAGGUUCGGGAACCUAAACUACACUACCGAUAUCCGUGGAGACUUGAUCUUCGACGGAUUCAAGCCCAUGUCAGCAGCGCCGAACGAUCGCCACGCGCAUGACUUAGAUCUGACAUCGGACAGUAUUCGGAAUAUUGCACCUGCUACGACUCCGGACAUCGGUCCGGAGCAAAUUGUGCCUCACGAGGACGGGCGGAUGGACAUCGGCCCGGAAGCCGCACACCCAUCGGUGUUAGGGCCGAAUGCAGACGCCUCUCCCAGGUAAAUCUAUAUCUUCAGAUCCCCGGACCUGUGUCCGGGCCUGGGCUCCGAACCGCGUGCAUCCGGACCCAUCGAGUCCGACUGGGCUCCAAUAAUGGAAUUCACCGCCGCGGAUAUCUUUCAGCACUCCCCCUUCGGUGAUGUGCUAAAUUCGUUAAAAUCUCUCUCUUUAUCAGGAGAUUCUUGGUCAGACUAUACCUGGCCCGUGUGGGACACGGAUGACUAAGAAAAUUGCCACCCACCCACCACCCACUUUAUAGCCACUGUCGAUGACCUAACAGACAUGCUUGACUUCGACUCCUACAACAUCGACAAUAUGGACGUCGAUGCAGGGGACGAUCUGGAUCCACCGCCCAUGGGGCGCUGGACUGCCACUUCAUCAUAUGACGUCUAUACGGUGGACACGCCUAAAGAAGACAAUGGUGACAAAAAGGACACAACGGAGGAUAAACCCCCCAGACACAAGCAAAAACGAUGGCGCAGGCGCCGCUCUAAGUCCAGUCACAGUAAAAAUAGCGAUAACAACACAAAACAGGAUGACACUCCGGUUGAAUCCGAAGGCAACAAUGACCAUAGGGACCCAGCGAUGGAGCAGGAUAAGCCAGGCCAUGCCAAACACAGUCCGGAGCAGACACCCGAUCACAGCGAUCUAGAGGGCCGAACUCAUCACACUGCCUCCAAAGAGGAGGACAGUCCGGUCGAUGAUGCAUUCAUCAUCUCGGAAAAGCGUUUGGAACAAGAUAAACCUCCGCAGAAAGCUCCUGGCCACGACGAGGAGCCUGAAGAAGCAGAAGCAAAGGCUUAAAACCGCGCAGGAUACGCUCAACCGAAGAUGGAACAAGGUGCUAGACACCGAAGGAAAAUGUGGCGACGAUCGCCACACAAAGAGCUACCCAAAGCGCAAAUUGCUACCCGAAUUCGACGACUAAGCCGCAGCGCCCAUUCCGCCAAAAAACAAUACGGCCACUAGGCCGGACCAACCACCUCAUGGCCGCAAUAGAGCAGCCACUGAUACCGCACACAAUUUACGAGAGCUCCUGGACAAAAGGCCAGUGCGACCAGAUCCAUCUACGGGUCCAGAGGACAUGCUCCGACGCGGGAUAAUGGUCACCAAAAUGAUCAUACUGAUCGAAUACUAGUCCAGAAUCAACACCGGGAGCAACAACAGCCGACAGCAUGCCGUGGCAUGGCCAGAUACAGAGGGGUUGUGCACCCCCUGUGCUUCACCGAUGAGGUGCUGGAUCAUGAAUUCCCACAAGGAUUCAAAACCGUGAACACAGAGGCAUACAACGGAACGAUGGAUCCCGGGGUCUGGAUUGAAGAUUUUAUCCUUCACAUACACAUGGCUCGUGGGGAUGACCUCCACGCCAUUAAAUACCUUCCCCUCAAGUUGAAAGGACUAGCUCGGCACUGGCUGAAGAGCCUCCCAGAAAACUCAAUUGGAAGUUGGGAGGAACUUGAGGAUGCUUUCAGGGCCAACUUUCAAGGAACCUAUGUUCGACCUCCGGAUGCAGACGAUUUAAGUCACAUAAUACAGCAGCCCGGAGAGUCAGCCCGCAAGCUUUGGAACAGAUUCCUCACUAAGAAGAAUCAAAUUGUCGACUGUCCGGAUGCUGAAGCCUUAGCGGCCUUCAAACAUAUUAUCCGAGACGAGUGCCUCGCCAGACACCUCGGCCAAGAAAAGCCAAGGACGAUGGCAGCCUUAACAAGACUUAUGACCCGCUUUUGUGUGGGCGAAGACAGCUGGUUGGCCCGUAGAGGCACCAAUGACCCGGGCACAUCUGAAAUUUGAGAUGGCAACCGGAAGCCACGGCGCACUAAGCACAAACGGCGGAAUAACGAUAGUCCGGACAACACGACGGUUAACACCGGAUUCAGGGGCCCUCGACCUAGUCAAGGAAAGAAGCCAUUUAAGGGCAGCAAAGAGGGACCGUCCAGCCUGAAUAAAUUCCUGGAUAGAUUGUGCCAAAUCCAGGGCACUUCCGACAAACCUGCAAAUCAUACCCACGGAGAAUGUUGGGUCUUCAAGCAGGCCGGCAAGUUAAACGCCGAACACAAGGGAAGGGAAACACCAAGCAAAGACGAGGAUGAGCCUCGCCAGCCAAACACCGGGGGCCAGGAAAAAUUCCCACCAGAAGUCAAAACGGUAAACAUGGUACACGCAACUCAUGCAGAGUUCGUCGCCCCCAAAUUCAAUCCUUGGGUGGCCUGCCCGAUCACUUUUGAUCACAAGGACUACCCGGCCAGUAUCCGGCACGGAGGAUUGGUGCCUUGGUGCUCGACCCAAUAAUUGAUGGAUACCAUCUCACUCGAGUCCUAAUGGACGACGGCAGUGGUCUUAAUCUAAUAUAUCAAGACACCAUCCGAAAGAUGGGGAUAGACCCAUCCAGAAUAAGCCAAAAUAGUGCCACCUUCAAUGGAGUGAUUCUGGGCGUUGUGGCCCACUGCUAGGGCUCCCUCGUAUUAGAAGUGACAUUCGGUUCUCCCGACAACUUCAGAAGCAAGGAACUACUCUUCAACAUCGCCCCCUUCAGCAGCGAUUAUCAUGCAUUACUCGGAAGAACGGCCUUCGCUUGCUUUAACGCAAUACCGAACUACGCAUGCCUCAAACCUAAGAUGCCCAGUCCACGUGGCGUCAUAACGGUUAGUGGAAACACAGAGCAGUAUGCGGCAGCUCCUGCUGCCGAACUCUAGGCGGCCUCUCCAACCAGAACGCAUUAUUGGUCGUUCAGACCACGGACACGGCUAGACGAGUCCGAAGCACCACCAUCAACAACAGCCCGGAUAAACCCUGGCUGGGUGCUAUACAUAUAGCCCCAUAAAUGGUACUAGGGGCUAUCUACAUAUAACAAAGCCCACAAUUCGGCUUGCCUCAUUAAUAGGCAAAUAUCUCGUAUCUCGAACAUCCAUUGAGAAUAACUAACUUUUGGCACGUUUACUCUCUUUUUUUGAGAUUUCAUUUUUACAGACAUUUUUCGUGCGACACCCUUCCAGGAUACGGCACAACGGAGACAAAGGCGCAGACGUGCAGCAGGGCUCCGCUCAAAGGUUUCUCUUUAGAUUAAGCCCCUGUGUAAACCUUCUUUACUAUCUUUUGUUGCUUGACAUCCCAUGGGUAUUUCAUACACCCAUAAGGGACACUGGCGUUAUAGGCUUUUUGCCACGACAGAUCAAUGCACGUACCUGGAAUUACAGGGUCAAGGGCGUUAUUCAGCCCAGUAUAUGUUAUAAAGUCUGAAUACCUUCGGGAGUGUUCGGCGUCGCGAGUUUGGCCUUAUAUGCAUCAGCUCCGAAUCAUGUCUUUGGUCAAAUGUUGAGUUAGCCUGGCUCCUACGUUUGCUGCCUUACAUUCCAUUCUAUCAGCUAAGGCGGCCAAAGGAGAACUACUGCGAUUGUGCCCUGGUUAUUCCGGAUGAGCACCUCGGUAGAGAAAGCCGAAAACUAACUGUCAUGAUACAGCGAGAGACCGGUCAACCACUCGAGGACUCAUCGGAAUCUAUAGGAUUCCUUCGCAUUAACAAAGGACCGGUUUCCCGGUCAAGUACGCGCACUGUAUCCGGAUGCACGCGGAAGUACCAGGGGCUACAUAGUAGCCCCACCUUUCAAACUCCUAUGGCUAAGUGAAAGUGUUACAGCUAUAUAGUCCGGUUGCCUGGUUUGACGUGCGAUCACCUCCUUAAUGGACCUAGACGUUGGAUCAAAUGUGUUUACACAUAUUUUCUCGAACACCCCCGCAUUAUAUGCAUGGGGGAUGAAGCCAACGACUGCUAACUUUCACGUUGUAUGCACACAUAAACAGCCACACAAGAGACAUUAUAAUACUUUCAGGUAAAAGUAUAAAAAACAACCUCUCUAAUCAAAACACAUAAUUGUUUACAAUUAAUAGACUUGUCACUCGAACAUGACAUUCUUCGAGCACUGACCCUCUAUUCUACCGGCACCUUCUAUGACUUGCUCAAAAUAGUGCUUAGCUGGGUCAUGGCUUCCCGCCCGGACCCUGCGUUGCAAUGCUGGUGGCCUCCAUAUCCGCCCAAUAUGUCUUCACACGGGCAAGAGCCAUCCGCGCACCCUCUAUGCACGCCGACAUCUUCAUGGCAUCGAUUUGUGAUCUGGCGCCAAACAAUUGUUGCACCAAACCAAAGUAGAUGUCCGGCUUUGGUCCUCUCGGACAUAGAUGGUCUACAGACCUCAUUGCAAGGCCGGAUAGCCUAUGGAGCUCGGCUAUAGCGGUCAUCUUCUCACUCAAUGGCAAUGAGCGCACUGGAGCGCUAAAUUGCGACCAAAAUAGUCUUUCUAUUUCGUUAUCUUUAUGAUCCUUGAACAACUUGGUCGCAUCAGUCGCACUCUUCGCCAAGUCCGCAUACUCAUAUGCAGCACUCCAUAGCUUAUCCCACGGAGCAUACUUUGGAUCUAAAAACUUCAUCCGCAACAAAUAAGGAUUUCCAGCCGUGAUUUCUCUGGCUUGUCGAAGUUCCUCCCGCGCGUCUCUAAUUUCAGAGCGUGUCUCCUUAGCUGAAUCCAAUGCCUUCUUCAGGUCAGCCGCCUUUGCCUGAUUCUCCUUCUCGAGAAGCUCAUACCGACCGGCGGCAUCCCUUAGCUCCACAGCCAUCCCAGCUAUCUUUUCUUCGCUUCGGAGAUGAGCGGCCUGUUCGGCUUUCAAGUCUUCACCUACCUUUAGAGCAGCCGCAUUGCUAACCCGGGCUUGUUCCUUGGCUAGGGCAAGCUCCGCCCUCAGGGCCUCAACGGCAGCAGCUCCGCCUGCAGCCACAUCACAUCAUAUUAAUAUUACAACCUUCUUACAAUUUCCUAAAGCAAAUGUGGAUAUAAGAAUGCAUACUGUGUGACUCCUCGAAUUGCUUGUUUACAAGCGUGACGUCGGCCUCCACCACGUCAAUCUGCCGCCUCAAUUCGGCGCACUCAGCGGUCUGGUCUAUCGCCGGACCCUUAGCAACCUGCACAUCAAUAAAAGUGUGAUGAUUACCUGGGAGUGUGAUCCUCCAUUUGCCGCCAUGGGCUGGCAUCCACAGUCUCAGGGGCUACUAUCUAUACAGAGCGCAUGUAUCGUGUGCGGUGCAAUCAAAAACUGCGUAUUUCGUGGCUUACCUCAAAGCCUUUGAGCAAGCUCCUAAAAGCUUCAUUUAACCCGCUUGUGGCAGAGGAAAUUUUCUCCAACACCGUACCUGUUAGUGUACGGUGACCCUCCGAGAGAGCAGCUGACUCUAGGAGGCCCGUCAGUAUGUUCGGCUAGACACCGGACUCUCCCGGACCCUUCUGAUUGUCCGCCACAGGAGCCGAACGCGCUGGGCUCGAGGCGGCCGAAGUGUUAGCUUCCGGCCCCAUUGGAUUUGGACUCCUCCGUGACGAUACCUCAGGGUCGCCUGCCCCACGGGGCGGAGAGUUUGGUGGGGUUUCACUCUCCAUCAUCUCCGGAAGAAGAUCCCCCGAGGACGAGCCCUAUUGAGAUGAACUGCUGGCUGGACUGCAAAAAAAUAGGUCCUGGUUAUUACUAUCAGAGAAAAAUGCAAUAAGCUUCUUGUUUAUUAAACUUACAGCUCGGUGGAGGGCUGGCCCGUUAGCGGGCACUAUGCGGUAAGAACGCCCUUCGGGGCAGGGCCCUUUGGUGAAGUUUUCUUCCCUUGUUUAGGCGCCCCCGUUUCAAAGUCUUCGGAAGCGGCCCUCUUCCUCCCGCGGGGGUAGGAAACCUCAGAUUCACCUCCCCGAUUCUCCUCCUCCAUGGAGACAUUAAUUCCCCCGGUUCGCAUGCAUAAUGUGUGAGGCUCACACUUGGCUUCUCCAGUCUUCCCUUCAUCUUUCUCCAAUAGCACAUGUCUUAGCCCCGCUCAAGCAUCCUGGCUAUCGCCGGACCGGGCGGGCCUUCGGGAAGCGGGGUCGGACACCUGAUCCUCUCCGCCUUACUAAGCCAAUCCUGGUUGCGGACAGUAUUCAGAACAAUGCUAUGACAAAUAUAAGCAAAAUGUUCGGUUAUAGGGUACUUACUUGGGUAUCUGGGCGAUUGCAACUCAGGCCCGCAUCCUCGGUGGUGUCCGGACACUUUAUUCGUGGUCCGAAGAACAACUUAUACAUUCCUUCGGGCGUCAUGCCGAAGAAGUGCUGAAUGGUUCGCGGAUCUUCUGGAUUGAACUCCCACAUCCGGAGAGGACAACGUUCGCACGGCAGGGCCCACCGAACUAGCAUUACCUGGAUUAUUUUGACAAGACUAAUGUCCCUCUCGAGGAGCUCCCGAAUGCGGCUCUACAACGUCAGUACAUCGUUUGCAGGCCCCCAGUUCAGUCCCACGUUGGCCCACGAUGCCAGUUGAGGCGGAGGGCCCGAGCGGAAGGCGGGGGCGAACGCCCACUUUGAGCCUCGAGGAGCCGUGACAUAGAACCACCUCCGUUGCCAUAGAUCAGAUACCUCCGAGAAGGAGCCUUCGGGCCAUGGGGCAUCGGCGUUCCUGCUUAUUGCGGCGUCCCCGCACUCUGCGUGCCGCCCCUCGAUCACCCUUGGCUUCACAUUGAAAGUCUUGAGCCAUAAGCCGAAGUGCGGGGUGACAUGGAGGAAGGCUUCGCACACGACGAUAAACGACGACAUGCGAAGGAUGGAGUCCAGAGCUAGAUCGUGAAAGUCUAGCCCAUAAUAGAACAUGAGCCCUCUCACGAAGGGAUCAAGAGUCAAGCCCAAGCCCCGAAGGAAGUGGGAGACAAAUACGACGCUCUCGUUAGGCUCAGGAGCAGGGAUAACAUGUUCGGGGGUGGGAAGCCUGUGCUUAACAUCGGCGGUCAAAUACCCGACCUCCCUGAGCUUCGCAAUAUCCUCCUCUGUGACAGAGGAAGCCAUCCACCGGCCUUGAUGGUCGGAUCUGGACAUGAUCAAAGAUCCGAGGUGCUUAAGCUUAAGCUUUGGGUGUUGGAACUCGAGGUGCGGGAAGGCGCAAGCGUGGAGAUAAAGGGAUAGGCCUCGACCCCUCUAUAAAGAGGAAGAAUAUCAAGCGUCCCCGUUCGGGACUUGCCUAAAAAUACGGAGUCAUGCCAACAGGCACGGUUGGGUUACCCAUACCCAUAUUUAUGAGGAUCCCACGAUAAGGGGGCACGAUCUCUGGUUUGACAAGACGUGCCAAGGAAACCGCCUCGUAAUAUGUGCGGAAGCAGGUUGUAGAAGACGGUUCGAAUAAAAACCGGAGUGUGGCGUGAUGUCACUUUUCAAAGAGUGGUUAGUAGAUUAGAUUCAUUGAUUAUUUUUCUCUCUACGGUGGUAUAUGGAAUUUAUCUUGCAGAGCCGGACACAGUCCAUGUGUUCGGAAUUUAUCUUGGAGUAUUUGGAGAUGGAACCCGCCUCGCAAUGCCGAAGACAAUCUACGCGCCGGACUCGUCGUCAUUGAAGCCUAGUUCAGGGGCUACUGAGGGAGUCCUGGAUAAGGGGUAUCCGGACAGCCGGACUAUAUACUUUGGUCGGACUGUUGGACUAUGAAGAUACAAGAUUGAAGACUUCGUCCCGUGUCCAGAUGGGACUCUCCUUGGUGUGGAAGGCAAGCUUGGCGAUUCAGAUGUAGAUCUCCUUCUCUGUAACCGACUCUGUGUAACCCUAGCCCUCUCUGGUGUCUAUAUAAACCGGAGGGUUUAGUCCGUAGGACAGAACAACAAUAACUACAAUCAUACCAUAGGCUAGCUUCUAGGGUUUAGCCUCCCUGAUCUUGUGGUAGAUCAACUCUUGUAAUACUCAUAUCAUCAAGAUCAAUCAAGCAGUUACCUCCAUCGAGAGGGCCCGAACCUGGGUAAACAUUGUGUCCCCAGCCUCCUAUUACCAUUAGCCUUAGACGCACAGUCCGGGACCCCCUACCGAGAACCGCUGGUUUUGACACCGACACCAAUCACCUCAUGGACGGGAUAGAGCAGCUAGCAACGGUGCACACGAGCCCGCACCCCCUCACCGUAAAGGAAGAGAAGUCGAGGCUUAGGGCCAGAAACACAAUUUACGUGAGGACCUGGAAAAAAAGGCCAGCAAGACCAUGUCCAUCUACGGAUCUAGGGACCGUGCCCUCGCACGGGACUGUGGUUAUCAAGCCAAAUAUGCCGGUCAUAUACCAGUUCGGAGUCGACUCCAAACACCACAACCGUCAGACUCACGCCACGACACAGCCAAGUACAGGGGUGCAGCACACCCCUUGUGCUUCACCAAUGAUGUGUUGGAUCAUGAAUUUCCAGAAGGGUUUAAACCCGUAAAUAUCGAGGCAUAUGAUGGAACGACGAACCCUGCGGUCUGGAUAGAAGACUUUAUUCUUCACAUCCACAUGGCUCGCGGAGAUGAUCUCCAUGCCAUUAAAUACUUACCCCUCAAGCUGAAAGGACCAGCUCGGCACUGGCUGAAAAGCCUCCCUGAAAAUUCCAUUGGAAGCUAGGAAGAACUUGAGGACGCUUUUCGUGCCAAUUUUCAAGGGACCUAUGUCCGACCUCUGGAUGCAGACGAUCUAAGUCACAUAAUCCAACAACCCGGAGAAUCAGCCCGUAAGCUUUGGAAUCGGUUUCUCACUAAGAAGAACCAAAUCAUUGAUUGUCCGGACGCCGAAGCCUUAGCGGCCUUCAAGCAUAGUGUCCGGGACGAAUGGCUAGCCAGACACCUUGGACAGGAAAAACCUAGGACAAUGGCAGCCUUAACCACACUCAUGACCGAUUUUUGCGUGGGUGAGAACAGCUGGUUAACUCGUAGCAGCACCAGCGAUCCUAGCACAUCUGAAGUCAGGGAUGGCAAUGGAAAGCCACGACGCAACAAAAACAAGUGUCGACAUAACGAAGUAAGCCCAGACGAUAUAUCGGUCAAUGCCGGAUUCAGUGGCCCCAGACCCGAUCAACGGAAGAAGCCAUUUAAAGGCAAUAAAGAUGGCCCAUCCAGCCUGGACAAAAUUUUAGAUAGGCCCUGUCAGAUCCAUGGCACCCCCGCUAAACUUGCGAACCAUACCAACCAUAGUUGUUGGGUCUUCAAACAGGCCAGCAAACUCAACGCCAAACACAAGGGGAAGGGACAUCAGAGCGAAGACGAGGACAAACCUCGCAAGUCGAACACGGGGGGACAAAAGAAAUUUCCACUGGAGGUCAAGACAGUGAACAUGAUCUAUGUCACUCAUAUCCCAAAAAAGAGCACAAAUGCGCACUCCGGGAUGUAUACACCGUCGAGCCUGUUGCCCCCAAAUUUAACCCAUGGUCGGCCUGUCUGAUCACCUUUGAUCGCAGGGAUCAUCUGACUAGUAUCCAUCAUGGGGGUUCAGCUGCCCUCAAUCCAAUAAUCGACGGAUACCACCUCACUCGCGUCCUUAUGGAUGGCGGCAGCAGUCUCAACUUGAUAUACUAGGACAAUGUCCGCAAGAUGGGGAUAGACCCAUCAAGAAUCAAGCCAAGCAGCACAACCUUUAAAGGAGUUAUACCGGGCAUAGAGGCCCGCUACACUGGCUCUUUAACAUUGGAGGUCAUAUUCAGCUCUCCUGACAACUUUCGAAGCGAAGAGCUAAUCUUCGACAUAGCUCCGUUCCGAAGUGGCUAUCAUGCAUUACUCGGAAGAACGGCCUUCGCCCGCUUCAAUGUAGUCCUGCAUUAUGCCUAUCUAAGGCUCAAAAUGCUUGGACCGCGUGGUGUUAUCACGGUCAGUGGAAACAUGGAGCGCUCUAUUCGUACAGAAGAGUACACGGCGGCUCUAGCAUCCGAAGCCCAAAACGUCCUAUUCAAGCCGAAUAGCUCAUGGUCGUUACGACCGCGGACACGGCUAAACGUGUCCGGCGCACGCCCCAGUACAGCAGCUCAGAUAAAUCCGAGCUCAAUUAGCAGUCACGCCCCCAUCGACUACCCAACAAGGUAAUGGCAUACAUGCCUCGUAUACACAAGUACACUCUCAAAAUUCCUUGGGCGGCGACGGGGGCACACUGCAUACAAAAUAGUCCAUAGUUCGGCUCGACCCUAUUCGGACUCUAUAAAGUAUGUUUCCAUGCUCAUUAAACGAGCCAGUUGUGUCUAUGGCCACUCUGAAUUCCUUUUACAAGCUUUUUAUUUUUUUUCACAGCUGGCCAUCAGACCCCUCCCUUCAAGGACACAUCACAAAGGAGAAAAUGGCGCAGAUGUGUAGCAUGGCCCCGCACUAUGGUUUCUUUUUAGAUUAAGACCCUGUGUAAACCUUUUUUAUCUCUCUUUGUAUUUAUGCUCUCCUGGCAUGUAAAAUGUCCAGGGUAGCUACAGACACUAUCUGCAUGUAUACGGCUGGCCGUACUAAAAGUGGAUAUUAUAGAAACAGCUUGGUUCAUAAUGUGCUUGGAGUUUUAUUCUCUCAUCACCCACGCUCUUUCCCCAUGUCAGAUUGCCACACGUGCCUUGAUAUCAGGUUCCAUUACCAGGGGCUCUAUUCAGCCCGGUAUAUGUUGAAAAAAUCCAAACACCUAUCGGGAGUGUUCGGCGUCGCGAGUUUGGCCUUAUAUGCAUCAGCUCCGAAUCAUGUCUUUGGUCAAUAGUUGGGUUGCUUGGUCCUGUGCUUACUACCUUAUGUUCCGUUGUAUCGGCUAGGGUAGUAAAGGGAGAACUCCUGCCAUUGUCCCGGUUCAUCCGGAUGAGCACCUCAGUAGAGAAAGCCGAAAACUAACUGUCAUGAUACGGCGAGAGAUGGUCAACCACUCGAUGACUCAGCGGAAUCUUCGCGAUUCCUUCCACAUUAACAAAGGACUGUCUUUCCGGUCACAUACGAAAAUGCGCCGUAUUAGGAUAACAGCAUACGUACCAGGGGCUAUAUCGUAGACCCACCGUCAAACUCCUAUAUCAACAAACACUUCACUCGAAGAUAAUAUCUUUCGAGCACGGACCCUCUAUCAAGCGGGCACCCUCUAGGACAUCUUCAAAAUAAUGUUCUGGCGUAUGAUACUCCUUGCCCUUGGGUGGACUUCUAGCUGCAAUAUCGGUGGCCCUCAUCUUUGCCCAGUAUGUCUUGACACGGGCAAGGGCCAUCCGUGCACCUUCUAUGCACGUUGACCGCUUAACAGCGUCGAUACGCGGCACCGCAUCAACAAGUCGGUGCACCAAACCGAAAUAACUAUUCGGAAUUGGCUCAGUCGGCCAUAGCCGCACUAUUACGUCCCUCAUAGCAGAUACGGAUUGCUUGUGGAGCUCGACCCAUAUGGUCAUCUGUUCGUUCAGCAACAUUGGACGCCUCGACACGCUGAAUUGCGACCAGAAAAGCUUUUCCGUCGCAUAUCCUUCUUGCGCUUGGAAAAACUGGGUCGCAUCAGAGACACUCUCCGGCAAGUCCAAAAAUGCGUCUGGAGAACUCCACAUCUGGUUAAGCGAGGCAUACUUCGGAUCACCGAAUUUAGUUUGCAAUAAGAAGGGCUUACCAGCCGCGAUCUCCCCGGCUUGCCGGAUCUCCUCCCGAGUCGCUCUAGACUCAGACCGUGCUUCUCUCGCCUCUUGUAAGGCCUUGUCAAGAUCAGCCGUUUUGGUUUGGUUAUCUUUUUCAAGCAAUUUGCAUCGGCCAGCGGCAUCCUUUAGCUCAAACACCAGAGUAGAUAUUCUCUCCUCGCACUGGCACCGAGCAGCCUGUUCGGCCUUCAAAUCAGCAGCCGCCUUUUAGGCAGUCGCAUUACUCAGCCUGGCUUGCUCCUUGGCCCGGGCAAGCUCAGCCCGAAGGGUUUCAACCGCGGCGGCACUAUUUGCAGUUAUGCAUACUCAAUUCUCAGUGUCACGCUCAUGUUAUAAUAAUAGCAUGUACUAAGUGCCCCGAAGACAUACCUUGCGCCUCGUUGAGCCGCCUGUUAAUAAGCGUGAUGUCAUCAUCCGCUACAUCAACUUUCCACUUCAGACGUGCCACCUCCGUAGCUUGGGCAGUCGCCAUGAAUGAAACAACCUGUGUUUUAAUAAGUCAGGACAUUUCUUGGGUAUAUAUUUCUUGACCCUCUGAUCGCCUCCCUUUGGACGACAACCAGAGUCUCAGGGGCUACUAUCUGUACACAAGCGCAUUUUGUGUUUAUAGCAUUCAAAAAUACUACAUUACGUACCUCGAAGCCUCCUAGUAGGCUCAUGAAGGCUUCAGCCAAUCUGCUUUUUGCGAACCAAACCCUCUCAACCACCGUACCCAUCAAGGUACGGUGUUCCUCUGAGACGGACGCAUGUGGAAAUGUGUCCAUCAAUAUAUUUGGCGCCCUCGGAUCCGAAGCAGUAUAGCCGUCCCUCGGAAGCCGGAUAGUCCGAGGCCUUUGUUGUCAUUCCUUGUAGGGGGCACACACCCCGUACCUCGGGCAGCCGAAGUGUCAUCUUCGGGCCCGAUCCUCGCUCUUCCUCGCAUUGUCUGUUUAUCGGGAACAAUCCUCUCGGACGACACCCCGAUGUCAUCUGCCUCAUCGAGAAGGGAGAUUUGUGGAGGUGUCUCACUCUCCAUCAUCUCUGGGAGAAGAUCCCCCAAGGAGGAGGACUGUUGGGGAAGGAUGCAUGCCGAACUGCAAACAUAUGUUUCAAAAUGUUAUUCUGGCAACCAGGAAAGAACGGGAUAUGUUUGACACAUCCUUGUUCACUUACGAUUUGGCUAGGGGCCCACCUUUUUGGAGAGAUUGUGUGUCAACGUCGCCUCCCUGGCCAGAGCCCCCUUACACGGAUAUCUUCCCUCGCUUAGAAUCUCCUAUCUUCAGGUCUUCGGAGGCGGUCCUUUUCUUCCCACAAGGGGAAGGGACGUCAGUUUUUCCUUCCCUUCCGUCUUCGGAAGAGGGAGUUCCGAUCUCCCCGGACAGGAUGUCGGGCGAGCCUCUAGAAUUAGGGCCUCCUUGGGCCUCCUUGUCCUCCCUCACCGGCACUUGAUAGGGUGCCGGUGCCAGCAUCCUUGUUAACACUGGAUCAGCUGAGUCUUCAGGAAGAGGAGCUGAACACCUAAUUCACUCCGCCUUCUUUAUCCGGCCCUGGCUGAGUACAAUUUUCUCAGUACAUUGUUAUGAGGAACUUGACUAAACUAUGUUCGGGAGUUAAAGUGCUUACCGAGGUAUCCGGAUGAUUGCAGUCAGGGCUGAUGUCUCCUGUAGUAUCUAGCCACUAUUUUCGUGCACCGAAGAAUAAUUUCCACAUCUCUUUGAGCAUCGUGCCAGAGAGGUGUUGAAGGGUUCGUGGUCCUUCCGGAUUGAAUUCCCACAUGCGGAGGGGACGUCGCUGGAACGGAAGGACCCGGCAGACUAGCAUUACUUGGAUUAUACUGAUGAGACCGGUGUCCUUUUCAAUGAGGCUCCGAAUGCGGCUUUGCAGCGUCUACACUUCAUCAACGGAUCCCCAAUCCAGCCCCUUAUUAAUCCACGAUGCAAGUUGUACUGGAGGGCCAGAACGGAACGUAGCUGUAGUUACCCACUUUUUGCCGCGAGGUUCAGUGAUGUAAAACCACUCUCGUUGCCAUAGGUCGAAAGAUUCUGUGAAGGAGCCCUUUGGCCAAGGAUAAUUGGUAAGUUUGCUUAUUGCAGCACCUCCGCACUCCGCUUGUUUCUCAUCGACUACCUUUGGUUUCACAUUAAAGGUCUUGAGCCAUAAGCCGAAGUGUGGGGAAAUACGGAGGAAGGCCUCGCACGUGAUGAUAAAUGCCAAGAUAUGAAGGAAGGAGUCUGGGGCAAGAUCAUGAAAAUCUAGUUCGUAAUAAAACAUUAGCCCUCAAACAAAGGGGUGAAGAGAAAACCCUAUCCCUCGGAGGAAGUGAGAGACGAAUAUUACCCUCUCAUUGGAUCUGGGAGUAGGGAUAACCUGCUCUUGAGCAGGAAGCCUAUGGAGGAUUUCCACAGUCAAGUAUCUUGCCUCCCAGAGCUUCGCAAUAUCCUCCUCUGUAAUAGAGGAGACCAUCCAUCGGCCUUGAAGGCUAGAUUUGGACAUGGCAGGGAAGCAUGGAACAACUAGGUUGAACCUUGGGUGUUUGAACUCGAGGUGGGAGAAGUAAAGGAAAGGAUUAGUGUGGAGGAGAAAAGACAGGUCUUAACCCCUUUAUAAAGGCGNNNNNNNNNNNNNNNNNNNNNNNNNNNNNNNNNNNNNNNNNNNNNNNNNNNNNNNNNNNNNNNNNNNNNNNNNNNNNNNNNNNNNNNNNNNNNNNNNNNNNNNNNNNNNNNNNNNNNNNNNNNNNNNNNNNNNNNNNNNNNNNNNNNNNNNNNNNNNNNNNNNNNNNNNNNNNNNNNNNNNNNNNNNNNNNNNNNNNNNNNNNNNNNNNNNNNNNNNNNNNNNNNNNNNNNNNNNNNCCAAGGAAUCAUGCCAACAGAACGGUUGGGUUACCCACGCCCAUGUGAUGAGAAUCCCGUAAUAAGGGGACAUGAUCUCUGCUUUGACAAGACCUGCCAAUAAAACCGCCUCUCGAGACGUGGAGCGGCAGGAUAGAAAAUAAUGGUCGGGCAAUGAUGUAAUGUCACACUACGAAAAGUUGUCAGCAGAUUGGACUCAUGAAAAUAUUAUACUCUCUACGGUCGUGUGUGGAAUUUAUUUUGCAGAGCUGGACCUUAUUUUUGUUUGGAGACGAAUUUGGAGUAUUUGGAGGAGGAACCCGCCUUGCAAUGCCGAAGACAAUCUGCGCGCCGGACACCUAGUCAUUGAAGCCUGGUUCAGGGGCUAUUGAGGGAAUCCUGGUUUAAGGGGUCCUCGGACGUCCGGACUAUUAACAUGGGUUGGGUUGUUGGACUAUGAAGACACAAGACCCAAGACUUCUUCCCGUGUCCAGAUGGGACUCUCCUUUGCGUGGAUGGCAAGCUUGGUGAUUCGGAUAUGUAGAUCCCUUUCUCUGUAACCGACUUUGUGUAACCCUAGCCCCCUCCGGUAUCUAUAUAAACCGAAGGGUUUAGUCCAUAGAGAAAAAACAACAAUCAUAAUCAUAGGCUACACUCCAGGGUUUAGCCAUUACGAUCUCGUGGUAGAUCAACUCUUGUAAUACUCAUAUUUAUCAAGAUUAAUCAAGCAGGAAGUAGGGUAUUACCUCCAUAGAGAGGGCCCGAACCUGGGUAAACACCGUGUCCCCUGUCUCCUGUUACCAUCAACCUUAGACACACAGUUUGGGACCCCCUACCCAAGAUCCGCCGGUUUUGACACCGACAGUACACCUUCUAUCACAGAUCCGAAGGCAAGAUAUUCAUUGCUAAAAAUGGAUUCUUUCUAGAGAUGGAGUUUCUCUCAAAAGAAGUGAGUGGGAGGAAAGUAGAACUUGAUGAGGUAAUUGUACCUUCUCCUGAAUUGGAAAGUAGUUCAUCACAGAAAUCAGUUCCAGUGAUUCCUACACCAAUUAGUGAAGAAGCUAAUGAUGAUGAUCAUGAAACUUCAGAUCAAGUUACUACCGAACCUCAUAGGUCAACCAGAGUACGGUCCACACAAGAGUGGUACAAUAAUCCUAUUCUGGAAGUCAUGUUACUAGACCAUGAUGAACCUAUGAACUAUGAGGAGGCGAUGAUGAGCCCAGAUUCCGUGAAAUGGCUUGAGGCCAUGAAAUCUGAGAUGGGAUCCAUGUAUGAGAACAAUGUGUGGAGCUUGGCGGACUUGCCCGAUGAUCGGCAAGCCAUAGAAAAUAAAUGGAUCUUCAAGAAGAAGACUGACGCUAACGGUAAUGUUACUAUCUACAAAGCUCGACUUGUUGCGAAAGGUUUUUGACAAGUUCAAGGAGUUGACUACGAUGAGACCUUCUCACCCGUAGCGAUGCUUAAGUCUGUCUGAAUCAUGUUAGCAAUUGCCGCAUUUUAUGAUUAUGAAAUUUAGCAAAUGGAUGUCAAAAAUGCAUUCCUUAAUGGACUUCUUAAAGAAGAGUUGUAUAUGAUGCAACUAGAAGGUUUUGUUGAUCCAAAAGGUGCUAACAAAGUGUGCAAGCUCCAGCGAUCCAUUUAUGGACAGGUGCAAGCCUCUCGGAGUUGGAAUAUACGCUUUGAUAAUGUGAUCAAAGCAUAUGGUUUUAUACAGACUUUUGGAGAAGCCUGUAUUUACAAGAAAGUGAAUGGGAGCUCUAUAGCAUUUCUAAUAUUAUAUGUGGAUGACAUAUUGUUGAUUGGAAAUAAUACAUAAUUUCUGGAUAGCAUAAAGGGAUACUUGAAUAAGAAUUUUUCAAUGAAAAACCUCGGUGAAGCUGCUUAUAUAUUGGGCAUCAAGAUCUAUAGAGAUAGAUCAAGACGCUUAAUUGGACUUUCACAAAGCACAUACCUUGAUAAAUUUUGAAGAAGUUCAAAAUGGAUCAGUCAAAGAAAGGGUUCUUGCCUAUGUUACAAGGUGUGAAGUUGAGUCAGACUCAAUGCCCGACCACUGUAGAAGAUAGAGAGAAAAUGAAAGUCAUUCCCUUUGCCUCGGCCAUAGGUUCUAUCAUGUAUGCAAUGCUGUGUACCAGACCUGAUGUGUGCCUUUCUAUAAGUUUAGCAGGGAGGUACCAAAGUAAUCCAGGAGUGGAUCACUGGAUAGCAGUCAAGAACAUCCUGAAAUACCUGAAAAGGACUAUGGAUAUGUUUCUUGUUUAUGGAGGUGACAAAGAGCUUAUCAUAAAUGGUUACAUUUAUGCAAGCUUUGACAGUGAUCCGGAUGACUCUAAGUCACAAACCGGAUAUGUAUUAAUAUUGAAUGGUGGAGUUGUCAAUUGAUGCAGUUCCAAACAGAGCGUCGUGGCAGGAUCUACGUGUGAAGUGGAGUACAUAGCUGCUUCGGAAGCAGCAAAUGAAGGAGUCUAGAUGAAGGAGUUCAUAUCCGAUCUAGGUGUAAUACCUAGUGCAUCGGGUCGAAUGAAAAUCUUUUGUGACAAUACUGGAUAAAUUGCCUUAGCGAAGGAAUCCAGAUUUCACAAGAGAACCAAACACAUCAAGAGAUGCUUCAACUCCAUCCGCGAUCAAGUCAAGGAGGAAGACAUGGAGAUUUGCAAGAUACAUGCGGAUCUGAAUGUUGCACACCCCUUGACUAAGCCUCGUCCAUGAGCAAAACAUGAUCAGCACCAAGACUCCAUGGGUGUUAGAAUCAUUACUAUGUAAUCUAGAUUAUUGACUCUAGAGCAAGUGGGAGACUGAAGGAAAUAUGCCCUAGAGGCAAUAAUAAAUUGUUAUUUAUAUUUCCUUACAUCAUGAUAAAUGUUUAUUACUCAUGCUAGAAUUGUAUUAACCGGAAACUUAGUACAUGUGUGAAUACAUAGACAAAACAAAGUGUCCCUAGUAUGCCUCUACUUGACUAGCUCGUUAAUCAAAGAUGGUUAUGUUUCCUAACCAUAGACAUGUGUUGUCAUUUGAUGAAUGAGAUCACAUCAUUAGAGAAUGAUGUGAUGGACAAGAGCCAUCCGUUAGCUUAGCAUAAUAAUCAUUAAGUUUCAUUGCUAUUGCUUUCUUCAUGACUUAUACAUGUUCCUCUGACUAUGAGAUUAUGCAACUCCCGGAUACCGGAGGAACACCUUGUGUGCUAUCAAAUGUCACAACAUAACUAGGUGAUUAUAAAGAUGCUCUACAGGUGUCUCCGAAGGUGUUUGUUGGGUUGGCAUAGAUCAAGAUUAGGAUUUGUCACUCCGUGUAUCGGAGAGGUAUCUCUGGGCCCUCUCGGUAAUGCUCAUCACUAUAAUCCUUGCAAGCAAUGUGAUUAAUGAGUUAGUUGCGGGAUGAAGCAUUACAGAACGAGUAAAGAGACUUGCCGGUAACGAGAUUGAACUAGGUAUGAAGAUACUGACAAUCGAAUCUCGGGCAAGUAACAUACCGAUGACAAAGGGAACAGCGUAUGUUGUUGUGCGGUUUGACCGAUAAAGAUCUUCAUAGAAUAUGUAGGAACCAAUAUGAGCAUCCAGGUUCCGCUAUUGGUUAUUAAUCAGAUAUGUGUCUCGAUCAUGUCUACAUAGUUCUCGAACCUGUAGGGUCCGCAUGCUUAACGUUCGAUAACGAUUUGUAUUAUGAGUUAUGUGUUUUGGUGACCGAAGUUUGUUCCGAGUCCUGGAUGAGAUCACGGACAUGACAAGGAGUCUCGAAAUAGUUGAGUGGUAAAGUUUGAUAUAUUGGAAGAGUACAUUCAGACACCAGAAUAGUUUCGGGAAGUUUCGGAUAAGUUUCGGAGUACCGGGAGGUUACCGUAACCNNNNNNNNNNNNNNNNNNNNNNNNNNNNNNNNNNNNNNNNNNNNNNNNNNNNNNNNNNNNNNNNNNNNNNNNNNNNNNNNNNNNNNNNNNNNNNNNNNNNNNNNNNNNNNNNNNNNNNNNNNNNNNNNNNNNNNNNNNNNNNNNNNNNNNNNNNNNNNNNNNNNNNNNNNNNNNNNNNNNNNNNNNNNNNNNNNNNNNNNNNNNNNNNNNNNNNNNNNNNNNNNNNNNNNNNNNNNNNNNNNNNNNNNNNNNNNNNNNNNNNNNNNNNNNNNNNNNNNNNNNNNNNNNNNAAGGGGUGGGGGUGGCGCCCCCCUUUCCUUCUCCUACUCCCUCUCCUUUCCCCUUUGCUACUCCAGCAAAAAGGAAAAAAGUGGGGGAAAUCCUACUAGGUUUGGAGUCCUAGUAGGACUCUCCCCUCGAUGGCGCGGCCCCUGGCCGCCGGCCUCCUUCCCCCUCCUUUAUAUACGGGGGCAGGGGGCACCCCAAAGGCACAACAUUGUCUUAGCCGUGUGCGGUGCCCCCCUCCACCGUUUACUCCUCCAGUAUCAUCGUAGUGCGUAGGUGAAGCCCUGCACAGAUCACAUCACCAACACCAUCAUCAUGCCAUUGUGCUAACGAAACUCUCCCUCGACCCUCUGCUGGAUCAAGAGUUCAAGGGACGUCAUCGAGUUGAACGUGUGCUGAACUCGGAGGUGUUGUACGUUCGGUGCUAGAUCGGUUGGAUCGUGAAGACGUUCGACUACAUCAACCAUGUUAACCUCACUCUUCCGCUUUCGGUCUACGAGGGUACAUGGACAAACUCUCCCCCUCUCGUUGCUAUGCAUCUCCUAGAUAGAUCUUGCAUGAUCAUAGGAAUUUUUUUGAAAUUGCAUGCUACGUUUCUCAACAAAUGGUUUAUUGAAUCUCGAUCAUAGUGAUACACAUAUUCAUAAUAUUGAUGCCAAAAGAUGCAAAGUUUAUAAUGAUAGUGCAACAUACUUGUGGCACUGCUGUUUAAGUCAUAUUGGUGUAAAGCGCAUGAAGAAACUCCAUGCUGUUGGGAUUUUGGAAUCACUUCAUUAUGAAUCAUUUGAUACUUGCGAACCAUGCCUCAUGGGCAAGAUGACUAAAACUCCAUUCUCCGGAACAAUGGAGCGAGCUAAUGACUUAUUGGAAAUAAUACAUACCGAUGUAUGCGGUCCGAUGAGUGUUGACGCAUGCAGUCGGUAUUGUUAUUUUCUAACCUUCACAGAUGAUUUGAGAAGAUAUAGGUAUAUCUACUUAAUGAAACACAAGUCUGAAACAUUUGAAAGUUCAAAGAAUUUCAGAGAGAAGUGGAGAAUCAUCAUAACAAGAAAAUAAAGUUUCUACCACCUGAUCGCGGAGGCGAAUAUUUGAGCUAUGAGUUUGGCCUUCAUUUAAACAAUGUGGAAGUGUUUCCCAACUCACGCCACCUGGAACACCACAGCAUAAUGGUGUGUCCAAACAUCGUAAUCGCACUUUAUUAGAUAUGGUGCGAUAUAUGAUGUGUCUUAUCGAUUUGCCACUAUCGUUUUGGGGUUAUGCAUUAGAGACAGUUGCAUUCACGUUAAAUAGGGCACCGUCUAAUCCAUUGAGACGACGCCAUAUGAACUGUGGUUUAGCAAGAAACCUAAGCUGUUGUUUCUUAAAAUUUGGGGUUGCGACCCUUAUGUCAAAAGGCUUCAACCUGAUAAGAUCGAACCCAAAUCGGAGAAGUGCGUCUUCAUAGGAUACCUUAAGGAUACUAUUGGGUACACCUUCUACCACAUAUCCGAAGGCAAAAAUCUUUGUUGCUAAGAAUGGGUCCUUUCUAGUGAAGGAGUUCUCCAAAAGAAGUGAGUGGGAGGAAAGUAGAACUUUAUGAGGUAAUUGUACCUUAUCUCGAUUUGGAAAAUAGCUCAUCAAAUAAAUCCGUUCCCGUGAUGCCUACACCAACUAGAGAGGAAGCUAAUGAUGAUGACCAUGAAACUUCAGAUCAAGUUACUACCGAACCUCGUAGGUCAACCAAAACACGAUCGACACCGGAGUGGUAUGGUAAUCCUGUUCUGGAAGUCAUGUUACUAGACCAUGGUGAAUUUACGAACUAUGAAUAAGCUAUGAUGAGCCCAGAUUCUGAUAAAUGGCUUGAGGCCAUGAAAUCUGAGAUAGGAUCCAUGUAUGAGAACAAAGUGUGGACUUUGGUGGAUUUGCCCGAUGAUCAGCGACCCAUAGAGAAUAAAUGGAUCUUCAAGAAGAAGGCUGACGUUGAUGGUAAUGUUACUAUCUAUAAAGCUUGACUUGUCGCAAAAGGUUUUUGACAAGCUCAAGGAGUUGACUACGAUGAGACUUUCUCCCUCGUAGCAAUGCUUAAGUCUGUCCGAAUCAUGUUAGCAAUUGCCACACUUUAUGAUUAUGAAAUCUAGCAAAUUGACAUCCAAACUGCAUUCCUUAAUGGAUUUCUUAAAGAAUAGUUGUAAAUGAUGCAACCAGAAGGUUUUUUCAAUCCUAAAGGUGCUAACAAAGUGUGCAAGCUCCAGCGAUCCAUCUAUGGACUGGUGCGAGAAUCUCGAAGUUGGAAUAUACGCUUUGAUGAGGUGAUCAAAGCAUAUGGUUCUAUACAGACUUUUGGAGAAGCCUGCAUUUACAAGAAAGUGAAUGGGAGAUCUAUAGCAUUUCUAAUAUUAUAUGUGGAUAACAUAUUGUUGAUUGGAAAUAAUACAGAAUUUCUGGAUAGCAUAAAAGGAUACUUGAGUAAGAAUUUUUCAAUGAAAGACCUCGGUGAAGCUGCUUAUAUAUUGGGCAUCAAGAUCUAUAGAGAUAGAUCAAGACGCUUAAUUGGACUUUCACAAAGCACAUACCUUGAUAAAUUUUGAAGAAGUUCAAAAUGGAUCAGUCAAAGAAAGGGUUCUUGCCUAUGUUACAAGUUGUGAAGUUGAGUCAGACUCAAUGCCCGACCACUGCAGAAGAUAGAGAGAAAAUGAAAGUCAUUCCCUUUGCCUCAGCCAUAGGUAUAAUAGUGAUCCGGGAGUGGAUCACUGGACAACGGUCAAAAUUAUCCUUAUUUACCUAAGAGGACUAAGAAAAUGUUUCUCGGUUAUGAAGGUGAUAAAGAGUUCAUUGUAAAGUCUUACGUCGAUGCAAGCUUUGACACUGAUCUAGAUGACUCUAAGUCUCAGUCUAGAUACGUCACUACUGCAGGAUGCUGCUAACGCGACACUACGAUCAGAGACUCUUCAAAAAACUGUGUGCAAUGCAAUAAUCGCAAACGAUGGUGUAGGAAAAUCGUCAAAAAUGUGCAAAACGUUUGCAAUGAUGGAUGCAUCAAACACGGUUCAGAUUUUAGUUGUGUGUGCGAUGCAGGGCAUACGGUUCAGUUCAAUGAACUGUUUGCGAUGAGGAGGAACAAAAGAAACAGGCAACUAGAUGAAGGUGUGUGCGAUAUACAGCAUACGGUUCGCUCGGAUGAACUGUUUGUGAUUAGGCAACACAAAAGAAACGGUUAGGCAGAUCAAGGUGUGUGCGAUAUACAACAUGCGGUUCACUCGGAUGAACUAUUUGCGUUGAGAUAAAAGAACAGAAACGGUUCAAUAUAAUAAGAUGUGUGUGAUACACGGCAAACAGGCUGUAAUCAGAAAUGUGUGCGAAGACCGAUAAUAACACAGACGAUUGCUUCUAAUAAGACGUAUGUGAUAUGCUCUGUUUACACAACAUGUAUUGGCCAUUGGGGGACGGGCGGCCAUCCGGAUACGCCAUAAGGAUGUGAAGAGGCAUCCUAUAUCAGCAAGGACUAGUUGUUCCACCAGUAGCUCAUCUAAGAGAACUCUCAAGUUAAGUGUGAUCAGGCUGGAGCAGCCAUCAGAUGGGUGAUUGGAUGGGAAGUUGUGUUGAUGUUAAAUUAACUGAUAGGAUGGGCCAUUUCGGUCAAAUGACUGAAAUGACCCAUUCCCUCAACUAAUUUAACCUCGAGGUCCUUGUUUUUUGUUUUUAUUUUAUUUUUUAACAUAUGCUAAAGAAGGUCUACCGCAUUACUUUUUGACAAUGUGUAUACGUGGCAUACAAUUGAUCCAUCCGACAUGUUUGUGAUGGAAUAAGUCGUGUGUGUUGUGGGCAAACGCUUGAUAGUGUACAACCGUUUGCGAUUGAUGAAUUUAUCACCUACGGGUUCCCUAGUGUGGUCCGUGUUCAUCUAAUCAUCAUCUACUUCUUAUGCUAGCUCGAUGUUCCUUAUAUAUGCUAAGUUUCCAUUAAUUGAUGGUGUUUUAUAAACACGCCACCAUUUCCUGCCAUUUCCUCACCUUUUUCCCGCUACCCAGCAAUAUUGCACAUAUACCUAGGUGCGGCGCGACACAUGGAGGCAACAAGCGCAGCCUGUAGCACAUCCACCUUUUCCCAAUGCACCAAAGUGUCGCCUCUGCCAUCAACCUCAUCGAUGAGGAAAACCAGAAGGCACCACGGCCUGUCGAGGCCGUGAUGCUCCCUGGCAACCUGAUGGAUGACGUUGUUAUGCGCGUCAUCAUCAGGGUUGAGCAGACCCUUGGCGCAUGGCGCUUCAGCGCCGCGGAUCAAGAUAGGCAUGUCAACACCAAGAGGCUGCAAAUCGCUUCACAACAUGAUUGAUGGCGCGCCACAGAGCAAGCUAGGCGCAUCCGCACCAAUAGGUUGUGGCUCAACGCACGACGAGAGUGUUGGAGCGCCGCAGAGCGAGAGGCGCGGCGUGCCGCAUAGCAAGAGCGGAUCCAUCAGUGCUUGCCGGCUGUCGACAGGGCGUCGCAGCUAGGUAUGCGUCCCGUCAGUAACCCCAUUCCUCGCUAGGAGUGGGCAUAGUCCCUCUGCGCCGUACUUGCACCAGAGGCCAGCCGCGCCAUACUUGCACCAGACGUCCGCCGCGCCGUUCGCAUGGGUCGCGCCAUUCGCCUUGUCUGUGGACCGCUCGAUGCCAACACGCUGGUUGGUAGGCUCGACCGCCUCCUGGGCCCAGGUGUGCACCUGGGCGCAGUAGAGGAACAUGGCCGUCGCAUCCUCGAGGUGGUGAUCUCCGAUCAAAUAGCCAACUUGGAGCUCGAAAUCGCACUCCGGAUAUACUGCGAGCGUGUCGACCGCUUGGACGAAUGCAUGCACGAGUUUAGGCAGAGCCAAGAGCUACCAAAGGCAAGGGCUGCUGGUCAUGGUCUCAUGGACGCGUUUUAUUUUGUUGUGUCAUUUCAACGUGGAUAGCUAUGUAUUCACAGCAAUCAUACUAUUACUCUGUUUAUUGCUCUGUUUCAAUGUGUGUAUUCUGUUUUCCGUUCUUAUAUGUUAUGUUUCAAUGUGUGUUUAUAUGCUUUCCAUUCUGUAUAUGUGGAUGAUAAUAGAUAGAUUCAAAUUAGUAUACAAAAAUAGAUAGAAAAUGGAAUUCAUAAUAUAUAUAAUAUUAAUUGUUCAUUAGUUCAUCAUAGAAUAUAAAUAAUAUCAUCGCAUAUACGUAAUGAUACUUAACUACUAGGUACAAUGCAUAAAAUUGAAAACAAACAAUACUAAAACUAAUAAUCCCUCCUGGGGCCAUUAUUCCGGCAGACCCUCGCCAGCAGCUCCCUGGUGCGCGACGUCUUCCCAGAGCGGAGGCAGUACUCCGCCUUCUCCGCCUCGCAGCGCUUGAUGUGCCGAUCUGCCUCUUGCAGGCGAACGUGCGCGAACGAUCUUGCCAUUUUGUUGGGCGCCCACCGAAGCUCCUAAUUGGUGGCACGCUGGAGCUUAUCGGACCAGCUCCACGCAGCGACGGCGCCUAGAACCUCUGGCCUUUCUCGCAAAGUACCCGUCUUCGUACACCUCCUCCGCACGACGAUGCACCCUCCCACAAAGCUCUGCCGCCUCCUUUUUUAGGGCAGCAUCACGGGCUUCACAAGCCACCUGGUACCUGGCAUCCUCCUCCGCUAUCUCCUUCUUGAAAGCAACUUGCCUUGCUUUCUCAGCCGGCGGCAGCGACUUCCAAAGACAAAGAUCGUACUGGCCCCAAAAUCAAUCCAAAGUUGGGGGGUCCGGCGCAAACUCGUCCGACGGUGUGUAGGUAUCCUCGUCGCUGCUCUUCGAGUGAGCAUCCUCAGUGGGUUGCGACUCCUCGUCGGUGCAUGAGCAGACCGGCAGCACCAUGCCAGAGAUUUGAGAGAAAGAGAGAGAGGACAAGCAAGGGGAGGAUCUAGAUGAGAAUGCAGGCGGGACGACAUCAGCAAGGUAGUAUUUAUUGGCGGUCGGAAUCUAGAUCGAUGGGAAUAGUACACACGCCGGUCGCCAGAAUUUACGAGUACUAUAGUGUGAAUUACACAUGGUUCCCGCAGCAAAAUCCAUGUGUGAACAUAAUAGCUGACGGUUCCCAAUGCAAAACUGUGUCUGAUUAAUAGAGACCUCCACUCACCUUCCAAACCUCGAGGCGCGAAAUAGAGUGCCAAUCGUGUGCGGCCAGUUGUCUUGCCAGAUUUUACAUUUUCUUUUUUGAACACCGAUAUUUACAUCGUCCGAUGAUUUUUUAACUCGCACACAAGUACACAAAUAUGAUUUUUCAAACCGUUAUGGUUAGUCGUUGCAUGUAGAUGUAGUUCAAGUUUGAAUUACGGUCAUUAAAUGGCGACAAAAUCACUUAAAUGUCUUCAGAAGGUCAAAUGACUCCUGAAAUUUUCCAAAUUUUCACAUCACGGUUGUAUUAGUGCAUGUUACAUGUAGAAAAAAUUGAAGGCUGUAAGAGGAAGCUAUCUGUCGUUCGUCAUCAAACAUGCAUUGUUCCCUUCUCGGAAGCAUGAGCCUACUAGUGAGUUGCUCCGGUUUGUGAGGGGUGUGUGUCCAAACUUUCGUCAAACAUGCCAUUUUUUUUACCACAUCAUCUUGGUGGCAUGACAUUACAUCAAGCAAGGUUUCAUGUUUUUCUGAUCAUUUUUAAUUUUUUGGAAUUAAAUUGCCAUGGCACUCCAUGAAGUGUCCAUGUUGUGAGACCAACAUGUUUGAAAAUUCCUUCUAAUUUACUACACAUGGAUUUAACUCGCACAUAAGUACACAAAUAUGAUUUUUCAAACCGUUAUGGUUAGCCGUUGCAUGUACAUCUAGUUCAAAUUUAAAUUACGGUCAUUAAAUUGCUAGGAAAUCACUUAAAUGUCUUCAAAAGGUCAAAUGACCCGUGAAAUUUUCCAAAUUUUCACAUGACAGCUUGUAUCAGUGCACAUUACACAUAGAAAAAAUUUGAAAGCCGUAAGAGGAAGCUAUCUGCAGUUCUUCAUCAAACAUGCAUUGUUCCCUCGGAACCACGAGCCUUCUAGUGAGUUGCUUCGGUUUGUGAGGGUUGUGUAUCCAAACUUUCGUCAAACAGGCCAAUUUUUGUACCACAUCAUCUUGGUGGCAUGACAUUACAUCAAGCAAGGUUUCAUGUUUUCCUGAUCAUUUUUUACCUUUUUGGAAUUAAAAUGCCAUGGCACUCCAUGCAUGUGUCCAUGUCGUGAGACCAAUAUAUUUGAAAAUUCCUUCUAAUUUACUGCACAUGAAAUUAACUCGCACACAAGUACACAAAUGUGAUUUUUCAAACCGUUAUGGUUAGCCGUUGCAUGUACAUCUAGUUCAAAUUUGAAUUGCGGUCAUUAAAUGGCUAGGAAAUCACUUAAAUGUCUUCAAAAGGUCAAAUGACCCUUAAAAGUUUCCAAAUUUUCACAUGAUAGUUUGUAUCAGUGCACAUUACACGUAGAAAAAUUUUAAAGGCCGUAAGAAGAAACUAUCUGUCAUUCGUCAUCAAACAUGCAUUGUUCCCUUCUCGAAACCACGAGCCUUCUAGUGAGUUGCUCCGGUUUGUGAGGGCUGUGUGUCCAAACUUUUGUCAAACAGACCAAUUUUUGUACCACAUCAUCUUGGUGGCAUGACAUUACAUCAAGCAAAGUUUCAUGUUUUCCUGAUCAUUUUUUCAUGUUUUGGAAUUAAAAUGCCAGGGCACUCCAUGCAUGUGUCCAUGCCGUGAGACCAAUAUGCUUGAAAAUUCCUUCCAAUUUACUGCACAUGGAAUUAACUCGCACACAAGUACACAAACAUGAUUUUUCAAACCGUUAUGGUUAGCCGUUGCAGGUACAUCUAGUUCAAAUUUGAAUUAUGGUUAUUAAAUGGCUAAAAAAUCACUUAAAUGUCUUUAAAAGGUCAAAUGAAAACCCUGAAAUUUUCCAAAUUUUCACAUGACAGUUAGUAUCAGUGCACAUUACACAUAGAAAAUUUUUGAAGGCCGUAAGAGGAAGCUAUCUGUCGUUCGUCAUCAAACAUGCAUUGUUCUCUCUCGGAACAACGAGCCUUCUAGUGAGUUGCUUCGGUUUGUGAGGGGUGUGCCUCCAAACUUUCGUCAAACAGGCCAAUUUUUGUACCACAUCAUCUUGGUGGUAUGGCAUUACAUCAACCAAGGUUUCAUGUUUUUAAUUUUUUUGGAAUUUAAAUGGCAUGGCACUCCAUGCUUAAUUGUGUCAUAGCCGUUAGACCAAUAUGUUUGAAAAUUCCUUCCAAUUUACUGCACGUGGAAUUAAUCGCACACAAGUAUACAAAAUAUGACUUUUCAAACAGUUUUGGUUAGCUACUGCAUGUACAUGUAGUUCAAAUUUCAAUUACUGUCAUUAAAUAGCUGGAAAAUCACUUAAAUGUCUUAAAAGGUCAAAUGACCCCUGAAAUUUUCCAAAAUUUGACAUGACAGUUGUAUUAGUACUACAAAUUUUCUCGUACAUUUAAAACACCAUCUGUUGCCACUUUACUCCAAAUUCAUCUUUCACAGCUAAUAAAAAAUAUCUACAACAUCACACACAGUUGUUUUGUAGGAAUCGUUUGCGAUGAAAAAUUUUGGGUCUAUUUAAGUCUUCCUCCUUAAGCUUCGCCGGCUCAUCUGCUCCAGUGCCGGCAACCCCCGAAUCCACAAAUCCCGAUCGACAUUCCCGCUUCGUGAAGGCCCAUACGAUGGCUGNNNNNNNNNNNNNNNNNNNNNNNNNNNNNNNNNNNNNNNNNNNNNNNNNNNNNNNNNNNNNNNNNNNNNNNNNNNNNNNNNNNNNNNNNNNNNNNNNNNNNNNNNNNNNNNNNNNNNNNNNNNNNNNNNNNNNNNNNNNNNNNNNNNNNNNNNNNNNNNNNNNNNNNNNNNNNNNNNNNNNNNNNNNNNNNNNNNNNNNNNNNNNNNNNNNNNNNNNNNNNNNCAGCCGAGAGGGCGUCUGCGACAGCCGAUAGGGCAGUUGCUGCUGCGAUGGCGGCUGCAAGCGCUGAGAGCACUCGAGCUGCCAUCAGAGCCGUCGAUGUCGCCCUGGCCCGUGUCGAGGCCAUCCAGGCCAAGAUGUUCCAGGCCACCUCGGAAUCCAGCAUGCAACCAACGUCCGAAAAGGCGACAGUGGCCAUGGAGCACCUGCUUCAUCAUGAGGUCAUCGAGCGGGAGCUGGAGAUGCAGGAGGUGGCAGAGAUUGAGGAGCGCUGGGAGGAGGAGUUGCGCGUGGCCCAGUUCGAGGUAGAGAAGAGUUUGUCCGUCAAGGAAUCGGCGGUGGAGUACCAACAUGAGCUCUGGCGCAACCACUACAACGAGUACUACAACCUUGAGGGCGGCGCCGAGGACGAGGAUGAGGACGCUGUCGACUUCAACAGGGGGGACACGAAGUCCACCAACAGCGGCAUGUCGCCAGGACAAGUCAUCGACAUCUCAUCUCACACAUGUGAUGCAUAGGCUAGCGCGGCAGCCGAUUUGUUAAAAUUAUUCGUGCUUAGGCUUUGUUUUUAAUGCUGGUCUUUUGUUAGAGCAAUGUUUAGGUGAACUAUCUCUGUUUAAUUACUAAAAUUGCUCAAUUCAGUAAGUCUGGUCUGUGUGUUGUAUGCUCUUUUGUGUGCACGAAUUAGCAAGCGAUGCUAAAUUAUGCAAUGACGUACGCGGGGAAAUUUCCACCAAAAUUUCAAUUAUCAAACUCAUCCCAUGCGCUUUAAGGAGAAGAAUUGUUUGUGAUGCACACUAUCGUUCAACGUGAAUGGUGUCCGGCGGCACCGCGUGCAAAGUUUCCCUCCACAUUUCAAAAUUUUUGGCCUACCGUCGAAAUAUCUACCCUCCCCCCUCCCCAUCCCCUUUUCUCCCCGACCACAAGUCAUAUUUCCCCUGUUUCCCCCUUCCUUCCUUCCUAGCUAUAGCCGCUUCCUCGCACUCGCCGUCUCGCAUCCUACCGUUGGGGUCGCCAUGGUCUUCUUCAAAGACCUCUCAAGCGGUUCCUCCUCCGACGACGACUCCUUCACCACCCGGGUAUGCCUCUCUUCUCUCUCUCUCUCUCGGGCUAUGACUUGGAAUGAAGGAUUUUUACCCGGCGGUCGGUUUGAGUCAUUUAUUCCUCUUGUAGUUCCCUAGGAUCAUCACUUGUAACGAAUGGAGCGGGGUGGCUGAAGAUCUGUCUGCUUGUUGUCACCAUCAAUCUCCAUGCAUGAAGUUAGUUGCGUUUGAAUCUAUGGACAGUGGGAGGAAGUUUCUGGCAUGUGCAGAGAAGGUUAGACCCUCUUUCGUUGUUACAAAACAUUUGUAAGAUGUGAUUGAGACACUGUCAUGGUCCCAACCCAUUCAUACCACACAUUCAACCAAACUCAUCCUAAGACAGUGUUACAGUUUGUACCUAGUAUCUAAAAAUGUUGCUAUCUCAUCAGUGGUGCCAUUAGAAAAUUAUUUGGCACCGCUUCAGCAGUUUGUGGAGCCAACUUUGUCCACACAUCCGAGCAGCAAAGCAGUAAAAUACUAAAUCUUUAUGGCACGACGGAAUUGGGCGUCCGAGCAACUAGGUGCUCUGGAGUUCAAGUCCCUGAUUUCUUUUACGCUGCACCGGCUCGCCAGUGCAGGGCACCGGUGCGAGAUGUAGCAACAGUUGUCUUUACACCGGUUUUGGCAUACAUAGUGGACGCCUUAGUGCUAUUAGUUCUAUGUUACUAAAUUUUUGCAUGUACACACCUGUUAGUAUCAAUUUGUUGUCAUCCAAACAUUGUCGCUAUGUUGUUGCAGUUAUAUUUACCUUCCUCUUAAAAUGUUCAAUUUGUUAUUUAUAGUACAUGAGUAAGAACUUGUAGCGUUGUUAUAGUUAAUUAUAGCUUCUGAUGUUUCAGAAUUUGGUUGUUGUGUCAGUAGCAAUUAAUUCAUUUGCACAUUGAUCUUUUUGAGAAGAUAUGUCAUAAUUAACCUGUUUCUUCAGUUUUUCAAAAUAAGUAUUGGUGAUUUUCUAUGUUGCUAUAAACCCAUUUUCCCUACAAUUGUUACUGAUCUAGUUUUAAAUAUUAUAGGAUGAAUGGAAGUGUUCUUACUUGGAGUGGGUUGAUCAAGAGUGGCCACAGUCUUUGAAGAUGUGCCUAGCAAAUCUCUGGAGCAUGUAUCAGGAAGAGAACAGAGUUAGGCUUAGAGAUAGUGCUGUCAACGUUGAAGAAUAUUUGAAGAUGCGGGAUAAAAAGAGGAAGGUGGAGAAUGAUCUCAGAUUUUUUAAAUCAGACUUUGCUAAGAUGGUGUUGGCGAAGGAGGAGGCACUUUCCCAGUUGGCCAGUGCAAAACAGGUUCUUAUUGAACUGAAAGCAGAGAUGAUCUCGAUUAGGAAAAUGAAUAUAUUGUUCUUAUGAAGUUGAACUAUCUAUAUGUUUUAUUGUGUUGUUUUUCGAUAGCUAUCAUACUGUGAUGUUAAAAUCUAUCUAUGUGCCUGAUAUGAAAUUGGCAAACAGUUGUUCGAUAUGAAAUGUGAAUUUGCGUAAUACUGGAAUUAUUAAUUGUGAACUAAUAAAUCUGCAAAAUGGGUCAUGGAACUUUGCAAACGGUUCUAGAAGUAAAAGCGCUUGUGAUGGAUAGCCCAAUGCCACACAGUUUUCUUCAUCAAAUCGUGUGCGAUGUAGUUGAUAAAAGCAAACGGUUAACCAAGGCAGAGCGUGUGCGAUAGUUACACGUAUCACACACGAGCCUAUACAUAAACCUAUGUGGGAUGUACAUACGAAUGGAAACGUUUUCUCUGGAUUGACUGUGUGGGAUGUACAUACAAACGGAAACGUUUUCCCUGGAUUGACAGUGUGGGAAGUACAUACGAACGGAAAUAUUUUCCCUGGAUUCACUGUGUGGGAUGUACAUGAGAACGGAAAUGUUCUCCUUGGAUUGACUGUGUGUGAUAUACAUAUGAACGGAAAUGUUUUUCUGGGAUUCAUCGUGUGGGAUGUACAUACAAACGGAAACAAUUGGGUUUCGAUGCCACGCCCGAUCACACACGAGCGAGCUUGUGUGCCAGGAGGCCCUAUCCCCAACGGUUUCUGGGUCAUGUGGGAAGGACCUCCCUAUCACCGUCACUCACUUGGCGACGGUUCCAAAUGUCAUCACGGAAAGGGGUUAAAAACCGUUUGUAUAGCACCAACGCGUACUAGUGCGUAUUGAAUGUGGGAGCAAUUAGCUAGAGUAGCUCCAUGCAGAGCAUUUUAGACAUAGAAAUUUGCAAAAUACAUACGGAUCUGAAUGUGGUGGACCCGUUGACUAAACUUCUCUCACAAGCAAAACAUGAUCACACCUUAAUAUUCUUUGGGUGUUAAUCACAUAGCGAUGUGAACUAGAUUAUUGACUCUAGUAAACCCUUUGGGUGUUGGUCACAUGGAGAUGUGAACUAUGGGUGUUAAUCACAUAAAGAUGUGAUCUAUUGGUGUUAAAUCACAUGCCGAUGUGAACUAGAUUAUUGACUCUAAUGCAAGUGGGAGACUGGAGGAAAUAUUCCCUAGAGGCAAUAAUAAAGUUUUUUAUUUUAUAUUUCCUUAUUUCAUGAUAAAUGUUUAUUAUUCGUGCUAGAAUUGUAUUAACCGGAAACUUGAUACGUGUGUGGAUACAUAGACUAAAUACCGUGUCCCUAGUAAGCCUCUACUAGACUAUCUCGUUGAUCAAAGAUGGUUAAGUUUCCUAACCAUAGGCAUGUGUUGUCAUUUAAUAAACGGAUCACAUCAUUAGGAGAAUUAUGUGAUGGACAAGACCCAUUCGUUAGCUUAGCAUUAUGAUCGUUCAAUUUUAUUGCUAUUGCUUUCUUCAUGUCAGUACAUAUUCCUCCGACUAUGAGAUUAUGCAACUCCCGGAUACCGGAGGAAUGCCUUGUGUGCUAUCAAACGUCACAACGUACCUAGGUGAUUAUAAAUAUGCUCUACAGGUAUCUCCAAAGGUGUUUGUUGGGUUGGCAUAGAUCAAGAUUAGGAUUUGUCACUCCAAGUAUCGGAGAGGUAUCUCUAGACCCUCUCAGUAAUACACAUCAUAAGAAACCUUGAAAGCAAAGUGACUAAUGAGUUAGUUGUAGGAUGAUGUAUUAUAGAACGAUUAAAGAGACUUGCUAGUAACGAGAUUGAACUAGGUAUGAAGAUACCGACGAUCGAAUCUCGGGCAAGUAACAUACCGAUUACAGAAGGAAUAACGUAUGUUGUCAUAAUGGUUUGACCGAUAAAGAUCUUCGUAGAAUAUGUGGGAGCCAAUAUGAGCAUCCAGGUUCUGCUAUUGGUUAUUGACCGGAGAGGUGUAUCGGUCAUGUCUACAUAGCUCUCGAACCCGUAGGGUCCGCACACUUAACGUUUGAUGAUGAUAUUGUAUUAUAUGAGUUAUGUGAUUUGGUGACUGAAUGUUGUUCGGAGUCUCGGAUGAGAUCACGGACAUGACGAGGAGUCGCGAAAUGGUCGAGAGGUAAAGAUUAAUAUAUAGGACGAUGGUAUUCGGACACCGGAAGUGUUUCGGGAAACGUCGGGUACUUAUCGGGUCACCGGAUGGGGUACCGGGCACCCCCGGCAAAAGAUAUGGGCCUUAUGGGCCAAGAGGGGAACACGCCAGCCACAAAUGGGCUGNNNNNNNNNNNNNNNNNNNNNNNNNNNNNNNNNNNNNNNNNNNNNNNNNNNNNNNNNNNNNNNNNNNNNNNNNNNNNNNNNNNNNNNNNNNNNNNNNNNNNNNNNNNNNNNNNNNNNNNNNNNNNNNNNNNNNNNNNNNNNNNNNNNNNNNNNNNNNNNNNNNNNNNNNNNNNNNNNNNNNNNNNNNNNNNNNNNNNNNNNNNNNNNNNNNNNNNNNNNNNNNNNNNNNNNNNNNNNNNNNNNNNNNNNNNNNNNNNNNNNNNNNNNNNNNNNNNNNNNNNNNNNNNNNNNNNNNNNNNNNNNNNNNNNNNNNNNNNNUCAAAAUUGGAUAAGGAAAGGGGAAGGAGGAAAGGAAAAGGGGAAUAGGAUCCCCCCUUCCCCCUCUUCCCUUCCUACUCCGAAUAGGAAUAGGAGAGGGGGUUGGCCGAAUUGGGAGAAGACCCCAAGUAGGAUUCCUCCUACUUGGUGCGCCCGCUUGGCUGCCUCUCCUCCCCUCCAAUCUAUAUAUAUGUGGGGAAGGGGGUGCCUACAAUAUAGAACGACAACUGUUAGCCGUGUGCGGCGCCCCCCCUCCACAGUUUACACCCCCGGUCAUAUUGUCACAGUGCUUAGGUGAAGCCCUGUGCGAAUCACUUCACCAUCAUCGUCACCACGCCGUCGUGCUGACAGAACUGAUCUACUUCCUCGACACAUUGCUGGAUCAAGAGGGCGAGGAACGUCAUCGAGUUGAAUGUGUGCAGAACUCAGAGGUGACGUACGUUCGGUACUUGAUCAGUCAGAGCUAGAAGAAGUUCGACUACAUCAACCGCGUUUUCUAAUGCUUUCGCUUUUGGUCUACAAGGGUAUGUAGACACACUCUCCCCCUCUCAUUGCUAUGCAUCUCCUAGAUAGAUCUUGCAUGAGCAUAGGAAUUUAUUUUGAAAUUGCAUGCUAUGUUCCCCAACAUGAUCACCACCCAUUAUGCAUCUUCAUAUUGUUCCUGGGUGAUCGUAGGGCAACUUUUUUUGUUUUCUACUAUGUUUUCCAACAUCUAUGUGCCUGCAAUGACCUCCCAUAGGUCAUGGCCUUGCACGUAUGACUCGAUGUUGGUCUACCAAUAGCCAUAGUUGUGGCUAUUGACUCUUCAAGCCACUUCCCAUGCUCCAUGUUGGAGCAUGAUUUAUUUUUUGAUUGUAUUCCUUUGUGUGGAGGUCGGGAUCGCGCGAUGGUUAACUCCUACCAACCCUUCCCCUAGGAGCAUGCGUGUAGUACUUUGUUUCAAUAACUAAUAUACUUUUGCAAUAAGUAUGUGAGUUCUUUAUGACUAAUGUUGAGUCCAUGGAUUAUACGCACUCUCACCCUUCCACUAUUGCUAGCCUCCCUAGUACCGGGAAACUUUUGCCGAUGCAUUAAACCCACCAUAAAUCCUUCCUCAAAACAGCCAUCAUACCUACCUAUUAUGGCAUUUCCAUAGCCAUUCCGAGGUAUAUUGCCAUGCAACUUCCACCGUUCCGUUUAUUAUGACACACACCAUCAUUGUCAUAUUGUUCUCAUAUGCAUGAGGCAUUCAUAGAGUCAUAUUUUGUUCUAGCAUUGAGUUGUAAUUCUUGAGUUGUAAGUAAAUAAAAGUGUGAUGAUCAUCAUUAUUAGAGCAUCGUCCCAUGUGAGAAAAGGAUGAUGGAAGCUAUGAUUCCCUCACAAAUUGUGAUGACUCUCCGGACUUUAAAGAAAAUAAAACAGGCCAAAGAAGCCCAAAAAAAGAGGCCAAAGAAACCCAAACAAAAAAAGAAAAAAAGAGAGAAAAGAGAGAAGGGACAAUGUUACUAUCUUUUUCCACACUUGUGCUUCAAAGUAGCACCAUGAUCUUCAUGAUAGAGAGUCUCCUAUUUUGUCACUUUAAUAUACUAGUGGGAUUUUUUUAAUUAUAGAACUUGGCUUGUAUAUUCCAACAAUGGGCUUCCUCAAAUUGCCCUAGGUCUUCGUGAGCAAGCAAGUUGGAUGCACACCCACUUAGUUUCUUUUUGAGCUUUCAUACACUUAUAGCUCUAGUGCAUCUGUUGCAUGGAAAUCCCUACUCACUCACAUUGAUAUCUAUUGAUGGGCCAUAGACCAUUAAUACGCCUAGUUGAUGUGAGACUUUCUCCUUUUUUGUCUUCUCCACAACCACCAUAUUCUAUUCCACCUAUAGUUCUAUAUCCAUGGCUCAUGCUCAUGUAUUGCGUGAAAGUUGAAAAGGUUUGAGAACACAAAAGUAUGAAACAAUUGCUUGGCUAAUACCGGAGUUGUGCAUGAUGAAAUACUUUGUGUGAUGAACAGGGCCGGUCCUGAGAUUUUAGGGGUCCGCGGCGAACCUAAACCUCGGGGCCCUAUCAUAUAAAUAACAUAGUAUUAAUGAUUGAUAUACGUAUGAAAUGUUGCCAAUAAGCACCUAAUAAUUAUUUUCAUAUCAAAUAUUACUUUUUUUCUGCCAAACACAUACUAUGCUUUUAAAAUGUCACGAUAACACAAAGUGCUAAAAUUUUGCAUCAAAGCUUGAAAAGUGCAAGCUACAUAUGCAUGAUGCAUAUACGAAGAUAAAGUACAUAACUAGCAUAGAUCCAGGUUCCAAUAAUCCACAACAUACCCAUUGAACACCUAUAGCAUGACAAACAUCGCUACAUGCUGCGUGCGUGAUAGGGAAAACAUUAGUGUAGAAAUUAUGGGGCUCUUCUAGACCUAUGUUUGUGAAUCUUCCUAGAUGAAUUACGAUCAGUGACGGAGAAAAUCACGUCACAAAACACAACCGACCAGCGAACGUAAACCCAUUAUAUAGAUAUAUGCCCAUAGUACAUGGGGACUGAUAAGUUGAAGAUAUGAUACCUUGGAUCGGUCAGAACUCGAUAGGACAUGGGGGCGCUCGGCGUCGCGCAUGCGCGUCCAGCACCAGCGCCAGUGCCUGUAGGUAGAGAGUGUAGCCUAGUUUGUCGGCGUGUUGCACCCUGUCGGCGGUUCAUCUAGCAACAACAACUCUCGUCGCGGCCAGGGGCCAGGGAUAGGGAUCUUCACGACUCGUUCUCAUAAGGAAACUGACAAUUGUAGUGUGGACUGUUGCUUGGCUGGUAGGCCUUGCAGCCGCGUCAAUACUGAUUUGCAUGCAUCCUAAUCAAUCAGACCUAAUAAUACUAGAGCGUGAUUAGCGUCCAUGCUUACCAGGACCAUAGGUUUGACCUGGCGGGGCCCCUUGGACCAUGGGGGCCCGGGGCGGCCGCCCCCUGCCCCCCUCAGGGCCGGCCCUGGUGAUGAAGAUGGAGCAUAGCCAGACUAUAUGAUUUUGGAGGGAUAACUUUCUUUUGCCAUGUUAUUUUGAAAAGACACGAUUGCUUUAUUAGUAUGCUUGAAGUAUUAUUGUUUUAUGUCAAUAUUAAACUUUUGUUUUGAAUCUUAUGGAUCUGAAUAUUCAAGCCACAAUAAAGAAGAUUACAUGGAUAAAUAUGUUAGCUAGCAUUCCACAUCAAAAAUUCUGUUUUUAUCAUUUACCUACUCGAGGAUGAGUAGGAAUUAAGCUUGAGGAUGCUUGAUACGUAUCCAAUGUAUCUAUAAUUUUUUAUUGUUCCAUGCUAUUAUAUUAUCUGUUUUGGAUGUUUCAUAUGCAUUAAUAUGCUAUUUUAUAUUAUUUCUGGGACUAACCUAUUAGCCUAAUGCCCAGUGCCAGUUGUUGUUUUUUCCUUGUUUUUGGCUUUUUCGGAAAGGAAUAUCAAACGGAAUCCAAAAAGAAUAAAACUUUCGCGAUGAUUUUUCUUGGAACAUAAGACAUCCACGGAGCUAGGAGAGCGGUCCAGAAGAGUCCCGAGGGCUCCCCAAGUCCUCAGGGCGCGCCCCUGGCUUGUGGGCCCCACAAGAGUCCUCUAACCCUAAUCUUUGGCCUAUAAAUUCAGAAAUAUUCCCAAACCACUAGAAGCGUCCACCAAGAUAUUUUUCUGCCGCCGCAAGCCUCUGACCUCGUGAGAUCCCAUCUUGGGGCCUUUUCAGCACCCUUCCGGAGGGGGAUUCGAUCACGGGGGGCUUCUACAUCAACCCUAUUAUCCUUCCGAUGAAGCGUGAGUAGUUUACCACUGACCUACGGGUCCAUAGCUAGUAGCUAUAUGGCUUCUUCUCUCUCUUUGAUCUUCAAUACAGUGUUCUCCUCGAUGUUCUUGGAGAUCUAUCCGAUGUAAUAUUCUUUUGCGAUGUGUUUGUCGAGAUCCAAUGAAUUGUGGAUUUAUGAUCAGAUUAUCUAUGAAUAUUAUUUGAGUCUUUUCUGAACUCUUUUAUGCAUGAUUAAAUAUCUUCGUAUUCUCUUUGAAUUAUCAGUUUGGUUUGGCCAACUAGAUUGGUUUUGCUUGCAAUGGGAGAAGUCCUUAGUUUUGGGUUCAAUCUUGUGGUGUCCUCACCCAGUGACAAAAGGGGUAGCGAGGCACGUAUUGUAUUGUUGCCAUCAAGGAUAAAAAGAUGGGGUUUAUAUCAUAUUGCUUGAGUUUAUCCCUCUACAUCAUGUCAUCUUAUUUAAAGCGUUGCUCUGUUCUUAUGAACUUAAUACUCUAGAAGCAGGAAGGAGUCGGUCAAUGUGUGGAGUAAUAGUAGUAGAUGCAGAAUCAUUCGGUCUACUUGACACGGACGUGAUGGCUAUAUUCAUAAUCAUUGCCUUGGAUAUCGUCAUAACUUUGCGCUUUUCUCUCAAUUGCUCGACAGUAAUUUGUUCACCCACCAUAUGUUUUCUUUCAAGAGAGAAUCCUCUAGUGAAAUCUAUGGCCCCGGGAUCUAUUUUCCAUCAUAUAUUUUUAGAUCUAUAAACCAAAAAUCCAAAAAUACCUCGCUGAGUUUUAUUUACUUUUAUUUUGUUUUAUGUUUUAGUAAUCUUUUAUAUCUUUCUCUAUCAGAUCUCAUCCUUGCAAGUGACCGUAAAGGGAUUGACAACCCCUUUAUCGUGUUGGGUGCAAGUGUUUGAUUGUUUAUGCAGGUGCAUAGAUUGGAGACUUGCUUGUACCUCCUACUGGAUUGAUACCUUGGUUCUCAAACUCAGAGAGAUACUUAUCUCUACUUUGUUGCAUCACCCUUUUCUCUUCAAGGGAAAACCAACGUAAGCUCAAGAAGUAGCAGCAACUCAAGAAUGAUCUAGAGCAUUUACAGGCCCUUAGGGAAGAACUAAAAAAUAUUUCCGAAUAAGUUGAAUUCAAAUUUGAAUUGUUUUAUUAAAAUAAUCAUGUUUGAAUUGUAAUAUUUAUUUGAUUUAUUGUUGUUUGUAGAACAUGAUUAUGGACGAAGGUGCCAGUUAUAUUUAAUUAUUUUGAGUGCUUCGGAUUUAAGAAACUAAAUAGUGAUGUAUAUUUGAUGCAUCUGGUUGGAUUGCCGCCCCUUUUCCAUUGUCGUUUGAUGCUCUAUUUGAAUGCAUGAUGGUUGGAGUUUCCAUUAGUUUUUUGUCCUAAAUAAGACGACUAUGGAUUUAUUUUGCUGGCAUUAUUUUGUUCAUUUUAACCAUGAAGAGCAUAUACACCGGAAUACACCAAAUUCGACCCAUCAAACGCCCGCGGACGCGUCCGGCGCGUCCUCGGAUAGUGACUGGGCAGCCCAUAAAUUUCGGUCUCUGCAUUCGAGUACCUCAUACUUCAAUCCUUAAAACCAUGCAAGUAAACAUCUACUCCUACGUAGAUUAACUAAACCUACACUACACUGGUCAUUGUUGUCGGAGAUGUCCACUCUAUCCAUUUCGAGCUCCGAGUACAUGGGCGACAGACACAACUCCGGCUUCGAGGCGGCCUCCGCCUGACCACCUCCAUCUCCGCUUCCACCUCUUCAAAAAGUGUGUCGGCCACCGCCUGUUUUUGCCACAUGAAGUGCUGGUUGGAGUCCACAUACGCCUCAUCUUGGAUGGGCCCCGGGAUGGCGGCCUGCUCCGCCAUCUUUGCCGCUUGGGUGACCUCAUACUCGGCCAUGGCAUUCUACAUGGCAAAGCGCACAACCGGCGUCGGCUCUUCCUCUUCCUCCUCUGGAUCCACCCCCUUCAUGGGCUCCAGCUAUUGCUCCCCUCCUCUUCCUCCUCCUCCUCCUCCGGCUCCGGGGGCAGGCCAGAUGCGAUCCAGACGGCUCGCCUUGCUCAUAUGUCGGAUCUCCUCUGAAUUUGAAACCGGCGCUCUGGCGCUAGCAUAAUGUAUGUGGUCUUCUUUUUUCAAGCCAUGGCAGAGGCAGAUGGCGAGGGAAGAGGGAGACGGAGAGAUAUGGAUGGGCCCGGGCUUGCGGAGCAAAAAAGGAGGAAGAGGAUGUGGCUAGGGCUGGGGGACAUCGUCCGGCUCAAAUAACCGGACUUUGGUCUCGGACGGCGAGCCGGAACAGCGGCACGCGGCGUUCACACCCCCACCGGAGGAGAUGCCUGUCGGACUGUUUGGCUUUCGGACGAUAUCGUGUGGGUGGGUCGCUCACAACCCCACUGGAGGAGAUGCCUGUCGGACCGUUGGUCUACCGGACGAUUUCGUGUGGGAACCGACCAUCAGUCUGACCCGUCGGACGGGUGGGUUUCCGGGUGAUUUCGUGUGAGAACCGGCCGUCAGCCUGACAUGGCGGACCCGCGGCCGAAUAUGAGGGUGCCUCACCAUUUCGUGUGUCACCCUGGACAUUUGAAACUUGAAGCGUCCGGAUGGGUUGAGUUUUUUUUUGACCGAUCAGUGACCGGGCAUCUUUAAGACGGUUGUAGAUGCUCUAAGGUCCGUGUUUCUCUUCCAAAGUGAUCUUCAUUUUAGAAGGAACGUCCUCACUAAAGAUUAAAAUGGCCACUUAUGCUUCGAUACACCCUCAUAAACACAUUGACGACUAAGAUUACCCCAUAUUUCAUCAUAAUAAAAGGCAUAAUGGUAUUUUCUAAAAAUACAUCGCCGGCGCUAAGUGCGAUACGUGGCCUGUGUACGUACAGUCUGGUCGACAAGAAUUGAACACAGCACAACCAUGAUAACCAACUGGACUACUUUAUUAGUGAUUGUAAUUUUUUGUUGAUAGCUUACCAAGCUGACCACUUAGUAACUGGACUAUUUUAUGGUUGUGUCUAGUUACCUUUUUUUCUUCUUCUUCAAAUAUAACAUUAAACAACGUGAGUUUUUUUAGUUUCACAUUAAUUGUGUGGCACGUCACGCAUGAUCUUAGUGGCCAGCGAUUUCUUUUGUUCUCUGCGCACGACCGAGGGGUCUGUUGAUUAUCUCCCCUGCAUGGAUGGGAUUCAUAUUCAUCUCAAGCUAGCACUUUUUUGGGUGCAACUCCCUAAUAGUUCUCCGAAAACCUAGGAGUCUCCUGACAUGCGACUAGGGUUUCGAGGGGAAACGGCGGCGCGCGCCUGAUCUUGAUCGGCGAGGCGCACUCGGGCCGGCGUCGAGAUGAGUUCGUCUGGCGCAGGCAAGGGAAAGGACGGACCGCUCUCGCCAUGCUAGCAAGGGCAAGGUUGGAGGAGGCGAUGGGCAAGCUAGAUCUGACUGAGGAAGAAGCCACGCCAUUAGUGAUCAACGACGUCGUGGAGGGGGAACCGACGAAGUGGUCGCUGGCGGGCAAGGUACUGCACCGGCACACACUCCAUAUCCAGACGAUCUCUAAUGCCCUUCGACAUGCCUGGGGAAACCCUAAGGGCUUGAGUUUCAAUUCAGUUGGAGAAAACACGUUUGUGGUGGAUUUCUCGAACAAGCGCGAUCUUGAUUGCGUUUGGGAUGGCAGCCCGUGGCACAUCAGUAAACAUGCAGUCAUCCUCUCGGAAUUCUCCGAGUGUAUGCAACCUUCUAAGCUUCAGUUUAACAAUUUGCAGUUGUGGGCACGGGUUCUCAACCUGCCUUUCAAUCUGCGCAAUGAAAAACGGGGUCAGGCAGUGGCGAGGCAGAUACAUCCGAAUGCAUAACAUGUACAGUUUGAUCCUGUGGGGGUUUUUUUUAGAGCAAGAGUCACCAUUGAUGUCAGGAAGCCUCUACGGAGGUGGAUCCUCAUAGAUUCAGCGGCUCGCGGCAGUCGUGACUGGUAUGACAUUCAAUACAAACACGUUCCAAUUUUCUGUUUUUCGUGUGGCCGGUUGGGCGACUCGGAUCUGGUAUGCCCGACGCCGGGGGCGAGGGAUGAACACGGCGAUCUGCCUUUUUCAACCAGUCUCCGGGCAUCAGAGGAAAAGAAGAAGGCCUCGUCAAGUGAGAACUCCGGAUCGAAUCAGAACAAUGCUAAGUCAGGAAGGAAGGAAAAUCCAGAGUCUAGCUCGACUAAAGAUGCCACUCCGGAGGUCACCUCUCCAAUGAAAAAGAACUCUACUGGGAGGAACAAGAGGAAAGUUGGGUCUCCAAAGAAGGUUUAUAGACCUCUGGCAUUACCUGCGUUAACUGCACCAGAACACGCGGCUACUAACAACACUGCCAUCAUACCGGUCGGUUCAGUACAGCCAAACGGGGAUGAUGCCUCGGUCAAUGCGGUGGAGGAACGUGCACCGAAGAAGAAAAGAGAUACACCUACUACUUUAGAGAAUUCGGCAGGAGCUGCUAGCCAGCCCUGCCUGGAAUAAUGAGUUGCAUAAGUUGGAACUGUCGGGGGCUUGGGAACCCCGAGGCAGUUCCAGAGCUUCGCAAUGUGGGGAAGCAAGAAGGGCCCGUGCUGGUUUUUGUCAUGGAGACGAAGAUCAGAGCAAAGAAAGUGGAGGAUCUGCGGCACACAUUAGGGUUUGCCGGCAGUUUUGCAGUUGAUAGCGAUGGCCUCAGUGGAGGCAUCGGUCUACUCUGGUCCAAUGAUGUGCAUGUAGAGCUCAAAAACUAUAGCGCUAGUCAUAUUGAUGUGAUAGUGCGGGAAACAUCAGCGGACUCAGCAGGUUGGCGAUUCACAGGGUUCUACGGAGCACCAAGAGCAACAGAUCGUCACCAUAGUUGGAGAUUCCUUCGAGCCCUACAUGGCAUUCCUCAUGAUUUAUGGCUUUGUGUCGGGGACUUCAAUGAAACCCUAUAUCCCCAAGAACACUUUAGUCGCUCCCCUCGGGCCGAGUGGAAGAUGAGGGCGUUUCGUGAAGUUGCAGAUGACUGUGAGUUCCAAGACCUAGGUUGGUCCAGAGUUGCAUACACAUGGGACAACCAUCAGGCGGGGGACGCAAAUGUCAAAGCCAGGGUUGACAAAGCUUUUGCAAACGAGCAAUUCAGGCAAAGGUUCGAACACACACGAGUUCGACAUGUGUGUGUGGUGGAGUCGGAUCACUGCUUUGUUAUCACAGAGUUUAGGCAUCACGCGCAUACGCAUCGUUCGCCGGGAGCCAGACAAUUUCGUUAUGAAAACGUUUGGUAGUCUCAUCAAGAUUAUGAUCAGCUCAUCGCGGGCACGUGGAAGAAACAAGCAAGAGUUCCAGGUUUGCAAGGCAUUGCUGAUUCUCUGGUUGCCCUCCAGCGGCAACUAGAGCCAUGGGGAGCGCGCGAGUUCGGCAGCUUGUUGAGGUCUGUGCGCAAACUACAGUCACGCCUAGACAGAUUGCGGUAGCGUUCUGUUGGUCGAGGGCCUUCAGACGAAGAAAAGAGCAUCAUGAAACAACUCCGAGAAGCUCUUCGGUUGGAGGAGAUUUGGUUGCGGCAACGAUCUCGAGUGCCGUGGCUACGAGAAGGUGACCGCAACUCGGCUUACUUCCAAGCACAAGCUAGACAAAGAAAACGAAUAAACAGAAUUGCAAAUCUUGUAAGGACUAAUGGCUCGGUUUGUGCGAGUGAAGAGGAGGAUAAAGAAGAAAUUAAUGCAUUAUAUCAAGCUUUGUAUAUGGCACAGGGUGCCAAUAACAUGGAUGUGUUAUUAUCGCAUGUAUCUCCCCGGGUCACACCGGAGAUGAAUGAACUCCUGGGUAAACCGUUCGAACCAUCUGAGGUCCAGCAUGCUCUAUUCCAAAUGGCACCUUCCAAGGCGCCAGGGGUGGAUGGGUUUACGGCGGGCUUUUUCCAGCGCCACUAGAAGUUACUGCAACACGAAGUCACGGCGGCGGUGCUGGCUUUUCUCAAUGGAGGUGAAUUACCAGUGGGGUUCAACGAUACUUCCAUCACCUUGAUCCUUAAGGUACGUCAUCCCCGAAGCAUUUCACAAUAUCGUCUAAUUGUGCUCUGUCCAAUACUUUAUAAAGUGGCAGUCAAAGUGAUAGCCAACAGGUUGAGGGGCUGCAUGGAUGACAUUGUCAGUGAGGAACAAAGUGCUUUCAUUCCCGGGCGCUUGAUCACAGAUAACGUGUUGGUCGCAUUUGAAAGUGUCCACACCAUGAGGAGGCGAAAGAAAGGAAAGAACUACACCUGCGUCGUCAAGUUGGACAUGAUGAAAGCUUACAACAGGGUAGAGUGGCAUUUUCUGGAGGCUAUGCUACUGAAGUUGGGUUUCCAUGCAAAUCUGGUGAGGCUAAUUAUGAAGUGUGUAACUUCUGUUCGGUUCUCUGAGCGUGUGAAUGGGGAGCAACAACCAUACUUCAGCCCGUCCAGAGGGUUGCGGCAGGGGUGUCCAGCCUCACCUUAUUUAUUUCUCCUAUGCACGGAAGGGUUUUCAUCCUUACUGAAGAACUAUGGUCAGUACAUUGGUCGAGGAAUAAGAGUAAACUUCAGGGCGCCUUGGGUGAAUCAUCUAUUGUUUGCUGAUGACUGCCUCAUCUUCAUCAAGGCGAGUGCAGAAAGUGCAGCAAGACUGAACGAAAUUCUUGAGAUCUAUGGUGAGGCUUCUGGACAGUGUGUAAAUAGAAGCAAGAGCGCAAUCUACUUCAGUCCAAACACCCCAGCAAAUCUCAGGCAAAACUUGAAACAACUCCUUCGAGUAGAAGUUGAGGCGUUUUCUGAAAGGUAUCUUGGUCUACCCACGGCCGUAGGCAAGAUCACCAGCGGCACUUUUGAGCAUCUGGGCGACCGGGCACGAGGCAAGAUGAAUGGUUGGUCAGAGAGGCUGUUUGCUUGUGCCGGAAGGGAGACACUCCUUAAAUCUAUUGUGCAAGCGAUUCCGACUUUCGGCAUGAGCUGUUUUCUCUUGACCAAAAAAGUGUGCAAAAGCUUGACGUCGAGCAUGGCGAAGUACUGGUGGGGGAGUUCACUGGACCGCCGAUCUUUGCAUUGGAUUGCUUGGGACAAGCUGGCUACGCCCAAAACUAAUGGGGGAAUGGGCUUUAGUGACAUGCGGAUAUUUAACUUGGCUCUGUUGGGGAAACACGAAUGGAGAUUCAUGACUAAUCCUACUUCCCUUGCCACCAAGGUUAUGAAAGGUAGAUACUUCCCGACCUCUGAUUUCAUGCAAGCAACUGUUCCGAAAUCUUCUUCAGCUAUCUGGAGAGCGAUAGUGGCAGGAUGGAAAGCACUAAGCGCAGGGCUUGUGAAGCGAGUGGGCGAUGGUACAUCUAUUUGGGUGUGGGAGGACAAGUGGAUAUCUUCCACCAACACCAUGUCCCCCUUACUAUGGCCAGACAACACAACAUUUCACACUGUUACUGACUUGAUUGAUACUUCAAAUUGGUCAUGGCGUAGGGAUCUGGUUCGGGAAACCUUCAUUGCUCCUGAUGCCGAGGCUAUACUGAACAUACCCUUGCGGCGAGGUGGCGGCAAUGAUUUCCUAGCAUGGGCACAUGAGAAGUCAGGCAUCUACUCUGUUAAAUCGGCGUAUCGAGCUCUGGUGAAUCAGAAAGAGAGACUAGAUCUAGAAGAGGGGCAGAUAACCGGCACUUCAGUGAACCAACAACAGAUGUGGAAAGAUGUUUGGAAGCUCAAUGUAGUCCCAAAAGUUCGAGUUUUCUGGUGGCGCGUUUUGAGGGGGAUUUUGCCAGAUGAAAGCACCCUGAAGCAUCGCCACAUCUGGGAGAUCAGCACCUGCAAGGUAUGCCUUGCCAUGGAGGAAGACCUGGAGCAUGCACUCUUGCUAUGCUCCCACGCACGCCGCUUCUAGGAGGAAGCCCACCUGCUUUUUGACAUAAACGUUCCACGGCUGCACCCCCACACAUGGGCCAGGGACAUUUUAUGCGACCAAGGAUUCUCCAAGAAAGAGCGGGAGAUCAUUAUUACCAUAAUGUGGGCCAUCUGGACGUCUCAGAAUCGCCUGACACACGACAAAGAGGGGGCUGAUCUAGCUAGCUCCAUUCGGAAGAUCAGAGAAGACCUUGACAUUCUCGAUCUCCCGCGACAGCAAAAACCGGUGCUACCUGGUUAUGGCUGGCAACCACCAGAGAAUGACACCAUCAAGAUCAACACUGACGCAGCAACACACCUUGAUGAUGGUCACGCGGGAGCUGGUGGAGUUGCUCGAUCUUUAUCGGCUCUUAAAGGUGCAUGGUGCAAGCCAAUUCCCAGUGUUACGGAUCCUCUCAUCGCGGAGGCCAUAGCUCUCAAGGAAGGAGUGUUAUUUGCUACUUUACGCGGCUACAUGCAUGUCAUUAUGGAGACCGACUGUCUAGAGGUGGUUAACCUCUGGAACUUGCGUUUCACCGACCGGUCGGUGAUUGCACCUAUCCUAGCAGAAGUUGAAGAGCUAGCUCUUAGUUUUAAUUCUUUUACCAUUCAACAUGUAAUGAGAUCAGCAAACGGUCAUGCACAUCUUUGUGCUAAGCGCGGUUGUUCGCUUAAUGUGACUGAAAGCUGGUUGGACUCCACCCCUAGCUUCCUGAUCAGCAGCCUGCUGGCUGACUGCUCGGCGAAUGCGUUUGUUGAAUAAAGCUCUCAAAUUCCCUCGCAAAAAAACUCCCUAAUACAUACGAUCAUUUAUUUCCGGAUAUGCUGGCACGGUGAUUGCAUGCACGAAGAUUAGGGCCCUGUUUGGUUCAUAAGUUUUAGGACUUUUUCUAGUCCCAACUAAAAAGUCCCUAGUCCCUAAAAAGUCCCUACCUGUUUGUUUCCAGUGACUAAAAAGUCUCUAGUCCCUCCCUAGAGGUUAUUAAAUAACCAUAUUACCCCUAGUAUACAGAAAAAUAACAACCAAACAACACCAUGGGCCGGCGGGGCAAUGGAUGCAGGGAGGAGCAUUGUUGGAAAACUCUCAGAAAGUCCCGAAAAAGACUCUCCUUAAGAGUCUUCUUCAUUUAGUCCCAAAAAACAACUUUUAGUCCCUAAUAGUCCCUCAUGUUUGGUUAAAAAGUCUCUAAGAGAGACUUUUUCUAGUCCCUACAUCAAAAAGUCCCUGGAAACAAACACCCCUAGGAAGGAAAGAAAAUCAUCAAGGAGAUCGCUCCAUCUCUGGGGCCUUCUUUUAUCGUAGACUUCAAGAGGAAACAACGCACUAACAAAUUAGGCACACAAAGAGCUACUACCUCGAUUCCUAAAUAUUUGUCGUUUUAGAUAUUUCAAAUGGAUGACCACAUACAGAUGUAUAUAGACAUAUUUUAAAGUGUACAUUCACUCAUUUUGCUUCGUAUGUAGUCUCUAAAAAAUAUAUUUAGGAACGGAGGGAGGAUAAGCCAAAUACACUUCUAUUAUACCCUACAAAAAUAAUGUGCAGCCUUAAGUACUCCAGCGCGAUGUUAUUCACUCGAUUGGUUGCUUAGGAGCGCAUGCAAGCCCGAAUCAUAGAGUGAUAUCAUCUUAGAUGACACGCAAAUCGAUACUCGGUCGUAAGGAAAAAUCUUUUUUGUUUCGCGCCGGGGCCCCAAAUUCUUGAAGACGGCCAUGGAACACAAAGAAAGAAGAUAAUGUAGUGACCAGACCAGGUACUGCAGCAGGCCGGACUAGAUAUCAUAGCGAACCAGAAUGAUUAUUGUAUUAUUUUUCUAAAUUUUAAAUACAUUUUUCAAAUGCAAACAUUUUUAGAAAAGCAAGAACAAAUUUGAAAAACAAUUUUAUUUUGAUUUCUGGAACAUUUUUUAAAAAUGCGAACAAGUCUUGAAAAAUCUAACUUUUCUUGGAACAUGAACAAAAUUUGGAAAAUCAACACGAAUUUUUUUUCAAUUUGCAAAACAUAAUUUAGAAAUGCAAAUAUUUUCUGAAACUCCAGUAUUUUGUCAAUUUGUGAACAUUUUUUGUCGAGAAAAGAACAAUUUAAAAAAUCCCAUUUUCAAACUUUUUGUUCACAAAUUUAAGAAAUGUUUGUGUUUUCACAAAAGUUGAUUUUUAAAAAAAUACAUGGUUCGCUAGUUUGGUUCAACAUAAGUUGUUGGGAAUUUGUUAACAAUUUGAGAAAAAAUGUUCCAGUUUAGAAAAUUUUCAUACAUAAUUCAAAAUUUUAAAAUUGCUGAAAAUUUUCAAGAAACUAUUAUGAUAUAAGAAAAUGUUCAUGUUGAUUGAUAAUGACAUAUGCAUUCGCCUGGCCUAGUCUAUCACACUUCUCAACUCGUAGUUUUUUUGGAUCACUGGUAAAUGACCCCAACUUCUUGCAGCAGCCUGACACAGACAUAUGAGAUAUCCAUGCCAUGUUUGAACGACUUCCGAGUUUGCAUGUUGCGACACGUCUGGACAUCUAUCGGCCUUUUUCAUGAGAAAACUCCGAAAAUACAAAACUUGUCAAAAAUUAAAACAACUUCCAAUAAUGCCUUGCAUUGGUCAUAGAAACUGGUGAAAAAAAUGGGGUCAUUUGACAGAUGUUGCGAAACAACGUGUUUUUAAUCGGACCCUUCUGAUCUACCAAACACCCUCUGUUGAACUUGAUCUAGUUUUGGAAAUUCUUAAAAUGAUUCCAACUUUUGCAAGUAGGUGGGCAUGCCCACGAUAAACAUUUUCUGACACUGUAUGUAACUUGCGACACGUCCGACCAUUUAUCAAGUUUUUUUAUCAAGAGAACUCCAGAAAAAUACAAAAAUUGUCAAAAACAAAAAAUAGCUGGCGUGGUGUCUUAAAUUGCUCAUACAAUGCCAUGAUAGUUUCAAGGAUAUCGAGAAACAACAUGCUCCGUUGAAUAUGGUCUACUUUUGGGCAUCCUUCAAAUGACUCUAGCUUCUGUAGGCAGGUGUGCAAGCCCAUGUUAGGCAUCCAUCCCAGGUUUGAACGAUUUUCGACACCGUAUGCAAAUUGCGACAGGAAAAAGUCCAAAAUAAACCUUGAAGUUGUAGACGAAAGCUAAAUCAAACUCUGAACUUUGAAUCUCGGAAAUUGACAGUCUAAACUUGUAAUCCUGGUCUAUUUUGGACCCUAUACCUGUUUGGCACACUGGGAAUACUACAAUCCCGGCCGGGAUUACCAGCUACUCUCAUGGACAAGAAUUUGGGCCGGCCCACUAUAACACAACAAGAAUUCGUGAGGUUUAAAAAAUGUCUGCACAUUUCUAAAAUUGUUCAGAAGUUUAAAAUGUUCUUGUUUUCUAUUUUUCGCACAAAUUCAAUUCGUUUUGUGUUUUUUAUACUGUUUGGAAUUUUGAAACUCUAGCAUUUCUAAAAACAGUUCGUGAUUUUCACAUUUGUCAAAAAAUGUUCAGAAUUCCAAGAGUUUUUCACAUGCUUUGAAAAAUGUUUUGUAUUUUCAAAAUUGUGUCACAUUUUUAAAUAUUUUUCUGGAAUUUCGUAAAUUAUUUCAUUAAUAAUUUAUUUAAAAAUGUUUGGGAUUGUUUGCAGUGGACUCGAAUAGGCCAGCCCACCAGACAUGAAGCGAGUUUUUUUCCUUAACAUGCGACACAAAAAUUAUUUAUUUAUUUUUCUUAACGGGCGACGUAAUAAUUCCAGAACAAAAAAAACAUGUCGUGGAGUCGAACUUGGGACUUUGUAGCCACUACAGCAGACGACUAUGACUGACAUAGUCAGAGGCCCGGAAUAUUUAAUCAAAAACAAAAGCAUCGAACUUUGAAAGCAUUUUUUAGGGGCAAAGAAGUAUUGAAAUUUUAUUUAUUUAUGAAAUCUUUGAACAUUUUAUAAACAUUUUUGAAAAUUUAUGAAAUCUUAUAAACAUUUUAUAAAGUGUGAGUACUUUUUGAAAAUUUCGAAUACUUUUAAAAAACCAACAACUUUAGAAAGUGAACACCUUUAUAAAAUUUUUUGCAACCUAAACAAAAAAUUUAAGUGCAAACACUUUUUGAAACAUAAUUUUUUUCUGCAACCUGAACAAAAUUUUAAAGUGCAGACACUUUUUGAUACAUAAACAUUUUCUGAAACAUGAAAAUAUUUUGCGACAUCUAAAAAACAUCACAAGUUUUAUAAAAUGUAUGGGCCAAUCCAAAUGUUUAUACAAUGCAUAAUAAUAUUCCUGUGAUUCAAAAAAUGUUUGUACAUUCAAAAAAAUGUAACAUUUCAAGAAUGUUCACAAGUUUAAAAAAAAUGUGUUUGUGACAUUUUCAAAAAAAGGUGUGUAUAAUGUAAAAAUAUGUUUGCGUGAUGUAAAAAAAUGUGUCAUAAUCUUAACAAAAUAUAUGUGCCAUGUCCUUGAAAAAAGUGUAUGCAAAUUUUAAAAUGUUGAACCAUGUAAAAGAGUGUUCAUGUAGUUUUAUUAAAUGUUUAUUGUCAUUAAGAAAAUGUAAAACAUGUAUUUGGAAAAAUAUUACCAUGUAUUCAAAAAGUUUUGAAAACAUUUAGUUUAAAAAUGUACACAAUGUAUUUGAAAAUAUCAAAAGGUCAUCCAAAAAUAUUUAAUGUGUGUGUUAAAAAUGUACAUUGGGUACUGAGAAAUUUAGACAUGUGUAAAAAUGGAAAAAUAAAAUAAAACAAAAAAGAAAGAAAUUAAGAAAAAACAGAUUAGUGCGCAUGCGCGAGUAACUACGUUACUGGGCCGGGCCAAUUGAGCAAAUCCCGGCUACGUCCUGUUAAGGUUUAAAAUAGACCGGGAUUAAAGAGCUUGGUGUGUUCAUUUCAAGGAUUGAGAGUUCGGGGUUUGAUUUAGGUUUCACUUAUAGAUUGAAGGUUUGUUUUGGACUUUUUCCAAUUGCGACACGUCCAAUCAUUUAUCGACCUUUUUGACGGAGAAAAUGUCAAAAAAUGCAAAAGGAAAAAUCUAAAACUAAAACAACUUGGCAUUGUGUUGGGCCAUUUCAUGUAUGUGGAAACACAACAUGCAUCCUUCUAGCCUAUCCCAACACUCUCUGUUCAACAUGGUGCUUUUUUGGACAUUCGUGAAAUAAACGAGCAGGUGGGCUUGUCCUUGAUAGGCAUUCAUGCCAGGUUUAAAAUAAUAAUAAUUUAAAUAGGUAUUUAGAAGUGUUGUUUUAAAUUCCAUUCCAUUUCCAUGUGUAAUUUAAACAGGUACUUAAAAGCGAUAUUAUAAAUUUAUUUCCAUUUCCACACCUUACAGUGGACUGGCCCAGUCAGGCGGCCUCCUGCAAAAAAGUAUUUAAUUCAUGAUUUUUAAAUCGAUGACCUUUUUUACUUUCUCAAAAAAAAUUAUCAAAUUCAUGAACUAUUUUAAAUUGAUAAAAUUCGUUCAGUUUUGCUAUAUUUUUUUGUCCUCGGAGCUAGGAUGGGCAUAAAAACCAACAAACCUCACCGAAAAGCCAAUUUCUUGUUUGUUUGUUUUUUUGCUUUAGUUUGGAAAAUUUGUGACAGAUGUAGAGACCAGCGCGUCCUGGGACGUCAAUUUUAGGGCCAAGCCGGUUACUUGCAAAAAAAUCACGAAUUUGAAAAAACUAAAAAAAUCAUCGGUUUGAAAGAAGUUCAUGAAUGUAACCAAAAAGUUCAUGGAUUUGAUAAAAAUUUACAAAAUUGAAGACAUGCAUUCAUUUAAAAAUAGUUCACAUAUUCAAAAUCUAAGUUCACGAAUUUUAAAAAGUUCACAAAUUUAUGAAAAUGUUCGCGAAUUUAAGAAAAUGAAAUAGAAAUAGGAAAAUAAUAACAAAUAAAGAAAAAUAAAAAAUAAAACCGAAGAAAAGAAAUUAAACAAAAAAAUAACUAGACUGAGAUGAUGCACGGCAAGCAGAAUAAAAUAACUAGGCACAAGUGAAAAUAACUAGGCACAAGUGAGUUGUCCUAAUUGAUCCUUUGGCUAUGGAUGGAGAGGUGGGUGGGCCCGUUUUUCUUGAUGGGCGGCUACUACAGCUUGCACGUGCCAUAUACUUUCUCCGUUUUAAAUUAUUCGUCGUGGUUUUAAUUUAAACUUGAACUAAAAUCACGACGAGUAAUUUUGAACUAAAAUCACGACGUGUAAUUUGAAAUGAAAGGAGUACCUUAGCACGGCUUAUUGAGCUAAAACCACGACUAGUAAUUUAGAACGGAAGAAAUACCUUAGAGCAGCUAGAUAAGCGCGCUGGGAUGAAACGACUAUAUAGCGUGCGACCAAAACUUGCGGUCCAGCAGCUGUGCUAAAAUCCCGCGCGUGGCAGGUAAGGAUCAGAAAAUGGCAUCGCGUGCGACCAAAACUUGCGGUCCAGCAGCCGUGCUAAAAUCCCGCGCGUGGCAGGUAAGGAUCAGAAAAUGGCAUCGCGUGUUGCGUAACUGCUGCAGGUGGGGCCGUCAGAUUGGGCGCCGUAUUUUAUUUGCAUUGACAAACCUCGAAAAUUUUAGCGCUUGCGGCGUCUGUUGAACAUGCUCUUAGGAUGAAAUGACUAUACUGCAAGGCACAAAAAUGGCAUGGACUCCUUUUUUUUUAACAUCAACAAGGGCCCGAUUUCCUUGAUAGAAAAAAAAGUUCAGUUGUAUACUAAGUUUUUUUCAACAUGAAGACACAACAGACAAACGUAACAGACACAACGCACGCUGUAUACAGAAAAGUGUCCCUGACGCGGAUGCGAUCAGAGACAACUUUUCGUUCAGCUUCAUCUUAUUAUUAUUGAACAAAGAUCACGUGGAACUGGAAGGCUUUGACCCGUAGCUACAAGGAAGCAGCCAGCCGGAGCCGGUGGCUCAGUGCUGUCCCGGCAGCUUCUCCUUGAUCUUGUCCAUGAUCCCCUUCUUCUCGCCCGUGCCAGUGCCGGCGCCGGCCAUUCCUGUGUGGCCUUGCUGCCCGUAGGCUCCACCAGUCCCAGUUCCCGGCCCGUAGGCUCCUCCAGUCCCUGUCCC
This 165649-nucleotide long non-coding RNA is filed under the name Triticum aestivum (bread wheat). RNAcentral describes it as "long non-coding RNA (TAES_LNC007930)". The record is from RNAcentral. Lineage: Eukaryota; Viridiplantae; Streptophyta; Magnoliopsida; Poales; Poaceae.